AAUUACUAAUCGAGCGAGCUCGAACUUGCUCGAUUAGAUGUUCGAGUCGAGCUCGAUUGUCGUGUGCUCGAGCUCGACUCGGCUAGUUUAACAGCCAAGGUAACAUGCAUCAAAGCAGGCUUAUUCUCUUAGUACUUUUUUUUUUUUUCUUUUUAUAAAACACAGGUGCAUUAACGCACGACAGAAGCACCCUAUCAAUCUAAGAUCCCAGCUUGCUUGUAGCUUUCGAUAGAGUCAACAAGAGUUUCUUCCACUGGCCUAUACCUCCAGCCCAGCCUCUCCAAUUUUUCUGAGCUAAUAUUCCAUCGGCUUUGAUCCUUCACCUCUAUAAGUCUGCGAAGAAAUGAGUUAUAUCAAGAAAAUAUGCAGACAACAUAAAUGGUUCUUGUAGAGACUCGUAGAUGCCACACUUUUGGAAAUGGAAAUCAUGACGGACAUGAACAAACAAGAAAAUCAGGACAAACGGGGUGUCUGAAAAAUGAGACAAUUAAUUUCAAAGAUGGUAAUCCACCUCUUAGGGUACUUGUAGUUGGCAUAGUUUUUCCUCAGAGUUUCCACCAUAUCUUUUGUCGUGGUGACGUGAGGUGAACAUAUGUACCGGCCUUCAGCUUCAGGUCUCCCGUAAACCAAAAGCAGUGCCUCGGCCACAUCACGCACAUCUACUGUGUUGUAGAAUUUGUUUUCGGUUUCUUCACAUCCGUCUGUGCAGCCAAGGAGUGAAACAAAAGAGCAGUUUAAUCUCAAAAAAGGAGAUGUUAUCUGUGCUAAUCUCUGAGUUCUUUACUGCAUAUAUGAAACCUACAAUCCCUUUGACAAAUAGUACAGCAAUAAAUUCAUGGGACUUUUGAAUUGCAAAGGACCUACAGGUCACAAUGUUAACCUUUUAUAUCUUCAACAAUGCUCCAAAGCAAAUCAAGCAAACAGUUGAAAGAUGCAACCUCUUCAGAUGUUAUGCCUAUUGUCUGUCUCAUCUUCCAUUAGGUCAAACUCACACAAUUUUCACAUCAAUAAAAUUUGAAUCGCUUGUGCAUGUGUCUGGAAAGAUUACAUUAGCACAAUUUAGUAUUUUUGGCAGCACUGCUCGUUUAAAUUUCCCUGCCAUCAAGCAGAAAAUUUAAUUCCAUUCCAACAGUAAAAGCCAAACACCACAAUCUUAGUUUUUUUUAGAUAACUUUGCAAGUUUUUAGAGCAUUGCCAAAAUCAUAAAACUAUCAGAAUGGCAGAUAGCUUACAGGUUUAGAAUCUGAAAACCUCAGCUGGCUUGAAGAUUAAAUAAAAAUGCCAAAAGACGGCAAAGCAGUUAUCUCCAUGAAUGUAGUUUCAUUCCUAGAAGGUCAACCGCAACCAGAUAGACGGAUUUUGUGAAAUUUUAUUGGCAUCAAUUCAUUGUGUAUCAUGUAAAUAACACUGGAAGCCAGAAGCAUAAAAAUGAUGGGUUACUUGGAAAAUUAGCUGAUCAACCACAUGAAGAAAUUCAAUUGUUUGACCUUUCAAGUACAAAAAAAGGAAAAAAUUGCUAAGCUUUAGAGGUCAUCUGAGUUCUAGAGUGACAUCCAUGCUCACUUAGGCACAAACCAAUAUCAAGGAGAAAACUGUAUCAUUUACGACCACUUCCAUGCAGAAGGUGAAAGAAAGAAAAAUAAAAUAUAACAUAACGGAAUAAGUUCUCCAAUUGACUACAAAGCACUAAUAAAUCACCUUUCAACAGCUUUAUAAGAGCCAGACUGCUAGCAUUCACAUCAUGCUGAAGCAUGGGGCCGAGAACAAAGGAUGGGCAUACAGUUAAAACAUCAAGGCCAGUUUCUUUUGCAUAUUGUAAUGCCUCACUUUCAGCAACCGUCUUGGAGUAACAAUACCAGUUCUGGAGCAAUAUUAGUACUAGAUGGUCAGCCAGAAACAGAUAGUAGUUGCAAAAAUCUGAUUUCUCAGCAAUCUUAGAAACAGUACGAAUAAGACAGUGAAUUUUCUGCACAAUUACAACACCAAGGUGCAACUGCAAAAAGUCAAAUUAUGUUGAUGCAUACAUUUGUUGCCUUGCAGUAUUCGCCGUCUGACCAACACUUCUCAUCUAUGAUUUCACCUUCAGGCAGAUUAGGACUCAUUACAACAGCUGCAGUAGAGGAAACAACUACAACGCGCUUGACAUUUGCUUCAGAACAAGCCUUCAGUACAUUAAGGGUACCCUUUACAGCUGGCUCAACAAGUUCAACCUGCAACAAAUCAUCAUGUUGGCAGAGGUACUAGCACUCAACUCUUCAUGCUGAACUGCUUGUUUUUGCGUAAAAUAUAUCCAGAUAGACAGCUAAGUAGUGUCAGUUAACCUGACAUCUUUAGAGUGAAUGAGUACAUAGUUAAAAGACUCAUGACUGCUUAUGCCUGUGAUUUAACUUGGUUACCAGCAUAGGUUAUUAUUAUAUGCAUUUAUUCACUCAUUUCAACAUUUGAAAAAUCCUUCCACGAAAUGAUAGAAAGACAAAGAGCCCCAGUGACUUCAUAAGUUUGUACAAACGCUUUAACAAGGUUCUAUUUUAAACGAUACCCAACUUUAGCUCAUGUUUGGCAAAACGCAAUAAAAUAUUAUCUGUUAUGACAAAAGCUGUCUCAUAAACAAAAGAUAUGUUAAAAAUGUUAUUCUGGGGAAACCAAAAGGAAGAAAUAUCAUAGCAAUUGAAACGAUUGAAAAUGGUCUUGCCUCAGGAUUGGGAACAGAGCCUGAAGGAACAGGACUAGCUACAUGAAAUACGCCAUCACAACCCCUGAUGGCUGCAGAAAUGGAGUUGUAAUCCAGCAAAUCAGCCUUAAAGAGUUUCAAAUUCUCAGCUGCUUUGUCAAGUUUCUUCAGAUGAACAUAUUUCUCAUCGUCUACAAAACAUACACAGCAAUGCCCACAUCAUCAAGUAACGAAGCACACAAUUCACAGCAGGUGCUUUUAUAUAUUUCUUCAAUUAAACAUAUUUCUCACCCUUCACAAAACAUUUACAGCAAUUCCCACUACAUCAAAUAGGAAACAGCCAAUUGACAGCAGGCAAAAAAUCAAUUGCGGUAUUAAAGGGAAUGAAACAAUCAUACAAUACCCAAAACAAAAACAAAACAAAAAAACGAGUAGUAAAUCAGGAAGGAAGGGUUAUGAGGAUGAAAUACGUACUGGGAUUUCUGAGGGUGGCAUGAACACUAUAAUGGCGGGAAAGGAGUAGCUUGACUACCCAAGAUGCCAGGUAUCCCCCUGCUCCUGUAACACACACUGUCCUGUCCUUCUUAGCCUCCCACGCUGCCAUGUCUGAUUGCUUACCAGUAGCAGUAGCGGGAUUAGUAUUUUAGCACCAAAUUCACUAUAGACUGAUCAAGAAGGUGGGUGAAGUUCUAUUCUUUUCUUUUUUAUGAAUAUUAAUUCUUUUUUGGUUGGACAAGGCAGAGAUUUCGUCGAUUCUUAAAGAGGAGGACUGAAGAAGAGGGCGGUUGGAAGAGGAGGAGGAGGCGGAGGUGGUGGUGUUGGAAUUUUGAAUAGACGAGUCCUGUAUGUAUGAGCUAGCUGAUUCCAGCAGCCUCUGUCAAUACUAGGAGUAAUCAGCAGCUGGCAGGCUUGGGGGCUUAUAUAUAGCAGCAGACCAAUGGUCCUGUUGCGAUUUGCACGGCUCAUGGAAGACGUAUGGUUUCAACGCAGGGUUGGGCUGGGUUGGGUGGGGAAACGGUACUAAUGAUAAAUGUAUGUAUAAUGAAAUUUGAGAUAUUUCUAGCAAUCUGUUAGUAAAAUUUAUUUUUAUAAAAAAAAAGGAGUAAAGGAGCAUAAUAUUAUUAAGUUAUAGUAAAACUUGAUGCACAUAUCAAUAAAACAAGAUAUUCUGUGCAUUUGAAUACAAUAGUAUAAUAUGAUUUUACCAUUGUCGGAUGUUUAACAAAUUUAUUUAUUAAUGGAUAUUAAAGUGUUACAUUUUAUCUCAUAUUUUCCCAAUUUAUGACUCAGAUUUUAAAUUGAUUAACUCAUUAGAGAAUAAAAAACUCAUCCCGUUGCUAAAUUGGACAAGUGACAAAAACUCAUGUCCAUAAUGGGAUUUUGCUUCUGACUCAAAUCCUAUAAUGCGAACCAAACCCCAAAUCACUCCAUUAUAACGGAAACACAAACUAAACUAUUUAAUAUUCAAAUCAAGUUCCGCUCAAUAACAGUUUGUUCGAAUUUGAUUCGCAAACUAAUCUAAUCAAGUUAGAAUAACAUUUUAUUCAAAUCAAGUUCCGCUCAAUAACAGUUUGUUCGAAUUUGAUUCGCAAACUAAUCUAAUCAAGUUAGAAUAACAUUUUAUGUUUGAAAAAAAUUUUAACUGCAGCUCAAGCUUAGCUCAAUAAUCAUAAAAUUGGAUUUUAUAGAUAAAAAUUACUCGAACUCGACUCAAUAAAAAUUCUUUUGAACGUGACUUAGUAAAUAAAAAAGCCAAUCUUGAAUACUAUUUCAAAAUUCUUUAAAAUAAAUAACAAGAUAUUUGGUUUGAUUAGACACAUUCACACCCCUGUUUUUCAUAUGCUCGAUAACAUAUAUUUUUGCCAUUGAAUUUUGGGACAUGUUUAUCAUUUUUUAAAAUCUUUUUUUUUUAUUUCUGGCUUUUAUAGGAAAAAAAAAACUAAAGGAUGUGUUCGGAUAGGAGACCGAUAAACUUUUCUCUCCCCCUCGCGCCUAAUUGCAGGUUAAAAGCAGUGUUUUGAAAACCGGACCGGACGGCCGGUUCGACCGGUUGGACCGCCAACCGGCCAUGAUUCCGGUCCGAUUCUAUGCUAUAGUUGACCAGGUUAGAAAACCGGUUAAACCGUGAAAACCGCCGGACCGGAUUGAACCGGCGGUUCUCGGUUUUCGAGAUUUCCCUUUUUUUUCUUUUUUUUUCUUUUUUUUACGUUUUGCAAAAUGCAGUUAUCAAGAUUCGAACUCAAGACUUUUGUAAUAGAAGACCAAUGUAGUAACCAUAGUAACCAUUGCACCAUCACAUCUUAUUAGUUUUUUUUGAUAACUUGUUUAUAUAAAACAAAAACUCAUAUUUCUUUUUGUCAUUUUUUUUAUAAAAUCUAAUCCUCUCAUAGCUCUUUCUUUUUAAUCUUCAACACACACACACACACACUCUCUCCUCUUUUUUUUGUCACUCUCUUUUUAAUCAAACCACUUUAUUUUUAAUUUAUUGAUGUUUUCUUCCAUCUUUUAAUUUUAUUUUUGUCCAUUAAAUUGAAAAAGGUUAAAAAAGAAUUAUUUUUCUUUAACCCAAAUUAUUUAAUGCCACAACCACUCACUUUUAUCUCAUUUUUUAUUUCUUAUCAAGUUUGCAUUUCUAUUUUCGAUUCUCUUGACUUCUUUCGAGCUCCAAAAUUCCUUUUUUAAAUUGCAAUUUCUAAUCCCAAAACGUAAAUUAAAAUUUAAGUUCACAAAAUCUAAAUUCUCAUAGACAUGAAUUUUGUAUAAUUUUAAAAUAUUAUGAUAUUUUUGGGUUAGAUCUAAGAUUUUUUUGGUAGAUAUAAUUGAAAUUGAAAUGAAAUUUAUUUGUUUUAACUUAUAAUUUAAAAUUUUUAUUUUUAAAAAAUCAAGUUAUUCAAAAAUAGUAAACUUUUCAUCAUAUAAUGUAUUAAAUUAGUCCAUUACAUGUCUUAUUUUGUGCAUAAAUAUUUACAUAAAUUAUUUUUUAAAAACUUCAUUGAACCGAGGUUGAACCGGUCCGACCGGUUAAAUCUCGACCCUUUCACGUCACCGGUUCAAUUAACGGUCCGAUUUUUAAAACAUUGGUUAAAAGGAAUAUCCAGUUCUUAGAUAACUUUUCUAGGCACAACUCUAGUUGUCAGAAAACUGGUCUACUUUGACUGUGGGUUUUCCUUUAGUCAGGCCAUUUUGUCAUUAGUGAUGAUUGCUUCUUCUAAACCUUAGCUAACUGCACACGCCAUGCGCAUGAAACUUCUUCUAAACCUUAGCUAACUGCACACGCCAUGCGCAUGAAAAUCCAAACUUCAAAUAAAAUAAUUUGAACUCGUCAACUUGCAAAAUAAGAUAAUUUGGGUUUCGUCUGAUAUGAGUAGUAAGGGAAAAUUUAAUUACUAUAUUUAUGAUUCUUGACUAAUGUGAUUGCUCAUCUAUCACCACGCAUCAGUUUAAUACCUUAUCUUCAUUUAAAUGUGACGAUUGUAGAAUUGAUGGCUGAAACUGAAAGGAAACUGAAAAAGAAAUGUCAUGUGAGUGCAUAUGCAUGGUUAAAACAAUACUCCCACAAAUUAUAACCAAUUCGAUCCCUUGUUUUUAAGGUUUUGAUCGUUUUGGUUCCUUGGUAUCAUGACAAGCCAAUUUUGCCUCUUAAAUUUAAAAAUAUGGUUAAGGAGAUCCUUUUGAUGGAAAUUUGAGUUGCUAAUGAAGUGAAGAGACCAUUUAGUGCCUUUCGUGUCACAUCCGUCUCAACACUAUAUUAAAGUUUCAAAAAAUCUCAAAUAAGUCAUAAAACUCAUAAAACAAACCCCAAAACUCUUUAUCGUGAAGAAAAUAAAUUUUUAUAACUUUAAAAUAAAUCAAACACAAUACCUUAAACAUAAUUAUGGAAUUUGUGCCAUUUUCGAGUUGAAAUAUCAUGAAAAGGAGUACCAAAAGGUGAAAGAAAAAUGCAUAAACUUAUGUUUGACAUAGUAUUAAAAACUUUUAUUUCAUUAUAUUGAAGAGUUUUGGGUGAGUUUAGGCUUUUAGGAUUUUAUUUGAAUGCUUGGUGUUUUCUGCGAGAUGGCACGAAGUACCCUCUAAGGUCUCUUAACUCCAUUAACAACUCUAAAUUAGCCUUGACCAAAUUCUUCAAAUUUAAGAAAAAUUGGUUCGCCAUAAUACAAAGGGACUAUUUUGUUAAUACAUUGGAGAUAAGAAACCAGAUUAAUUAAUUUUUGUUGUUUGCGUAACUCAAGGGAUUUCUCCGUUAGCUUCCCACAAUUUUGCUACAUUAGUCUCUUUUGAUGGAGAUAGAGCACCAACUCACAGUUGUAUUAGAACUUCACUUACGCUAUAAUCGUUAGGAUUUUCUUAUAUUCAUCCGACUACUCAAUAAGUAUCCUAUUUUAUAAUAACUAUCCUACACCUCUUCAAAGCCUGAUAAGAUGAAGAAAAUCUCUUUACUAGCAUCUUAAUGCCUUAUAUCCAGUAUUGAGGGAAAAAAUUUAAUCACAUUACAGUCUGAGAAUUUGAAUCCAGCAAUUUCACGGUCUGAUGUAGUCACCCCAAGUAGGUUCUCCAGUAAAACAGGGUAGUGAGGCAAAAUGUACAUCAAAUAGGUCAAUUGUCGAGCCCCUCGGGGUUCGGUUCCGUGGUUGUAGCCCCAGUUGGGGGAGAGCCACGUCCAGGGAUCGAGUCCCCGUUCUACCGUGGCUGGUGAUGCUUGAGGUGGGCCGCUCCCAGCCCGCAGUGGAAUUAGUUGGGCCGUACGGUAACCAGUACAUGGGUCCAGAUACCCACUGUGAUGAAAAAAAAAAAAUAGGCCAAUUGUCGAUCUUUGAUUAUGUCUACACUUUCAAAAGAUAGGCUUAAUCAUAUUAGUGGAAAUAACUCAUAGUUCAUCAUAUAUUAAUUUGCUAUUCAAUUUAGUUUGAAUACAUGAUCAAUGUUAUUGUAUGCCAAAAAAGAUUGAGGAUACUUUUGACCUAGUUCUUUGCACUAACUUGAAAUCUUCCAAUUGUUCUUUCUUUGAUGCACUUGCAAAAUCUCCUGCAAAAGUAAAAUAACUCAGUUGGUGAAUUUUGGCUAACUGAGAGGCCCCAUCUUCUUUUUACUUCUUUAGCACAAGCGAAGAAUGAAUUUAUGCAUAAUAACCGUGUGAUUCUAAUGAGAUAUGAUUUUUUUGGUUUUGCAUGCUGGUUAAACAAUUGUUCAAGCUCUUAUCUUGGUUUUUGAUACUUCACCGGUAUGUGGAUGUUGCUGCUAAAGAAAUUUACAUUUGUCAUUAGAAGAAUUUUCUAUUUUAUGACUGGCAAGUGAUUUGGUAUCUUAGCAGUUCAUCGAUUUUGGUGCUUUGUUUACAAUUUAAUUGGCUUCAAUGGUCCAUACAUAUAGGAACUUGGAAUUUACCCUUUUAUUUCCUUUUGCAUGAGCAAAGAUUAGUAAUUUUUAAUCAUAAUUUUCGAUUCCUCUAUUCUGGCCAUAGUGAAGAAAUCUACCUUUUUGUACUUGUGUAUAUGCACACCAAACAUCAUUGGGCUGUCUACUUUUGACAUUAUUCUUGAAUUACUCAGUUUAGAAUGUGUAUUAGCUGCUGGAAGUAAAUGCAUCAUCGUUGGCAAUUACUAAACAGAAAAUAUGCAUGCCAUUACUAUUUUCACUGAAAUUAGCAUCUAACUUAUAAUGAUCUAAUUAAAGGUUAACCACAUUGGUUUUGACUAGAACUAAGAGAUCACUAGCCCUCUUAUUUUUGGAUUUGCAUUAAUCCAGUAUCAUCAAACUUCUUCAAAUGGGCUCUUUAGCUACUAACCCCUUCAAAAAUAAUUUAGGCUUACGGUUCUGUUGAUGUCGCAAUUGCAGGAGGUUCAGAAGAUAACGAAAGGCUCAUCUAAGAUUUCUUAAGGUGUUUGGCUUAUAUUGCUAGAUUUACUUAAUCUAUUUUCAUUCUUCUCCGAUGUCAUUAUUGUUAAAGUUCAAUUCAUAAGUUGGUUGUGUUAGAAAAUUGGCUUAAUUUCUUUUUAGAUAGGUUUUUGUUUUGUGCAAAAGUAACUAGUUUCCUAAUUGGUUUUAGUUACUCGGAAUAGUAGCCAAGAAAUUUCUUAUUUUGUUUAGAAUUAGAAGUUAUUUCUUAUUUUCUACAAGUCUAGGAAUUAGAAUUAAUUUCCUGUUGUUAUUUGGAUUUUUUGACCAAAUAAUAUUUUUAUAAAUAGGUGGGUUGGCAUACUAUAAAAGAGACACAUAAGGGCACACAAGGACGACAUGUAACCUUAUACAUGGGUGGUGAGAGAGAGUUCUUAGGAGAUGAGAAAUGGUAUACAAAGGUUGGACUUGAGUUCGAGUUGUAUUCUUGUAUAAGGUUUUUCUCUCAUAAUAAAUAACAAGUUUCUCUCCGUGGACGUAGGUUCAAUGGAGUCAAACUACGUUAAAUAUUGUGUGUUGUUUAUCUUUUAUACUUGUGGCUUGUUUCUCAUUAAAUUAUUGUGUACUUGAUAUCUUAAUAGUUAUUUAUUCUGCAUUUAGUUCCUAACAAAUGGUAUCAGAACUUGAUUGCGAGAUUGGGCUGCUCACAAGCACUUGGAUCCCAACAAACUGAAUAGUUGGAUCAAGAGUUUGGUUGUUCAAGGAUGGAUCCUAGUUAGCUAUUGAGAUCAAGUAGGUUGGUGACUGUUACCAAUUGAACAAUUUAAUGGGCGGUAUCCUUUUUUCAAGAGUUUGGCAAAAAAGCAUUGACGGUGAAUGAUGAAAAGUCGAAAAGCAUGGAGAUACUUGACGGUGAAUCUAGGCAGAUGAUUCAAGAGUCAAGGAAAAGGUGGAAUCCAAUAUCGAUUUUGGACGUGAAUCGGUGGAGACUUUCUCACAACUUCAACGGUUGAUACUUCAUCUCGGUGAUUUUUAGAUUUCGCUUAUGUUUUUUGAGUGGUACGGCACCUGACCCAAAAAAAUAAAGAGAUUUAAUUUCUAUGCGCUAGAAGACUCUGACAGUUACGAGUCUUUUGUUUCAGGUGAAUUUUUGGAAACCACACGUGGCGAGAUAGUCUUGAGGAAGGGAAGAAGUAUGAUGAUUUUAUCACUUGGUUGCCUCAAUGAUUAAGGUUAGAGCUCAUAGAAGGAGAUUUUGGGUUGCAAGUGGUGGUGAGAAGAAAUCCUGUAAAGAAAAAUGGUGAAUUGAGGCAUCUUCUCACGAAUCAACUGGAGGUUGUACUAGGUGUAAAUACACAUAUUCAUUUGGCAAUUAAAUUAAUUUGGUAUCAGAACUGUAUUGAUUCGGGUGUGUAGUUCGGUACCAUAUUAUUUGGUAGUUGAAAGUAAAUAAUUGUUAAAAGAAAUUUUCGCCAAGAUAGAGAUUUGUUAGGAAAUUGAUUUAAUUUCUUUUCAGACAGGUUUUUGUUUUGUGUAGGGAUUUAGUUACUUGAAAUAGUAGCCAAGGAAUUUCCUAUUUUGUUUAGGAUUAAAAAUUAUUUCCUAUUCUAUACAAGUCUAGAAAUUAGAAUUGGUUUCCUAUUAUUAUUUAAUUUUUUGGCCAAAUAAUAUUCUUUAUAAAUAGGUGGGUUGGCAUACUACAAAGAGACACACAAAAGCACACAAGAGACGACAUGUAGCCUUAUAUAUGGGUGGUGAGAGAGGAUUUUUAGGAGAUGAGAGAUGGUAUACAAAGGUUGAAUUGGGGUUCAAGUUGUGUUCUUGUAUAGAAUUUUUCUCUUAUAAUAAAGAACGAGUUUCUCUCUGUGGAUGUAGGUUCAAUGGUGGAGCCGAACCACAUUAGAAAAUAGUGUGUCAUUUAUUUUUCAUGUUUGUGGCUUGUUUCUCAUUAAAUUGUAGCGUACUUGAUAUCUCAAUAGUUGUUUAUUCCAUGUUUGGAUCCUAACAGAUUGCUAAACCAAGAUUGAUGUAAUUGCGUCCUAUAAGAGAGUUUGCAAUUCAAUUGAUUAAGGGAAGAACAGAGAAAAUCCCUGAAAAUGGGAAUUAAAGGAAACAAAGGAAACCCUAAAACUAGUUUCCAAGAACAAUUCUGUCGAAGACAGAAAACAAAGAAAAUAGUAUCAAAGGCUAUAUCGUUAUUUAGGAAACAAGAAGCACUUGAAGGUGAAUGUUGCAGAAAGUAGAAGAUCCCACUACAAUUUACUAAUUCAAGGAGCUGUAAUUAAGAAAGAAAGAAGACAACUCAGAGAAUUAGGGAUUGUUAUUAAUUGAUGAAUGAGUAGGAAGAAUGUAGAUGAAGAUGAUAAUCAAUUACAAGUAAUGGAAAUCGGAAAUCCUAGAACUGCCUUCAACUUACCACCCUCCUCUCUUUUAUUCGGCUACUACACUUGUCCAAGUCAGCUAAUUCAUUACAACCAACUGACAUACAAGAAUUAUAAGGAUUUAUUCAUUAAGUCCCUAUCAUACUCGCUUUAUUACAAAAAAAAAAAAACCCUAUCAAUAAAACUAAGGUAACAAAUACUUCCCCCUCAGAGAAUCCUUGUCCUCAAGGAUUAAAUUCAGGAAAUUGUUGUUUAAGGUCAAACCAGAAUUCCCAGAUAGCAUCUUCAAGAAAAGAAUUGCUUCACUAUGCCAAAACUUUUGUAGCAAGAGAGUUACCACAUUUCACCAAUUUCUGAUCAAGUAUGGCUAUAGGCUCCAUUAAUAAUUAUCCCUGUGUAUUGAUUGUGUAUUGAUUGCAAAAGGAAUGUGUGAGGUAACUAGUGAGUGCCCACUUUCUUCUUUAGAAGAGAUACAUAAAAAAUAGAGUGUAUUUUUGCCAUAUUAGGCAGCUAAAGCUGAUAUGCAACAGGGUGUACUCUUUUGAUCACUUGGAAAGGUCCAAAAAACUUAGAAGCUAACUUCUGACAAGAGUGUACCUUCAAAGAGUGUUGCCUCUACAGUUGUAGUUUCACAUAUACCCAAUCUCUUGCCGAGUACUGUCUAUCAGACCUGUGUUGGUCAGCUUGUUGCUCCAUCCUAUUUUGUGCCUUAUGAAGGUUGUACUUUAAGUGAUGCAAAACUAUCUCCCUUGCUGCCAAGAUUCUAUCCACCACUUCCACUACUGAAUUCCCAAGUAGACAAGGCAUAUGCAGAGAUGGUGCAUGACCAUACACCACCUCAAAUUGGAUAACCUUAGUGGCAGCAUGAAAUUUGGUAUUGGACCAAUAUUCAGCCAAGGGUAACUAGAUAGACCACUGCUUUGGAAAAUCUCCACACAUGCACCUCAAAUAUUACUCCAAACACCUGUUUACCACCUCAGUUUGACCAUCUGACUGAGGGUGGUAGGUAGAAGAGGUAUUAAUCUGCACUUUUAGUAACUUAAAAAGUUCUUGCCAAAAAGUGCUAAUGAAGACCACAUCCUUGUCACUAACAAUGCUCUGAGACAAGCCGUGAAGUCUACAGAUCUGAUCCAGGAAUAUGUGCAAAUAUAAAUGCUGAAUAAGCAUGUGACAAUGCCAAGAAGUGUGCAUACUUACCUAACUUGUCAACCACCACCAAGAUGGCUUGUUUACCAUGUGCAUUAGGUAAACCUUCCAUAAAGUCCAUGGAAAUUCACUCCAAACCUUUUGAGGCACACGUAAAAGUCGUAAUAAACCCAAAUAAGCAGUAUUGUCAUAUUUGUUGCACUGACAGACAUCACAUGCAGCCACAUAGUUGACUAUGUCUUGAUACAUUCUUCUCUAAUAAACCACUGACUUCAACUUCUUUUAGGCAGCAUAAACUCCUGAAUGCCUCCAACAGCACUAGAAUGCCACAAGUGAAUUAUAUUAUUCUUGAAUUGGCAGUCAUUUUCUACCACUAGUCUCCCCAUUCUCCUUAACUGCUAGUUGCUCCAUGUGUAAUAAGGUGAGACCUUAGAAAGAUCAAAUUGUAAUUGAGUGAUGAAGUUCUAUAGCCUUAUAUCUAUUUGCCAUCCCUUUUUAAUCACUAUCAAAGAUCACUGUUAACAAUGAUGAUGGCAAGAGCUUCUCUUGGUUCUGCUAGUUUUCUAAAGAGAGUAUCUCUCACCAUAUUAUAUGCUUCUUUCCUGUAGUGAAGCUCAUAAUAAAAUCUUACUAGCUUAGUCAUCCAUUUCUGCUGCAUAAGAGUAGGGCUGUCAAUGGUCUGGGUCUAGACCCGGACCCGGACCGGAUCCGUCAAAUUUAUCCGGGUAUGGGUAGGGAUUUAAUUCCGUUACCCGGACCCGGAUCCGGAUAUAAAUGGAUUACUAAUUUAAAAUAUAUAUAUUUAUUAAUAUAAUUUGAUUAGGAUGAUGUAUUUGAGUGAUCAAUAUAAUUGGACCCGGAUCCUAAUCAAUAUAAUUUGAUUAGGAUGAUGUAUUUGAGUAAGGUUAAUUUGAUUUCUUUUCUUAUUUGAUUUUUUUUGUAUUAGUUAGAAAUUAGUUUAUAAAUAUAUGUUUUUUCUCAUUUUUGUUAGAAAUUAUAAAUUUUGUUAGUUUUUUUUCGGGUAGACCCGGAUCCGGAUCCGAGACCCGUCGGAUCUGGAUCCGGAACAUAGAGUAAAGACCCAUCGGGUAAACGGGUCGGGUCCGGAUCCGAUAUAGUGUGCCGGGUCCGGGUCUGGAAUAAUGAAUUCCGGCCCGGACCCGGCCCGUUGACAAGCCUACAUAAGAGUGUUCAAUCUUUGUUCCAUCAUAUAUUCAAUGCUCUAAUGGUCAUUUUUAAUGAUAACGUACCUUCCAGGUAGAUAAGGUCUCCACUUCUAUACAGCAGCAACUAUGGCCAAUAUUUGCACUUUUCCAAUAUACUAUCAUAUGCUAUUCCCCCACACACCUAAAUCUUAUAUUGUCCCCAAUGUAAAAUAAAGAAUAAAAGAAAAGUAAUGGGGAUAACGAAACUUCCUUGAUAACUGAGGGGGCCGUCGACAGCUACAGGUGAGGGGCGAAUGACUGUGGAGCUCGACGUAUGUUGAUGGUUGGUGGCGGUGGAGUUCGGAUGGAGAAGGAUGGAAGAAAGAAAGAAAGAAGAAAGAAAAAGAAGAGAGAAAGAAAGAAAGAAAAAGAAAAGGAAAAAGAAAGGAAAAGGAAGAGAAAAGAAAAGGGAAAUACGAAUGGGAAUUGCUCCAAUCCGAGCUGGUUUUUUGUACUACUACUUUGCUUCUUGUACGAAGCUUGAAGAUGCAGCAAGCGCGGAAAUUUUUUUUUUUUUACAUCUGAUUUUGAUUUUUUUCUUUUUCUUUUUCCUUUUCUGUAUUUCCUUUUCUUUUCUUUCUAAUUUUUCUGCAAAAACAAUCAAAUAGAAAUCAAAUGAGAUGGAAUGAUUUUUUUUUAAAAAGGUAAAAAUAUAAAUAGAGAUAAAUAAAUAAUAAUAGUUAUUAACAAAUCAUAAAAUGAUUUAUGAAAUUUUUUUGGUGUCUACAUAUAUACACAUACUAAUAAUUUUUAUAUUUAUAUAUUUUUCCUAUUUAAUCUUACCUAUAAUUCUUUCUUAUUUUAUUUACUUUUUCUAAUUAAUUUUAUAUUUUUAAAAAUAUAACAUCUAAAAAUAUAUAUUAACGAAGAGGACAUCCGUUAGACAGGUCCUAUUUUAUGUAGCAUAUAUGUCUCUACAUGAAAAAAACUUUUUUAAUAGGUAUCCCGUUUUUUGACAUGAAAAAUACCUUUUGACUACAUUCUGACUAGCGCCAAAAGCUAUCCACUUUUGACAUGCUGCCCAUGCAGGCCUAAUUUUUUUUAGUACUGAAUUUGUUUUGGAUACGUUAGUAUUUCUUGAAUUUUAGAAAAUGCUUCUCUUUAAUAAAUGUAAGUUCAUUUUAAUCUUGAUUCGCAAGCUUUUUCUUGAAAAUGGUUUGCCAUUUCUUAUUAGUUGUUACAGUAAAUUUAGCAUGCAUAUAUGCUUUUUGUCAAAAUUCAAUCAUUUCAAAAUCUAGAAGGGAACUUCUAAAAUACCUGCAUCCUCCUUUUUCUUUUUUCUUUUUUAUUUUUCCCCCUCUUGGCUUUGUAUUCAGAAUCAGAUUGUGUUCAAUUAGUUGGAAUUUGGCUUUGGAGUUAAAAGGGAUUUCCAUUUUUUCCUAGGUAUUCCACAGCUUGCAUACCAAAAGCACAGAGGCGGAAGAAAACCUAUGAUUAAAUCAUACAACAGGCUUGUAAGAAAAUGCCCACUUUGAAAAAAUGAAAAGUUGAAUUUCCUAUUUUCAAAUUUACAUGCAAAAAAUGAAAAAUGACAUGCAAGAAAUAGUCUACUAUUUCGCCAUGUUUCAUAGUUUAUGAGAAAUAUAUUACAAAUAAAUCCACAUAAAUGGUGGGAAUAAUAACUCAAAUAUGGUGGGACAAAUAAACAUACAGGGUGACCCCUGCCAGCUGAGAUAACUAGCUGGUUUAUUUAAUUUAAUAGUUUGAAUACAAUAGUAAAUCAAUGCCAUAGCUCAGAUACUGACUAAAUUUUUCUCCCUGAAGAAUUCAACAGCAUCUUUUAGGCUGACCUCCAAAGGAGUGAAUUGAACUCCCAACCUUUUUGCCUUCUCAUUGGAGGCUCUGUAGUUUGGGCUGAUAAGGUUGGUAUUGUUUGACAUUCUGCUGUAUGCGGGACAAUACACAAUUAUGGCAAACAUAAAUAAAGCUUAGGUAAUGAAAAUGCAAAUGUAAAUUCAAAUGCUUGAAAAUCUACUGGACAAUUGCCUCAUAUCUACUGUAAAUUGUGCCUUUUUUACGAAGUUUCAAAAGACCUUUUAAAAGAUAACUUUAGUUGUGAUAUGAAUGAAAUUUAUUUUUCUCUAAAAAAAAGCCUAAAACGGAAUUUCUAUUUUGGAGACAAAGCCAAUUUGGUGAUAUAUCCUAGUCCAAAGAAGACCAUCUUCUAGAAAUCAACCUGAGAAAGAGCUCAUUUUUUAUGGAACAUGAGACCAAAAGAAAAAAAAAAAGAAGGCAGAAAAUUUAGGAUUUAGUGUCCUUUAAAAGAGAGUAUAAAAAUAUGUGAUACAUUUUGGACGUAUACAAGGCCAUCAGCAAAAGCCUGCAAAGACCUAAACAAGGAAAACAAGACUUACUUAUCAGGAAAUUGGUGAGUUGGGUAAUGCUCAUGCAAAAUCUUGAUGAUCUGAGAGGCAUUUGCACAUCUUUCAACCAGACAAUAUCUUCCACUUGCAGAAGGGGUUUCAAGGGCAAGAACAUGUGCAUUGGCAACAUCUCUAACAUCAACCCAGCUACAUGUUGCCUUAGGAAAUGGUUCAACCCCUGCAUUUGGCACCUAAGAUCUUUAAACACAUUUUUUUGCAGGCUCUUCAGCAAACAUAAGUGAAACCAAUUUGGUUUGUUUGGAUUGGCAUGAUUUCAGAUAAAAUAAUUUGCUUCACAAAUUCCAAUCACCUUUUUAUCUCACAUACAGCACAUCACAAAAAGUGUUACAGUAAUUAUCUCAAAUAAAUCAUCUAAAUAAACUUCUAUCCAAACAAAAUGUUGUUUGCCAUGAAAAGAGUCAAAUUUAGAGGCCAUGGCCUGCCUUCCAGAAGAAAUGUGUGGUAUGUACUACUUUGUUCUGUUUUAGUAUCAGCAAAGCCACAGAGGGGAGGGAGAUGUGAGGAAUGAACUAGUUGAGACAAUUCAGAUAAUUGGUGAAUAAUAAUAAAGAUUAAUCCCGACAAUCUUCUAGUUAAUCUGUCCCUGGAAUUUCUCAGAUUUAGAGUUAGGUUUCUCUUUCAAAGGAUAGUUUAUUUAUUUUCUUCCAAAAAGGAUCAAUUACUAGACAAAAGAAUAAACUACAGGCAUGAUAAUACUAGUUGUCUCGUACUUAAGAGUGUUAAAUGGUGAGAGCUGAAGAAACUUGUCCCUUCACUCUCAUCCAGAUAGAAAAACAGAAUUUAUUCCUGUUGUUUUGUUCCAGAGAGUGAAACAGUAAUCAAUUCCUGAAAUUUGUUUCUUGCCAUUGUUGUACAAAGUGGCUAUUUGGGUCGAAGGAGUCAUGGCGAAUUGAAAGAAUAAUAAACAAGCUUUAGCAAGUAAAGUUUGUACAACAUAAACAGUGACUACUCCUAACAAAUUUUUCCUCACAAUUACCACCCAAAAAUUUCUUUUCCUUCCUGUUAAUCACAUAGAACCUCAAUGUUGUUGAAAGGAAGAUGCACACAACGUGAAUUUCAGAUGAAAGAUUGUACUGCAAACCUUUAAAACAUCAUAAGCUGGUCAGAGUUUAUAGCUUGAUAUAUCAGUUCACAUUCUGACCUAUGUCUGUCAAUCAUGUGAUAAGCCAGCAGUGCCUUGAAAUGUUAUUAGUCAUAAGUUUUUUGUUCUACUGUAACAAAGAAAGUUGUGGUGCAUAAUAAAGCUAUAAGUAACAUAGAUGGAAGAGUCAGUUAGACAAUGAUUACUAAGGUGAUUCAAUAAAUUUUGAAACAAACCCUUUAAUAGGUUGAGGAACAAAACAGCGCUCGAAUUAACAGAUGGCUGCAAGAGAGGACCAAUGACCAAUCCUGGAUGAAUUGUAAUCACGUCAAUGCCAUGCUCCUUUGCAAAUUUCCAUGCAGCAUUCUCGGCCAUGGUUUUUGAAAGUUCAUACCAAGACUAUCAACACCGAAAAAUCAGUAAAUGUUGGUAAGAUGGUAGCAGAAAGUAAUUAGAUUUGUAAACUUUAAGAAGUAACAUUAUAAAUUUCUACAAAUUUGACAAAACCAGCAACUUACAUCAGUUGAAACUAUUAUUGCUGUAGCUACAAAGCACAGAGUGAAAGCAUCCACAUUUCCCAGGACAAGCUAUGCUAUAAGUGAAUAAGUAGAUUUCUCAAGGAUCCUAGGAAUGGUGUAAACUUUCUAUAUUCAAGGAAUGAUGCAAAGCACCAGUGUCGACAUAUCCUGAUCAUCUGAUCUCUUAAUCCACAAGCUAACAGCAAAACUACAAGGGACCUUGACACUUUAACACAAAUAGCCAUAUUCAUAAUAUUAUAGCAGAAGUUCCUUUCCAACUGACCGACCAAAUAUUGCUCAUCUAGGUGUGUAUUCUCAGACAAUAGUAUAGAAUUUGAUCAUGCAAGAGAUGCAUAAUUAAGUAGGAAAACUUUCAUAUUGCUCUUUCCCCGACUAUUCCACACUACAUUAUUAAUUUUUCAUUAAAGUUAAGUUGUUACUUAGAUAGAAGGAAAGAAAUGGACUGACCAUUCUGGUUACAAAAAUAUCCUUUUUUUUGCCUAUUAAAGUACCACCAAGUCAUGAAGAUCCUAACUUAAUUAUCUCCACAGCUGGGCUAACUCCUCAUAUGUGUUCCAACAACAAGUUAAAACUAAAGAAUUCCAGCAUUCCAUAUUAGAUUUUACUGGAAGAAGACAGAUAAUAUAUGUACCUUUUGCUCCUCACAGUAUGAUGGAUCGGAAAACCAACUUUCAUCAACUACCACAUCCUCCUUUAAUUCUCUGUUUUUUGAAACUGCAACCAUAGAGGAUGUUAUAACUACUCUUUUGACAGAAGAAGAAUUUGCACAUGACCGCAGCACAUUCAGUGUUCCGCUUACUGCAGGUUCCAGUAGUUCUGCCUAUGAAAUCAAACCAAGUAAAAAAGGAAGUCAUUACCAGUCAUAGGUAAGACUAUGCUUUUAACCUGCAAAAAACUUAUCAUUCUGGUAUUAUGUUUGAGAAUUUCACCACAAAUGCUGUAAACCUACAGCUUUAGUUACUUAGCUAAAGGAUGCAUAUUGUUGUCUUAUCUCCUCUUGCUGCUAAAAUAAGUUCUCAGGUCCUUUAUUGUUGUUUUUUCCCAAAUUUUUUCAGCUUUCACUGGGUGACAGGAACUUAAGACCAAUAGAGGAACAACUGAAAUAAGUCUCAGAUGUGGUCACCAAUUAAACCGUUUGCUACCAAAUAUCAACCGAUGAAAUUCUGUUCUGGCUUGAACAGGACAGACAGAAAAUAUAAAAGGUGUAGCUCCCAUGAAUCCUGCGAACAGAUUUUAGCGUGAACACAUAAUGCAUGUUGCAAUUUCUUUUAGUGUCUGUGAGUCAACCUUGUUCAUUGAAAUGACUAAAAUCAAAGUUCUACAAAGUUACUUAAAAAAAAUCCAUAAACACAAUUUGAGAAACAGACAAGGAUAGGUGUACUGCAUAAAAUUAAGGCACAAUCAUUAAUAGAAGUUAAUCAACUUACAAAUGAAGAUACAUAUAAUUUGCAGAUGCUUGAACAUAUAUUGUAGUUUCUAUAAGCUUCUUAUUCAUUCUGGUAUGGGCACGCAAAAGCCAUUGGCUCUACACUGGCUGAAUAAUUAGUUGGUCAAAGCAGGGAUUCAUUUGCUCCAGGACAAGCUUAUAGCUUGCUCUAUAACCUUACCCUGACUGACUUACCCAGGAAAAUAGUUAGUCGGACCCAAUCUACUGCCCAAUUGUGGACCAUUUGCUAUGUUUAUGGCUCUUAAUGUUUUUAUUUCACAACAUUACACCCUUUGAAUUGUUUCGCUGAAGUACCAAUUUCCAGAUCAUUUCAUAGAAACAUCAUGUAUACUGAUUAAAAAGAGACUAAAGCACAUAACACACGACAGUCUUUUUGUGAAUGACCUGCUGGAACAGAUUAGUUUUGUAUGUACCAAAUGUAAAGAAAUAUUCUUCAGGUGUUUGACCUGAUUGCUACAUUAAUCUCCUCCCUUUGGUUAAUAAAAGAAAAAGUAGAGCCAUAGAAUUGGAAACAUUUGAAUCUAACUCUCUUUUUUUUUUUGCCUUUACAGUUAUAACCUUGUCAUAAAUCACAUAUAGAGGAGUAGACUAUCACCCAAAAAAGCCAGUAAAAAUGCAACAGAGGAAGAUACUAAAAGAAGUCGUACAAUUAUAAAUCAGAAAAUAUGCUACGAUUCUCAAACUUCACUUGAUAAAUAGCAGAUUUUGCAGACAGUAGAGAAUUUUCAAUCUUGUAAAGCAAAUGUACCUCUGGAUUGCUAAAUGAAAGUUUGAUUGGAGAUGCAGUAUGGAAAACCCCUUCACAUCCCUCGACUAUUGCAUCAAACGAUCCCUCUUCCAGUAAGUUUGCCGAGUACAACUGAAGCCUUUCCUUAGCUCCAUCAAGUGAUGUCAAAUGUUGUGUCCUUUCCGGAUCAUCUGUGUCAUGAUUGUAUCAGUAGAAUGUUCAGACAGCUAUAAUCAAAACCUUGCCGCCUUGGUAAAGUGUACUAUGUUUUCACUAUGGUGAAACUCAAGAAGAAAUGGACAUAGAGUAAUAAUAAACGAAUCUCAAAGCAAUGAUAAAUUUGACUAGCUAAAGGCAAGCGGGGAAAAACGAAAAGAAAUUGACGGGCAACAUAAUAUGACCACAAUAAUAUCAUAGCCCUAUGAUUUCUGGUUUUGAGAUGCGUACAUUUGUAACUUUCUUGAUAACAAUUAAUUCUUGAGAUAAUUAUCAGAGGGACAAUUGUAUGCCAUCUACCACUAUUUUUAUAACAAACUCAGUCCUUCAGAAGAAGGAUAUAGAUUCGAUAGGCUAAAGAUUUUUUAUUAUAACUUGAUCGUUGUAUCUGGAGCAUGAAACAAUUAAGUUGGUCCACAUCAAAAAUAUAUAUAUAUUUUUUGCAUGUGAUUUUCUUUUGAGCAAACAGAACAUGGGGAGCAUUUAGCUGUUGCAAGAAUAUCAUCUGGAGCUACAAGACAAUUUCACACUGCAGAGUUGAAUAAAAAUAUUGGGCAAAUUACAUAUAAUCCUCCUGUGGCUUUGUCUGUUGCCACAUGACCCUUCUAACAUUUUAAAAUAUCCAAUUCACCCACUAUGAUUUUAUGUAAAGCGGAAACUUGAUGGAGAAUAGCCUAUAUAAUGUCGUUAAUUGAAAUACCAUUAGUACUUUUACUUAAAUGCUAAAUCAAUCGACGAUUUAAUUACCUUAUAUAAAAGUAUAAGGGGAUUAUAUGGAUAAAUAUAAAAAUCACAGGAGGGAUAAAGUGGACAAUUAUAUAUAAGAGAAUUACAUUGAAAUUAAGACUUUAUCACACACGCUUUUAGAGCGCGUUUGGUAUAAAUGCCGUAACUAAUUGUGCAUUCCAUCAUUUUCCGCUUUACAUAUAACUAUGGGGGGUAUGUGGCUAUUUUGAAAUCUUAGGGGACCAUCUAGCAUUAUAUAAAAUCACCCUAAAAUAUAGUUAUAAGUAAUUUACCCUAAAAUGUUAGAUUCCAGGAGCAAUUAAACAACAAUCAGAACAGGGCAUCAAAAACUGCACAAGCCACUAAGAUAGUUGAUCAAGAACAAAAACUGGACUUACAGGCAUCUCGAACUGAACCUUUAACAGUAUAACCGCGCUCGAGCAGCAGCUUCACCAGCCAUGAAGCUAUGUAACCCGAAGCUCCGGUCACACACACCAUUUUCCCUUCUCCUGCUCCACUCAUUUUGUUAAUAUUUUUGUGUGUGAACCUGUCACCUGUUUGCCUUACUUCUGGACUUAAUGGAGGGAGGCAUAUAUGGUGUAUAUAUAGCUAUGGUGAAGAAGACGAAAGAUUGGAUAUGAGAUUACUGGGAGACUGGGGAGAUCCAUAUGUAUUCUUGCAAUUUGCAUGCAUCAUCGCUGACAUACGUAUGGUAUAAUCGCGUCACAUCCCAUUUUAUCAAGGUCAAUUGAUCAGUGUAAAAUAGAAAUGAACAAUAAAUACAAUGGUAAAUUACCUUCUACACCCUAUGGUUUGAUGUUUUAUCACAUAACUCCCUAUAAUUUAAAAACCUAUAUAUGACCCUUUCGUAGUUUGGGUUAUUGUGUCACUUUAGCUUGUUCUGUUAAAACUAACGGUCAAUAGUAAAAAGUCAAAUUCAAACUACUAAAUUGACAAAUUCACCAUUUCACUACUUUUUUUUUCUUGUUUUCCUUUUCUUUCUUUCCUUUUUUUUUCUUGGAAAGAGAAGAGAUGACUUUGAAAACUUGUAUUUUGGCUUACAAAACCUUAAUUGUUUCCAAAUACAAAAGAGACAGAAGGGAAAUAAAAAUAAAUCAACAAGAAACAAAAAAUAUGGAAGGUAAAGAUAUAACAAAUAAAUAAGAAACAAAAAAACACCAAAUCUUUUUUACUAUGAAUAUCAUUAUAGGUUUUUAAACCAAAUCUUUAAUAGUAUUUUCUAGUUCUUAUUUAUCUAUUUUUUAUUCCAAUUUCUUCUUUUUGAUGUUUGGAGGAAAAAAAAAAACAAGUAAUGAAGGGAUAAAUUUGUCAAUUUAUUAGUUUGACUUUUUAAUAUUAACUGUUAGUUUUGACGAAAAAACUAAUAAUGACACAUUAACUCAAAUCAUGAGGGGGUUAUAUAUAGUUUUUAAACUAUGGGGGUUAUGUGAGAAAAUACCAAACUAUAGAGGUUAAAAUGCAAUUUAGCCUAAAUCCAAAAUUUGGCGGUUGCAUAUGAAAAAAUAACAAGGUUCUUGACUUUGCUCAAUACAAUUCCAAGUCUAGAGACACAAUUUUUAAAUUCACUACCAGGAUAAACCAUUCUCCUUUUUUUUUUCCAUUUUUUCGGGUUAAAAAGUACAAACUACUUGAACUAGAAACUAGUCCUGACAAAGUUUGUGGGUUUUUUGCAAGAGUUUUAGUUAAAUAUUGGUUACUUCGCCUAAUUUGCACCUAUUUUAUCAUGUAAAUGCAUGCACACUUUUAAAAAAUAAUGCAUGCACUUAUAUUAUUGCCUUUCUUACAUUUAAAUACUUUUUUCAAUUUAAUUUUACUUUUCUGGCAAAACUAAAUCUGAAGCCCAUUUCAAGAAAUAUCCACCGAAUACCAGGUCAACAAACCCCCUUCGUAAUAAAGAACGAAAAGAACCGCAGCGUUCUUAACACGCAGCGGUCUUUUUGCAUCUAAGAAAGCUUUUGAUUGGCUAGAAAUCCUUCUCUGAUUGAGAAAUGGGAAUUGACUUGAUGAUGGCAACUCCAUUUAGAAAACUGGUCCACACCCUUGAAUGUGGUUUAAAUUUAAUAACACCAUUUCAUCAUUUCUGACGACUGCUUCUUCUAUAUCCUAGCUCACUGCACACGCCAGUCGUGUGAAACUUGGCAAAAGAGUUGCACCCUCCGUCCUAAAAUUGUCUGUCGCAUUUCGAGAUCCAACUUUUUAAAAAUAGCAUGAUGAUGAUAUUUGUAGAUUUGUUUUAAAAAUUGUCAUCAAAAAUUCAAAUUUUAAAUUGAAUUUAGUAUGAAAUAUAGAUAAAGAUUGGAAUAACAUUGAAAAAAAGAGAUGAAAAGUUAUUUUGAUUUUGAUAAGAUGAUAAAUAUUUUAGAACGUUUCAAAAUAAAAAAAAUAUAUGACAUUUUCAAUGAAACAAAAGGAUGGAGAGAAUAUAUAUAAGAUACUGAAAACUAGCAUCCAUCAGAAGCAGUCAAAUCAAAGCCAACAUAUUACUUGUAGUUUGGUUAUAACAAUAUCUCAGCUUGCUGGUAGCCCAAAAAUUUAGCAAAAUAAAUUAGGAAACCAAGUGCGAUAGAGCAUAUUUCACCCAAAUAUAUUAAAAGUGAAAAAGAUUUAUUUUUAUUUAGUCAAUGUGAUUUUUUGUGUCCGCAUGCCCAUAAAGCUCAAGGACCAAAAAGCCAAACAUACGAAGUGAAAAUGUGAAGAGCAAUAAUUUGAAUAUAAAAAAAAAAACGGGUAGAUGGAUAGAAAACCAUGUCGAAGGUCUCUUCUCUCUCUUUUUUUUUUUUUUGGUUUGACCAUGCAUGGUGCAUAUGAUAUGAAGGAUAAUUGUAAAGCACCAUAUACUGCCCAAGGAAAGUAGAUUACACAGUGGGAACCAAAAAUAGAAGAAAAUAAAGCCUCAUAUGAACCGAAUCUUUCCCCUUGCUUUUUUUCUGGGAAUUUAAAGGUAUAAUGCAAGAAAUAACUCCUGGUCAUGCAAAAUUGCCAACAAAAAUGCGUCUUUGGUUUUAAAUUCCUUAAUAACAUACUAUCCAGCAUACUAUUUAGCAUAAUAACAUACUAUCUCAGAUGCAUCCACUCAAAUAUCCUGGCCGAGAUGGUAUGAGGCCAAUUUUCUAUCAAAAAUAUAGGUCUGUAGCAGGUAAUGACGUUACCUCACUACAACAAAAAUGGCCUUUAGCGGCAUUUAAAGGUGUCAGUAUAGAAAAUCUAACCUGACACUUUAUCUAUCCUGACACCCAUGGCGAGUGUUGUCCCUUCCAAUGUGGGGAUAGCCUCAAAUCUUUAGCAGCAUUCAAAUGUGUCAGGCAAACCAUGCUGCUAUAUCUUUACCUCUGCCAACAAAUCUUUUUUUUGUGAUAAUCGAAAGUGUCUGUAUAGCGUUAGGACAUCAGUAGGGAAUCAGUAGGAUAUCAAAUUUAUGAAGACAUCUUGAGUUGUCUUAAUAUAUGGCUUUAAGGACACGUAGCCAUGUGAAUUUACAAUGUGUUGGACGACAUGCCCAUUUGUUGUUAGUGUUUUUCGAAGCUACAUAAUUUUAUCAACCCAUAUGACAAGGGUUUAUUUUACGUAUUUUUAGUGUGUUUUAUUAGUUAAUUUUGGUUUGAUUAUUUAGUAUUAUAACUAAAAUAACUAAGGUUUUGGUAAAAAACUACAUUUUAUGUUAAAAUGGCUAAACAUUGCAUUUUAUGGAUUUUUAUGGUAAAAACUUCAUAUUUUGUAGGUUUAAUGAUUCAAUCAUCAAAUGAAGUGCAUUGAGAAGAUAUUUGGAUGAUUGAAGAUGGAUUAAAGUGAGGAAAAUAAAAUAUGAAGUGUAAAAGGAAGAAAUGCAAUUUGAGGACAAAAAUCAAGAAAAGUCAGCUUUGACAACUCAGACAUAUUUUCGUAUUUUGACUAUAUCAGGAGCUACAAUGAUCGGAUCAAGGUGAUCUUGGUACCAUUUUGAAGUUAAGAGAUAUAUCUACAUUUGGUAUGAAGACAUCAAAGUCCAGUUCAGCCGUUUUCAUAGUCCAAAAGUUGAAAUACCGAAAUUCAACUCAGCUGUCCAAAGUGGAAAACAGAGUUCCGACCAGUGUUUAGUAUUUUGAUCAUAUCUCAGUCUACAAAGCUCCGAUUUGGAUGAUUCUUGAAGCAUUGGAAAGCUAACUCAAAGAUAUACAACUUUGAUGUUUUGCACAAAAGCCAGUUCGGCCUGCAUCAUGGAGAAAAUCGCAGUUGAAGUAAGGACAAAGUGAAAACGCGAGUGCACAAAACGCGAGUUGUAGACGCGUUUUGUAAAGGCGCGUUUUCUGGCCGAAAUUCUGCAAUUUGCUCAGUCAAUUCUCUUGUGUUCAUACCACUUUCCAGCUAUAAGUUGCAAGAGAAUUCGGUGCACAUGCUUCAGAAGACAAAAGGGCAGACAAGGUGGCUUAUUUUCAAGUCAAAAACAUUUGUUAUUGACUAUCCUAACAAAGUUGAGAUUUGGGAAUCAAAACAUUUGUUAUUUUACUUGUAAAUUUUCUCCAUUUGCUGCCAUUAAGGUUUCCUUUGUUCUUUCACAAUAUUUAGUAGAAAUUAUUCCUUCUUUAAUACAACUUGAAUCAGCUCCACUAUCUAUUAAAGCUACAUAUAUUUCUUUGAAAUCUUCUACUGUAAUAGUUACUAAAGCAUACCAUUUUUGAAAUAUCAUUUUUUCUAUGGUAUUUAAAUAUUGAAUUUCAUCUGUUGGUCUUUCUGAUAUACUUAUUUCUUCUGUUUUAGAAUUGGAAGUUGAUGGUUGAUUUUCUAGUAAUGUUAUUUUUGCUUCUAUUUCUAAAUCUUUUGUUUUUAAUUCUAUGAUUUCUCUUUGUAAUUGUUUUACUUGUAUUUUAAGAUCAUUAAUUUCUGUUUGAAGAUCUUUAGUGGUUUCUUUUUUCAUUAUAUUUAUGUUUAGAUAUUUAUCUAUUAAUUUAGAAAUACUAAAAGGUUCUAUUAUUUUUGGCAUUUUGUCUUCUUGUAUAAUUAGACUUUUUAAUCUUUCUAAAUACUCUUUUUUAGCUACUGGAUCAUCAAUUUUUUCUAUUAUAUCUAAUAAAAAUUCUUUAUCUUCUUUUUUGGUUAUAACAUUUAUAUAUUUUGAAGUGUUAGAACAAUUACAAUUUUCUUCACUUUCUGUACUAGAUAUAUCAUUAUAAUAAUCAUCUUCAGAAUUUUGAUCUUUUUCAUUUAUUAAUAAAUUAAUUAAUUUAUUUUUAAUUUCUUCUUCUUUUGCACAAAUCUCUGUAAUUUUUUCUUUUAAUUUACAUUUGUUUGCUUUAUGUCCUAUUUUUUCACAUUUAUAACAAACAAUUUUUCUUUUAAUAAAUUUUCUCUUCUUUUCUGGUUUAUCUUCUUUAGAUCUUUUAUACUUUAUUUUCUUAUUAUAUUUUUUAACUUUUUUGUUAUAUGCAGAUGGUGAUUUAAUUCUUUAGUAGCAAAUUCUAAAGCUCUAUUAAUUGGUUUUAUUGUUCCUUGAUAUAUAUCAUGUCCUAAAAAUCUUAUUUUUGUUUGGAAUAAUUUCAUUUUUGGUGCUGAAACAACUAAUCCAUUUUUCUUAACUACUUUUAAAAAUAUAUUUAAAUGUUUGAAAUGCUGUUCUAUUGAUUCAGAAAAUAUUAAUACAUCAUCAAUAUAAACUAUGCUAAAUGAACUAUAAGGAUUGAAAAUAUCAUUCAUUAUAUUUUGAAAUUCUGAUGGUGCAUUUUUUAAUCCGAAUGGCAUUACGUUCCAUUCAUAAUGACCAAAAGGUGUUGUGAAUGCUGUUUUAUAUCUAUCUUUUGGUGUUAUUAAUAUUUGCCAAUAUCCUGAUUUUAGUUGUUUCAGCACCAAAAAUGAAAUUAUUUCAAACAAAAAUAAGAUUUUUAGGACAUGAUAUAUAUCAAGGAACAAUAAAACCAAUUAAUAGAGCUGUAGAAUUUGCUACUAAAUUUCCAGAUGAAAUAAAAGAUAAAAAUCAAUUACAAAGGUUUUUAGGAUGUUUAAAUUAUAUAGCAGAUUUCUUUCCUAAAUUAAGACAAGAAUGCUCUAUAUUAUUUAAUAGAUUAAAAAAGAACCAUUUCCACCAGUGAUUGAACCAGAUUGGGAAUUCUCUACUGCAACUUUUUUGAAUGUGAAGAACCAUGAAUGAUUGAAUGGUCUAUACAAAAAAAGCAAAAGUCUAAUUAUACAAGAAGACAAAAUGCCAAAAAUAAUAGAACCUUUUAGUAUUUCUAAAUUAAUAGAUAAAUAUCUAAACAUAAAUAUAAUGAAAAAAGAAACCACUAAAGAUCUUCAAACAGAAAUUAAUGAUCUUAAAAUACAAGUAAAACAAUUACAAAGAGAAAUCAUAAAAUUAAAAACAAAAGAUUUAGAAAUAGAAGCAAAAAUAACAUUACUAGAAAAUCAACCCUCAACUUCCAAUUCUAAAACAGAAGAAAUAAGUAUAUCAGAAAGACCAACAGAUGAAAUUCAAUAUUUAAAUACCAUAGAAAAAAUGAUAUUUCAAAAAUGGUAUGCUCUAGUAACUAUUACAGUAGAAGAUUUCAAAGAAACAUAUGUAGCUUUAAUAGAUAGUGGAGCUGAUUCAAGUUGUAUUAAAGAAGGAAUAAUUCCUACUAAAUAUUGUGAAAGAACAAAGGAAACCUUAAUGGCAGCAAAUGGAGAAAAUUUACAAUUAAAAUAUAAAUUUACAAAAGGAUCAAUAUGUAACAAUGAAUAUUGUAUUAGACAUAAUUUCAUAAUUGUAAAAAAUAUAAAUCAUGAUAUAAUAUUAGGAACACCUUUUUUAAUUCAAAUUUACCCAUUUUCAGUUAGUCAUGAAGGAAUUUCAAUAAAUAUAAUGGGAAAAACUGUUAUCUUUAGAUUUCUAACUCCAGUAAAACAAAGAGAAUUACAGACAUUACAAACAUCCUCUAUUUACAAAACAAUAAAUAGUAUUACUAAAGUACAACAACAAAUAAAUUAUAUAAAAGAAGAAAAAUCUUAUUUAAAAAUUGAAGAACAAUUAAAAGAAAGUAAAAUGCAAAAAAGAAUUUCAGAAUUAGAAGAAUUAUUACAAAAAGAAAUUUGUGCAGAUAUUCCUAAUGCUUUUUGGGAUAGAAAACAACAUAUGAUUGAAUUACCUUACGAAACAGGUUUUAAUGAGAAAAACAUUCCUACUAAAGCAAGACCAAUACAAAUAAUUCUAAUCUAUUAGAAUUUUGUAAAAAGGAAAUAAAAACAUUAAUAGACAAAAAAUUAAUAACACCUUCAAAAUCACCUUGGAGUUGUGCUGCAUUCUAUGUAAUGAAUCAAGCUGAAAAAGAAAGAGGAGUUCCAAGAUUAGUUAUAAAUUAUAAACCAUUAAAUAAAGUAUUACAAUGGAUUAGUGAAUAAUACAAUAAAUUUAUAAAUUUAGAAUUAAUAGAGGAUACAAUAAAUUAAAGUAACCAUUUUUAUAAAUUUAAUAGAGCUCAAAUGCAAAUAAUACAAUAAAUUUAGAAGACAUUAAAAAAGUUUAUCAACAAAAUAAUUAUACAAAUCAAAUCCUUCAUACAAUUUCUCAACAUAUGGAAGUAUUAAACACAAAAAUAGAUACUAUAAAGAAACCAGAAUUAAAAUUCCCUAAUAAUAUUUCAGCACCUCAUUUUCAACCUAGAAGUUUGACAAGAGAAAAAGAACAAGAUUUAGAUUCAAAAUCAGAAGACAAAGCAUCGGCGAAUUAGUGAGAAAAAGAGAACAAAACACUCUCAUGUAAAAAUCCUUAGACAAAUCUCUCAAUCCCUCUUUCCAACUACUCUUGUAUUCAAUUACUUUUGUUUCCUUCCUUCUCCAAAUAUAAUAAAGAUCAAGGAUUCAACCAUUCAUCAAGCUUCUGUUAUCAAAGGCCACUCUAAAUUUUCAGUAAGUCCAAUUUUUAUACUAAAUUUUCUAUGAACAUUUCAAUAGAAAGUAGCCUGGGUAGAAGUGGUAUCAGAGCCACUUAUCACAUUAUCUUUACAGUGUUAUUAAGGAAAGUAGAUUACACAGUGGGAACCAAAAAUAGAAGAAAAUAAAGCCUCAUAUGAACCGAAUCUUUCCCCUUGCUUUUUUUUCUUGGAAUUUAAAGGUAUAAUGCAAGAAAUAACUCCUGGUCAUGCAAAAUUGCCAACAAAAAUGCGUCUUUGGUUUUUAAUUCCUUAAUAACAUACUAUCCAGCAUACUAUUUAGCAUAAUAACAUACUAUCUCAGAUGCAUCCACUUAAAUAUCCUGGCCGAGAUGGUAUGAGGCCAAUUUUCUAUCAAAAAUAUAGGUCUGUAGCAGGUAAUGACGUUACCUCACUACAACAAAAAUGGCCUUUAGCGGCAUUUAAAGGUGUCAGUAUAGAAAAUCUAACCUGACACUUUAUCUAUCCUGACACCCAUGGCGAGUGUUGUCCCUUCCAAUGUGGGGAUAGCCUCAAAUCUUUAGCAGCAUUCAAAUGUGUCAGGCAAACCAUGCUGCUAUAUCUUUACCUCUGCCAACAAAUCCUUUUUUUGUGAUAAUCGAAAAUGUAUGUAUAGUGUUAGGACAUCAGUAGGGAAUCGGUAGGAUAUCAAAUUUAUGAAGGCAUCUUGAGUUGUCUUAAUAUAUGGUUUUAAGGACACGUAGCCAUGUGAAUUUACAAUGUGUUGGACGACAUGCCCAUUUGUUGUUAGUGUUUUUCGAAGCUAAGCUAUGCUGACACUUUUAAUUGCCAGGAGAAUUUUCCCUGGUUUUUUUUUAUAUGGAAGCAACCUGCAAUUAGUCCUCCUUGCUGUACAUUCCAUCAAUCAGAAUCCCAAGGGACUUGUAAAAUUAUCCCAAAGAGCAGAAUGCAUAUGGCAAUGUAAAAGAAGAAGUCGAUACUCAAAUAUAAUUCAUUGAAUUAAAAGUCGAUAACAAGUACAAACAUAGCAAAUACUAAAACGCAAACAAGUGCUAAAAGCAAGUACUAAAAUAUCAAACCAGUACCGAAAGAUUCUCAUUUACAAUAACUUAAAAGCUCUAUCGGAAGCACAAAAUAAAAGACUCCCAUCCCUAAUAAGUUGAAAGAAGUAGAAGUAGCUUCCAAACUUUCCAUUUUGUUGAGAGUCCUCAGGCAUAACCACGAAGUCCCCAUCAUUCUUCAGCUGGUUCCACCUGUGCACAAAGACCAAGGGGAUCAUUAGAUCAUCAUAACUAAAACUAAAAUUCCAGAAAAUCCGCAAUGUAUUUAAGUGCAUAUCUCACCAAAUGACAAGGCCAAGCAACUGGUGCACCAAGUGCAUCUUGAAUCGUUUGUUGUAAACCAUAUGGUCUAAUCAAUUGCUCACGUGGAGUCAUUGCAACUUGUAUCUGUAUUUCACACCAGUUUGGCCCAAGAGCUUGUCCCCCGACCUCAUCCAAAGGAUUCAGACUCCGUAAAUAUCCCUUUGCCACGAUUUUUGUUGGGUCAAACAAACUUUUUAGUGAAACCAUAUUCCCUACCUAGUAAACAUCCAACAAGUACAAGAAUCAAACUCAUGCCAAAUUCCAGAUUACAAAUGCAAAAGUUUAGAAGUUGUAAAUACUUACUCAAAUAGGUCGCGUGGCUCGCGAUGGAGCAUGGCUUGACACAUUGUUAGAUGAUGAUGAAGGAUGUCUCGGGCUGUCAAUUGGAGAACCCCUUCCAUGUUGAACUAAAACCAUUUUCUUCAAGCUGGCUAUUUCAUCAUCUUGUCGCUGAAGCCUUUCCUCCAAACGGACUAAUGUUGACUGUUGUUGAACACUUAUACGGUAGCAUGUGUUACGACUAGGAAUGUCUUCCCAUAAGUCCGUUGGAUUCACACCGUCACUAAGCAAGCGAACAUGACCAUGUUUGUCUUGCCCAACCACCUGGGCAAAUAUAUCAUCACGACCAACUGGAUCUUGCGAAUCCGAUGGAAGCUGAUUUUUCAGCUCAGUCAUUUUUUCCUACAUAAUAAAGGAAAACACUUGUUAUUGCAAAAGACUGUCUGAAAACAUCCAUGGUAGAAUUGAUAGGCUUGUGUUCUCGGAUCCUUACCAAAUUCUCAGCAACUAUGGUACUUGAUGGAGUUUGUUGACCUUGGUCGAUCAAUCCUUGGUUUUGAUGAUUAACAAACCAAAAUGUAGAUUUGGGCUAAUGUUUUUAUGUGAGCAAUUUGUUAGAACAGAUUCUUGUGGCACAAAAGAAGAAGCAAAAACAGGGCACUCAUGUGAGACGUCCGAAAGGAAGCUAUCGGACGUCCGAAAGGAUGAAGAACAUCAGGAAGGAUAUUCUGUCGGACGCUCGUGAGAAAGCAUCGGACGUCCGGAUGGAUCGGACACACUCUUCGGACGCACAUCGAUCGUGUCGGACGUCCUAAAAAUUUCACGAAGAUUUGAUAACUCUCUGGACGACGUUCGGACGCAGGGUUCGGACGUCCGACAGGUGGUUUGGACGCAGGGUUCGGACGUCCGACAGGUGGUUCGAACGUCCGACAGGCCAACGGCUAGUUUUGACAGCAUUUAAUAUUUGACCGUUGGAGAGCCUUUUGGAGCCAUUUCUCACAUUCUAUAAACACCCCAAAGCACAAGAAGACACGGGACUUUUGCCAACACAAUAUACAAGCUUACAAGUGAGAUUUUUGAGUAGAAAGAUUCUUUGUUGGUUGUAUAAGGGGUUGGGGAAGUUGGGUUGUGAGGUUGCUCAAGUGAAGGUUAUUCUCUAGGAGGAGUAAAACCUGGUGAAGGUGAACCUAUUCACUUGAAGUGGUAAAACCUUGGUGAAGGGUUGCCUCAUUUGUAUAAAAUAGUUCUUAAUUGGUGAGUGGGGAUCUUUCAAGUGUAGGUUGUUGAGGGUUAACUAGAAUUGUUGUAAAACUCUUGGCUCAACCAAAGUGUGUUUUGGCGUGAGGAAGGGAGGUGAGCCUUCACUUGUACAUCUUGGUUAGCAUCGCCAUCAUUGAAGAGGCUAUUGGUUUGAUAUUUGGUUUGCAUUUCUUAUCCUUUCUCUUUAAUUUAAGUUUUCCUUUAUUGUGCUUAAAUUUGAUAUAUCUUUGUGCAUCAUUGUGAAAUUUGUUUGUACUCAUUAGGUUGCACCGGGCACUUACAAUUGGUAUCAGAGCUUGGUCUCUUUUGAGAGCUUAAUCCGGCUUGGAGUAAAGAUCAAUGGCAACCAUAAAAGUUUCCUUUUUUAGAAGGGCAAUCUAUUGAAGACCACUAUGUUUAAUGGUUCUCAUUUUAGCAUGUGGAAACAAAGAAUGAUGAUUUUCUUACAAUCCAUUUAUAUUGAAUUUGGUAUGUGGUAGAAGAUGGUCCUUUAUGAAGCUAGAAUAGUUGACUCUACCAUCAAUUUGAGUAGAUUAAAGACUAGACAAGAAUUGAAUGGAAAAGACAAGAGAUACCUUUCUUUGAAUGCCAAGGCCAUGUGUAUAUUGUACAAUGCAUUAGAUGUAAAUGAAUCUAGUAGGAUUAAAGGUUGUAAAUCAGCUAAAGAUAUUUGGGAUAAAUUGUGUAAUUUCAUGAAGGUAACCAAGAUAUUAAAGAACAAAAGAAAUCUUUGCUUGUUUCUCAAUAUGAAUUUUUCAAAAUGAUCCUCUGAAAAUGUUGAUAAGAUGUUAGUAGAUUUGUGACAUUAUUAAGAUCUUAAAUUGCUUGCUAGAGAAUAUUCUUUGGUGAGAAAAUAGAAGAUUUUGAAUGCUUGCCAAAAGAAUGGGAAAACAAAAUAAAUGCUAUAGAAGAGCAAAGGAUUUAAAUUCUAUGUCCAUUGAAUCUCUUGUGAAUUCCCUAACUUCUUAUGAAUUAAAGCUGCAAUUCAAAGUGCAAGAGAAAGAAAAUGCAAGAAUGUUAUAAGAGAGGCAUAGCUUUUAAAGCAUCUCAAGUGGGGGAUAACCCAUCUUUCAUGGGUAAUGAAAACAUGGAAGUGGACAAUGAUAUAACUCCUCACAUCAAAAGUUUCAAGAAGAUCUUCAACAAGAGAAGUUCAAGAGGAGAUUGCAAAAUUACAUGGGAUGAAUACUAAUUCAAAAAGAGAAAAAGAAGAGUUGGCACAAAUGGCACUAAUGGCCUUUGGAGAAGAUGAGGUAAAUUCUUAUCACUCUUCUUGUGAUGAAGAUAAUGAAGAUGAUGAUGUGAAAAUUCUUAUGAUUAAAAUGCAUAAAAGUUUGAGAAAAUCUUAUGCUAAAAAUAAAGAUUUGAAAACAAAAAUAAAUGAUUUGUUGGAAGAAAACUCCAAACUUUUUCAGGAAAACAAAUGUUUGAGAAUGGAAAAUGAUGAUUUAAAAAAUCAAAAAAAUGUUUUUGAUUGCAAAAAUAAUUUGAAAAGGAAGUUGGAAGAGAAAACAAAGUUUUAUGGAAAAAUGUUGGAUGAACAAAAUUUGUUAAAGAAAAGAAUUAAUGACUUGAACGAGUUUCUCCAAAAUGAAAAACAAAAGUUUUCUCAAACAAAAGAAAGCAAAUCUUUUCAAGGCACAAAUACGUUUGCUAUGAUAAGAAGUAAGAAAAUUAGUUGCAUUAAAUCCACUUAUGUGCAAAAUACUUCUAUCAUGUGUCACUUUUGUUGUCAAUUUGGACAUAUGCAAAAUGAUUGCUAUGUAAAGAAAAAUAUGAGAAAAGGUAUGAAAUCCAUGUGGAUUGCUAGAUCAUGUUGUACUAACUCCCAAGAACCCUAUAAAAACUUACAAUUGGUAUCAUGAAAGUUUUGUCAUUCUAUAUGGUCUUGAUUUGGAAAAUAAAGGGGGAGUUUACUUUUUGAUUGAUGUCAAAAGAGGGAGUAGGAUUUAUUGAAAUUUCUUUGUAUGUUGGCAUUUUCUAAGGGAGAGUUUUAUUUGAACUUAUUUGAUCAAAGAAAUCUUCAUUUUGUUUGUCAUCAUCAAAAAGGGGGAGAUUUUUGACCUUGGUCGAUCAAUCCUUGGUUUUGAUGAUUAACAAACCAAAAUGUAGAUUUGGGCUAAUGUUUUUAUGUGAGCAAUUUGUUAGAACAGAUUCUUGUGGCACAAAAGAAGAAGCAAAAACAGGGCACUCAUGUGGGACGUCCGAAAGGAAGCUAUCGGACGUCCGAAAGGAUGAAGAACAUCAGGAAGGAUAUUCUGUCGGACGCUCGUGAGGAAGCAUCGGACGUCUGGAUGGAUCGGACACACUCUUCGGACGCACAUCGAUCGUGUCGGACGUCCUAAAAAUUCCACGAAGAUUUGAUAACUCUCUGGACGAUGUUCGGACGCAGGGUUCGGACGUCCGACAGGUGGUUUGGACGCAGGGUUCGGACGUCCGACAGGUGGUUCGAACGUCGACAGGCCAACGGCUAGUUUUGACAGCAUUUAAUAUUUGACCGUUGGAGAGUCUUUUGGAGCUAUUUCUCACCUUCUAUAAACACCCCAAAGCACAAGAAGACACGGGACUUUUUGCCAACACAAAUAUACAAGCUUACAAGUGAGAUUUUUGAGUAGAAAGAUUCUUUGUUGGUUGUAUAAGGGGUUGGGAAGUUGGGUUGUGAGGUUGCUCAAGUGAAGGUUAUUCUCUAGGAGGAGUAAAACCUUGGUGAAGGUGAACGCUAUCACUUGAAGUGGUAAAACCUUGGUGAAGGUUGCCUCAUUUGUAUAAAAUAGUUCUUAAUUGGGUGAGUGAUCUUUCAAGUGUAGGUUGUUGAGGGUUAACUAGAAUUGUUGUAAAACUCCUUGGCUCAACCAAAGUGUGUUUGGGGUGAGGAAGGAGUGAGCCUUCAGCUUGUACAUUCUGGUUAGCAUCGCCAUCAAUUGAAGAGGCUAUUGGUUGAUAGUUGGUUUGCAUUUCUUAUCCUUUCUCUUUAAUUAAGUUUUCUUUAUUGUGCUUAAAUUUGAUAUAUCUUUGUGCAUCAUUGUGAAUUUAUUUGUACUCAUUGGGUUGCACCGGGCACUUACAGAGUUCCAUCGGCAUGGGUAUAAAACUUAUUGAACAUUUCUACUCUAGUAGGAGGUCUUCCCAACUGUUUGGCCUAUAAGAAAUUGAAUCGUUUUAAUUAUAGUUUUAGCAUUUAGCAUAUAAUUAAAAAACAAGCUAACAUAAUGAAACAUGUACGAGCAAAAAAAAUUAGCAACUAAAAAGUGGAUGAGGUAUCACCAAGUGGUUCCGAAGAUGAGCAAAUUACUUUUUUCUGGUUGUGUGGUUCAUCUUCUUCUCCCCUCUAGCUUUCUUGUUCCUCUCACUUAGUUUCUAAAUUUCAAAAUGAAAAGCAAGAUUACAGCAUUGAAUGAACACAACUUUAUGAAGAAUGUUGUAGCUGAUUUGUACCUUUGCUUCUUCACUUUUCCAAUAAGCCCAAAGUUUGAUCCAUUGCUCUUCCCGUACCCUUAUGUCCUUUUGAAACCGAGCUUCAGCAUUUGGCACGGCAGAAUCAAAAUAGUUAGCCUUUAAAUCUGCCUUCCAGCUUCUCCAUUUUUUGCCAAUAGAUCUUAAGGUCCAAGCUUCCAGUCCCAUAGGCAAAGCAAACCUUUCCUGAAACGUAGUUAGCAACAAGAAAAUCAACACAACUUCACAGUAAUUUUUGUACAAAGCAUACAUAAUACAAAAGCUGCCAUUACCUUUAUCACUUCUAACAUGUCCAUUUUAAGUUUCCUUGGCAUCUUAAGCCAUGUUUCAACAUCUAUUGGACAAUACAUACCAUUCCUAGCCAAACUGCCCAAGAAUUCAGAGAAAGAGUUUUUCUCACUUAUUGGGAUCCCAUUGUCAUCGAGUUUAAUCUCAAUCCGUGGAAGUUCCUUAGGCCGACCCCAAAUUUCUUUCAUAAAUAUAGGGCCUCGGGUUUUAUGAUUUACUUCACUUGAAUCAUUUGUAGUUUCUUUUCCUGUUUAAAAUAAGAAAAAGGUGCAAGUUAUGAACAUAACAAAAUGCACUUCUGGAAUUGGUUCAAAACAGUUAGUAAUACCUGCAUUGUCCGAGUUGCAUGACAUGAAGGUGGUGUCACUGGAAUGUGGACCUCGAGAAUCCUGAUUUGGACUUUCUUCGGUUGCUUCAUGCCUUGUUCCAAGUGGAGAUUGUUGAAUUGGAGAGUUCUGGCACUGCUCAUGCGACUUGGAACCUCCAUCAGCUUGUUGAGUAACUUGGUCACCUGAUUCAUGCAUUAUUCCCAAUGUAGAAUUCUGAAUUGCAGAUUGAGGUGCCCGAGCAGCUUCUCCUUGCACUUGUUCAAUUACAUUUUCAUGGCUUGUUCCAAGUGGAGGCUGCUGCCUUGUUUCAUAACAUGAGGGAGGUUGCUCAAUUGGUUCAUCUCUCAAUCCAUUUGCAGCGCGCUUACAUUUUCGACCUCUACGGGCCAUACCUGCAUAAUAUUUGAGUGAAGAAAGGGACAAAUGUAAAUGUUUAAAAUUUAUUGAAGCACACUCUCUACCUAUAGUUUCUUUAACUUACAAAUGCUAUUAUAAAGAAGUACUACUUGAACAAUAAACUGGCAUGACAAGUAACAAAUGGCAUUCUGCAAGAAUAAACCAGGGGAAGACUAUGGAGCUGUCAACAGAACAGAGAAACAAAUGGAGAAUAUAUGAUUCAAUGCAGCAACUAAUUGGAAAUGAAAUGAAAGCUACAUGCUUAAGUGACUGCAAGAAUAUACAUGGGAAAUGCUUUGAUCUACAUCCUUUCAGCAUGAAAGAUAUGCAGAAUUUACUACCGCUAGACACGAAACUUUUUCCAUAUUGUUUUGAGAAUGAUGCCUAUGAUCAAAAGUUGGUAUGCUUAUGCUCAAUGAGGGUGUAAGUAGAAGAGUCCACGUAAUUUUAACUUCAGUAAUGGAGCAAACUAAUAAAUGAUUGUCUUGAAUUAACGAAAUAUACUUGGCCAUGUGAUAACCAAAAAUUGCAGAGGAUAAUGUAUUCUACCAACAAAUACAAGUCUUGGUUUUGUAUGUUUAGGGUGGCAAUCGGGUCGGUUAUGAAGCUCUACUGAAUACUUUUAUUUCCAGAUUCUGACAUGGUUCUGCAUUUAUCAAGAACUUGUCUCAUCUAAACAAGAGCUCAAGCUUUACGUAGCAUUGACGAUUCCAAACCAAAUUACUUCUCUUUUUGCCAGAGCCACAUCCACAGUUAUGGGUUGACACUUAACAGUAAAUGCACAAACACUUUGUCCAAUACAAUUGUAGCAGUACAAACAAUACAGUUGUAGAACAGGAAGGAGACGAAGAGCAUCACGGUGAAAGACUGAAAACGAGAACCCAUCACCAAAAAUAGAUGGUUGAAAUUGUACAUUCAGUUCACAGUAGCAGUCUCCAUUCGACCAGGCUCACCUAGAAAUGUGCUUCUCAGAAAUGUGCUUUUCACACCGCCACCACCCCAAAAGCUUUUCACACCACCACCACCCCCCAAAGCAAACAUUCUACCUAGAAAUGUGCUUCUCAGAAACGGAGAAGGUGCUUGUCAGAGAUGGGAAUCGAAUAGCCUAAAAACUAAAUCUACCAAGCAAUGCAAGAACAUGUCUACCAUGCAAUGCAGAAUUAGACACAAAAUACUGAAAUUACCUCAAACUAUGGCUUGAAUCCCUAAUUUCUCGGUUUCCCAAGCUUUGAAGCCCUAAUUUCUGAUUUCUUCCCACCAAGCCAACACAACAGCCGAAUUAGGGAUUUGCCUGGUGCGAGCUCAACCAAGUUACCCAAAAGGGUGCGAGUUCAUGGACGGCAAUUGACUCAAAUUGGUUGUGCGAGCUUGAAAGAGAGAGAGAGGACAAAGGCAGAGGACAACGAGAGAGGGAGAAGAUGUCUGAAAUAAAGGCGGUACUAAUGACGCCAAAGUAAAUUAGUCAAGCCUCUUGAAUUUUUCAAUUUGCCGCGCUACUAAUGACAAUUUUUGUGUGUUUGGGCAAAAUUUUGUUAAAGCUAGAUAACAACUAAAAAUUUGGUUAAAGCUAUAUACAAUAUAAUAUAACAACUAAAAAUAUAAAGGCUAAAAAUCUUGUUAAAGCUAUAUAACAACUAAAAAUAUAACAAAUAAAAAUUUUGCAAGAGCUAUAUACAAUAUAAUAUAACAAUCAAAAAUUUUGUUACAGCUAUAUAACAACUAAAAAUAUAACAAAUAAAAAUUUUGUUAAAGCUAUAUACAAUGUAAUAUAAUAACUAAAAAUAUAAAAAUAAUUAAAAAUUUUGAGAAGCUAACAAAAAACAUUCUUUUAAUCAAAAUGUUUUCGGUUACUCAAUUUAUUUUAUGCUGCGAGCAAUUAUGUACGGCUUGUAGUCUAACAAGCCAUUGGAAGGAUCGAAUUAGUUUAUGAAACAAGAAAAUUAACUUGUGAAUGCAUGAACUUUCCAUUGAUAAACAUUGGGAUUAGAAUUGACUGAACAUAAACAAUGAAUAUAUAUAUAUAUAUAUUCAAUGUUUUCAAUUCCAAAGCAAUUGCCAUUGAACUUUGUGUUAAUUAGAAACUUACUAUCACUUACAAGAUCUUACUAUUGAACUUUUCAAUGAUUAACCUUAGGCUUACACUUACAACGCAUUAAUUGAACAUAAACAUAUAUAUAUAUAUAUAUAUAUAUAUAUAUAUAUAGGGUAAAAAACAAAAAGGCCCCCUGUAGUUAACCUAAUACACAGAAAAGCUCCCCAUGGUUUCAAAAUAUACAACACGAUCCCUCAUGCUUUGAACUAAAUUGUAAAGGUGACGGAAUCCGUUAAACUUAACGGAAAUGGACGAAAUGACCAAAAUGCACUGAUAUAAUUAAGCAAAAGACAGCUCAAAAAAAUCAUUUGUUUCAUUCUCUAAGUAGAGAGAAUUGAGGGUUAAGGGGUAGAAUAUGCAUAUUUGAUAAAAAAUAGGCAUAAAAAUUUUUUUUUAGGUUCCAAUAAGUCAUUUCCGUUAAGUUUAACGGAUUCCGUCACCUUUAUAAUUUAGUUCAAAACAUGAGGUGUCGUAUUGUAUAUUUUGAAACCAUAGGGGAUUUUUCUGUGUAUUAGGCUUACCACAGGGGGUUUUUUUGUUUUUUACCCAUAUAUAUAUAUAUAUAUAUAUUCAUUGUUAAAAAUUCCAAAGCAAUUGCCACUGAACUUUGUGUUAAUUAGAAACUUACUAUCACUUACAAGAUCUUACUAUUGAACUUUUCAAUGAUUAACCUCAGGCUUACACUUACAACGCAUUAAUUGAACAUAAACAUAUAUAUAUAUAUAUAUAUUCAAUGUUUUCAAUUCCAAAGCAAUUGCCAUUGAACUUUGUGUUAAUUAGAAGCUUACUAUCACUUACAAGAUCUUAAUAUUGAACUUUUCAAUGAUUAACCUUAGGCUUACACUUACAACGCAUUGAUUGAAGGAUAAUCUAAAAUUGCGACUAAACCGAUUAAAUUCGAUCAAAGAUCAGUUGGACUAGAAAGCUCUAUCGGAAUUAACUUUUUGUAUUGUUAUUGGUUUAAAAAAUAAUUUUUUCAUGGUAUUAAAAAAUUAUUUAAGAAAUUUAUAGAUUAAAGUUUCAAAAUAUUUCUAUUGAUAAAAAAUUAGACCUUGGGUUAUUGGGAAAAAGAAUUGGCCAUAAUAUAAUGAUUCACAAAUGUAAUAUUACAGCUUACAAUUAAUGGAAUUGCUUAUAAAAUAAUGACCAGUAUUUAUGCAGCCCAUUGGGCUCUUAAAAUGAGUAAUGGGUUCCUUGGAAAGUUGGAUAGUUUUAUGUUUGGUCUGAAAUGAUUUGCACAUUCCGUACGUUGCCAAUUGUUCUCCCCAAACCAUAGAUGUCUGAGGAAGACAGACUCUACAUCUUCAUCCAUGGACUUCAACCGUGGGUACAGAUGGAGUUGCGGUGACAAAAUGUUCAGACCGUGUCUCAAGCACUUGCUACUGUCGAGAAGUUGAUAGACUUCAAGUCCAUAGGAUCCAAAAGUGAAAAAAAAAGAAGGGCAAGGCCUAGCAAUUGAAACAGAGAAGAAUAGGGCCAGCAAGCUUAGCAACUAUAAAAGAUACUAAAUCAGAUUAUAUUGGGACAAAUCAACUUCAAUCCCGAGUCCAUCCUCACGAACCCAACUAAUUUCCUCAUUUUCAUUCUCAACAACAGGAUUGCCAACAUCACUUUGCAAAUAUGUCUCAACAUCCAUGAUUGUUCCCAUGUUAUAUCCAGCUCUUGCAGUGGUAGAGAUAACAACUUGCCAAUCCUUAUCAGUUGGAUCUGCCACAUAAAAAACCUGUGAUGCUUGUGAAGCGAGUAUAAAUGGCUCAACAUGAGGCCUCACGUUUGCAAAAUUGACUAAAGUAAACCCAUCAGCAUCUUGUUUCAUUCUCGAACCAUUUGAUAUCCAAUCACAUUCGAAUAACACCACCCGAUGACCUCCGUAAAUUAAUUCAAUCAUAUUUUUCAAGACGCCGAAGUAAACUAGUUCACUCAAAACUGGAUUUUGAUCCCUUAUACUUGCAAAACUGGAUGUUGUUGCAUUGACUGUAACACCACUAUUCUGCGUUUUUCUUUUCUUCUCAACUUCUUUGGUGUGAAACCGAAAUCCAUUAACAACAUACCUGUCAUGUUGGAUUCCAACAACAUCUGGACCUUUAGCAAGGAACCUCAACUCUCUCAACACCGAAACAUUUUGAGGAAGUUCUAACUUGUCAAUCUGUAAAAAAUAAAUAAAUAAAUAAAUAAAUAAAAGAAGAUGAAACUAUAUUUGAAGUCCUACAAUUCAAAUUGUACUUAAUAUUCAGAAUUUUACUUACAUGUUCAGCAAACCAACACGCAAAAUUUUCGCAGUGCAAGCGCUCUUUUAGAUGCUGUGGAAUUUGAGGAUGUCCUUCUUCUAUCAAUCUACGAUGCUGCCUAGAAGUACAUGAGUCAAAAUUGUAAUCAUACAUUGAAUUCUACAAUAAAAUUUUAAUGCAUCAAGUUGUAGUUGAACUUACUCUAUGUAAGGUGUGACAGCAUCACAAUUAAAUAAAAUAUACUGAUGUGCUUUACUCAAGAUAUGAGCAUCAAAGACUGUUGGCUUGCCCCUCCCCAAAGGAUGUCCUGAUUCAGAGAAUAUAUCUAAACCAUCUUCAAUUUCCUUAUGUACUUCUUCAUUUCUGCUUGGACGAUUGAAUUUUGUCUCAACAUAGUCCGCAAGAUACAAUGAGCAAAAGUUAAUGCAUUCUUCUGCCAAGUAGCCUUGAGCAAUCGAACCUUCAGGCCUACUUUUAUUUCGAACAUAAGAUUUUAAUGUUCCUAAGUACCUAAAGUAUCAUCAUUCCAACCUCUCUAAUUACUUCCACAAAUCAAAGAAAGCAAAAAAGGAAUAAACAUUUAAGGCAUAAUGAGAAUUACAAGCAGUACCUCUGUAUAGGAUACAUCCAACGAUAAUACACCGGCCCACCUAAUUUCACUUCAGUUGCCAAAUGAACAACUAAAUGCACCAUGACAUCGAAGAAGGUUGGUGGGAAGCAUUUCUCAAGAUCGCAGAGUAUGACGGCAAUUUCACUUUCCAAACGAACCACAUCUUGAGGACAAAUAACUUUAGAACAAAGCUGCCUGAAGUAUCUACUCAAUCGAAUCAAAGGAUAGCGCACUGAUUUUGGCAAAGUCUUUCUCAAAGCUAUAGGCAUCAAUUGCUGCAUUAGGAUAUGAUUAUCAUGACUUUUAAGCCCUGAAAUUCUUGGUGGUUUUACUCGAACGCAUCUUGAGACAUUAGCUGCAUAACCAUCUGGAACUUUCACUUUUUUUAGCACAUUGCAAAACAUAGUUUUCUGUUUUUUAUCCAUUGCAAAGGAAGAUGGAGGUAAGUACACCUUUCCAGGUUCUGUCUCAAUGGGAUGCAGCUCUUUUCUUAUUCCCAUUUCUCUCAAAUCACGGCGGGAAUUAUAAUGGUCCUUUGCUUUAUCCUCAAUAUCCAGCAAUGUCCCCCAAAUAUUUUCACAAACAUUCUUCUCAAUGUGCAUGAAGUCAAGAUUGUGUCUUAAGACAUUAUCUUUCCAAUAUGGCAAGUCAAAGAAAAUACUCCUCUUUUUCCAAUUGAAAGGCAGCUUCGGAUUACCUUUCACAAGUUUUCCAAAUUUAAUUUGCAAGUCUCCCAAUUCACUCACAAUCAUAUCCCCGGUUUGCAAAGGUGGUCGCUUUCCAUGUUCUUCGGUGCCAUCAAAGAAUUGGGCUUGCUUUCUAAAUUUAUGCUUACUAUCUAAGAAUCUCCGAUGACCUAUGUAGCAAUAUUUGAAACUAUGAGUCAACCGUCGUGCAUGAGUGAACUUGUGACAAACAGGACAAGCAUAUUCACCUUUAGUGCUCCACCCAGAUAACAUUGCAUAUCCAGGGAAAUCACUAAUGGUCCACAACAGAGCCGCAUGCAGUUGAAAAUUUUCUUUUUGGGAUGCAUCAUAAGUUUGAAUGCCAAAAUCCCACAAUUCGGUCAGUUCUUUAACUAGAGGCUGUAGAUAAACAUCAAUAUUAUUCCUAGGAGAGGAUGGUCCGGGUAUUAACAAAGACAACAUGAAGUACGGUUGCUUCAUACACAUCCACAGAGGUAAGUUAUAUGGUAUUAAAACUACAGGCCAAGUACUGUGUGUAGAACUCAUGUUGUUGAAUGGAUUAAACCCGUCAGAUGCCAACCCCAAUCUAACAUUUCGACAAUCCUUAGCAAAUUCUGGAUGUAGAUGGUCAAAAGUUUGCCAAGCUGGAGAAUCAGCUGGAUGUCUCAUACAACCAUCUUUUGUACGUUUUGCCUCAUGCCAUCUCAUUUGAGAUGCAAUUUUAGAAGACAUAAAUAGUCUUUGUAAUCUAGGUUUUAAGGGAAAAUGCCGCAACACUUUUUGAGGAAUUUUCCUUUUUUCCCCAGUUGGAUCAUUUUCUGAAGCAACCCACCUAAGCUCGUUACAUGUUUCGCAUGAAGUUCUUUUUUCAGCACUACCCCUAUAAAGAGAACAAUCAUUAGGACAUGCAUCAAUCUUUUCAUAACCCAGCCCCAAUGUAUUCAUCAAUUUCUCAGCCUCAUAGUAAGAAGACGGCAAAUUAGUCAUGGCCUCCGGAAAUGCUUCUCUCAACAGCUCAACAAGCAUAUUAAAAAUCUUGUUACUCAUCUUACCCAGGCAUUUUAGGUGAAGCAAACGAAUAAUGAAAGACAAUUUCGAGAAAUUUUUGCAACCAUUGUACAAAUUCUGUUGAGAAUCAUCAAUCAAUUUGUAAAAUUUUUUCAGCCUCUGAAACAGGAAUGUCCCCUUCUCUAUUCAAUUCAUUUGUUCCAUGUGGUAUCCCAAAUACAUCAUGGACCAAGUCUUGCAUGUCAUUAGUCCCAUUUGAAAACCCAAUUGAUGUAUUUUCAGAAUUAGAUGUGGCUUCAUUGUAGUUUGAAAGUUCUCCAUGUGCUGUCCAAUUAUUAUAACCCUUGAUAAAUCCUACCACUUUCAAAUGAUCAUAUGCUUCCAUUUUUGUCACACAAACACCCAUGCCACAAUCUUUGCAAGGACACAAAAUCUUUCCGUCACAACUUGAUCUAGAAAAUGCGAAGUUUAGAAACAUUUGAAGUCCUGUCUCGUACUUUUCACUUGUUCUUGGAAAAUCCAUCCAUCUUUUAUCCAUACUUUUAAUAUAAAUAAAUGUCCUCCAACGAGCUUCCAAUAGCCUACUUUUUAAACUCAGGUCGUGGCUUACAAGUCCCUAAUUUCAAGUUCAAGAAUUUCUCAACAAAAAGGAAUUUAUCAAGCAGCCAGCAAAUAAAGGAAAUCAACAAAAUGCAAAAUUUCUCAACAAUCUAUAAAAACAGAAUUUGCAAGUAAGCGGAUAGAAAUUUUAUUUACCUAAUAACAGAAAAAAACCCUUCGUACCAACUCCUGCGCUCACGUCUUCGCAAAAUUCCUAAGUUCAAUCUGAAAUGUCAAUGGUUAAACAAACACAUGAGCAUGAAAACUAAAGGUGAAAUUCAAGAAUUUUACUAAAUUUUCAUCAAAGUAUACAUACAUCUUUGGUGUGUAGUGAUUAAUUUUAUAAGUCAUCUCUUUAGAAAGGCAUGCAAUUGACGGCAUAGGUAAUUGGAAAAAGAAUGACAGAAAAGUCCCCUAGCUUCUAAUCAUGCCUAUGAAGAUCCUUAUGAACAUGUCAAAAUACUUUGACCCAACUACAUCAAUGUCUCUGUCUUAUUAAUCUAAAAGUCCCCUUUUUUGGGCUCAAAAUUUGCACUAUAAUAGACUGAUCAAGUGCAGAAGACACUUAGUACAAGCGUUAUACUAUAUAUUUCAAGCAACUCACGUACUGAUUAGACAUACAAUUUAAAACAGAAAAAUGAUGUAAAGAUGCAAGUACUACAUAGAAUUUAACAUAGAAAAAAGCAAUAGUGAUAUAAGUGAUACCAUUGGGUGAAAUAUGCACUUAGCCGGAGGACCACCUUUGUGGCAAAAGCCAAAAGGCAGCAAAGGUUACCAUUGUUAUGCAAAUUUUGUGCCUCACAUUGGCGGUCCAUUAUCUGCAUCUUAAUUGUCUUUGGGCUUAUAUAGUCACGGUUUCCCAAUUCUGUCACCAGAAUAAUUUCCUGCUAGGCAUAUAUAGACCAUGGUCCUUGUUUCAUUUAUUUAUAUCGAACUUGUUGCUGAGUGUUCAUGAUUACGAUAAGCAAUGCAAUUUGGUUGAAGCUCUCUAUUCACAGUUUUGCUUAACCGUCCCCAUCCCCAAACAGAACUAGCUGCCUAAACAAACUUCAAUUACAGCUAGGUUUCAUAGAAAAAAAUGAAAAACAGGGGGAAUUGACUUUUUAUCGAACAGGUUUUGGGCAACAUACUAAUCACCCGUGGACACUUUAUUAGCUAGCCUAUGUACAAUUAUGGCAUGACGAUAGAACAAAUGUAACAUGGACAUAAAGAUCGAUCUCCUCAAAAAAUACGCAAUCCAAUUGAACAAAUUUCCUCAAGUUUUCAUCUCCAUUGCAGCUAAAGAAAAAGCAUCCAACACCGAGUUGCUAUUAAUGCUACAAUUAGAUAGAUAUCAUAUUUAAAUCUUUCAACAAUCUUAAAUGAGGACAAUAUAACUCAACUAGCGACAGCUCAGGCCAAGAAUCUUUACUUCUCAGAAAAAAAUUUCCAAGUUGCAGGUAAUUUCUUGACAACGAAAUCAAACAUAAGAGCUUCAUUGUGUUUACCACUUCGAUUUUGGAACAACAUUUGCGCGCCUGAAGUAUCUUCCAGCUUUCCCAAUGUACAGCUCCGAUCUUCUAAUUUUACUCCCUGCCUGCCCUUCCAGAUGUCUUAGCCGAAGGAUUUAAAGUUGAGGUUAGAAAAGAUGAAGAUGGUUGUUUGCGGAGACAGCUUGACCAACAUUCUGGAUUGGCUGAGAUAGAUUGUAUGCGGAGAGGUGAGAGAGAUGAGAAGAAGAAAAUUUUCACCAAGUCCUUUUGCCGGCAAAAUGAAACUUCAGAGUACUUUACCAAGUGUCUGGAGCCAAAUUAAAACGAUGUCAUUUUCUGUCUUUUUUUUUUCUCACAUUUUCCCAAGUGUCAUGAUAGGUAGUCUAAAGACACAUUAUUAUUUUAUAUCAUGAUAAAAUAAAAAAAUUAUAGUACAGAUUAUUGAGUUGGUUAAUAAGUGUCAUGAUACGUUUGGUAUAACGACACAAACCAACAAGUGUCCUUAUAAACAUGUCAGAAAAGGCCAUUUUUGUUGUAGUGCCUGUUGCGUUUUGAAUUUCUUAAAUAAAGGUCUUCUCUUACCCCCAAGCUAAAUUUCACACACGUUGCUCUUAUUCCUAAAUAUUUAGAGCCCAAGCAAGCAAAUAUCUCAAUUCCGUCCACUAAGUUUAUGUAAUGUAGUGUACAAAUUAGCGUCUAAAGCCAUCUCUAAUCGAGUCCGUGUUCUUUUACCGAAUAUUAUUUCUGAUCUCAAUCGGCUUUUAUUCCUGGCCAAUUAAUCACCAGUAAUGUCCUUGUUGCUUAUGAAGUCCAUCAUUAUCUUAAAUGUAAAAAUGCAGGCAAGGAGGAACUCAGGUCGAUUAAAAUGGAUACGAGCAAAGCGUAUGAUCGAGUUGAGUGGAUAUUUCUCUUAAAAAUAUUACUAGCUUUAGGUUUCAAUUCUAAAUUUAUUUUCUUAAUUUUCAAAAGUAUUUCAACAGUUUCUUAUUCUUUUUUGCUCAUCGGUUUGGGAUUUGGCCACUUAAAACCUAGUUGGGGUAUUAGACAAGGAGACCCACUUUCCGCAUAUCUAUUUAUAUUGUGUGCAGAAGCUUUUUACAUUUUAUCUCAGAAGCUAGUCUUUGUGGAAAGUUGGGAGGCAUUGCUGUUGCGCCUGGUGCUUCAUCCAUUUCUCAUUUGUUUUUUGCCAGAUGAUACUCUUUUAUUUGGAAAGCUACAGGGGAGGAGGCUUCAAAUUUUAUGCAGGUUAUCAAUCUUUAUGAAGGUGCAUCAGGCCAGCCGAUUAAUGUGGAGAAGUCAGUGGUGGUAUUUAGCAAGAAUACUCCAGAAGCUGAUUAAUUGGCAAUUGAAUGUUCUCUUCGAAUGCCGCCUGUGGAAUCACAUGAAAAGCACCUCUGGGGUUGCCUACUAUCGUUGAGAGAUCUAAAGGUGAGGUCUUUAAUUCUAUCAAACAAAGGGUUUUUAAACGGAUUAAUGGAGCAGCAGUUAUCUCGAGCAGGAGAAGAAAUUUUAUUGAAUGUCCCUUGUAAAGUUAAGCAUUAUCUCUGGAGAAUUUGCUGUGAUUUCUUGCCUACUAAAGUAAAUCUGCUCCGGAGAAGAGCUUCAGUGGAGCUCAACUGUCUGUCUUGUGGUUUUGAUAUUGAGGAUCUUAUUCAUGCAAUUUCUUUCUGGGCGUUAAGCUGCCUUAAAGGGCAAGUACGUAAGUGGCAGCAAUCAAUUCCCAAAGAGUGGGCUCUGGAGUUGUUAGUUACGUUGAAAAAUCGUGAAGCAGAGUUGUUUGAGAUGUUAUGUUGGGCUAUUUGGCUUGGGAGGAACCAAAAGCUGCAUGAAGAUAAACGAGUGGACCCUUUUGAGUUUAGUUAGCUUUGCUUCGGGUGCGCUCCAAUAAUUCCAAGAAGCUAAUGUUACUCAGAAAUGUCCAGGCGAUGGCAAGUUAAAGUUUAAUUUUGACGGUGUGGUGUUUAAGGAAACUCAAUCUAUUGGUUUAGAUGACGGUGCGGUGUUGAUUUAUCUAGUUUAGACCCUCCAAUUUUUGACAUUACGAGGGACUUAACUAGUUUAGAGAUGUCUAGUAUUUCAGGAAUGAGUAGGAAUCAUAAUAAAAUCACUCAUAUAUUAGCUAAGAUCGCAGAAUUCAUAUGUGAUCAUGUCUUUUGGUGGAGAGAUCCUCCAGAGUUUGUUGUGCCAUUUCUAAUGGCGGAUUUGUUAGAAAGUUAAUGAAAGUUCAAUACAGGUUAUGUUGAGUAAGACGUUGGAUUGAAAAUUCAAGAUUUUGAACUGAAAUUUCAAGAUUUUGAGAUGAAAAUAAAAGAUCACGCUAAACUUAAUGGAUUCAAAUCUUAAUAUGUGCAAAUGCGUUUGAUAACCAAAAUUGGACAUCUGAAUUAAUUAAGUGCUAGUGAAUUUUCUAAACGAAAUUUGUUCUAAAAAAUAAGUGAUAAACUAUGCAUUUAUUACUGAAUGUGAUAUACACUUAAAUAUACUUGAUUUAAUACUUAACAAUCUAAUAAAUUAAUGGACUCAGAUUUUAGAUUUCAAUUUUAUCAAAGUAACCUAAAAAUAUAGACUAUAGAUAAAAUAACUGCAGAUAAUGAUUUAUGUUGAGUAAGCUUUCAAAGCUACGUUUCCCAAAACAAACUUUAGAUAAUCAUUCUCUAAUUUUUGCUUUCACUCUAGAAGAUGCGUACAAUAAUGGGUGUAUACAAAAAUGGAAGUUAAAUUGAUAACACUAAGCUCGCCAAUUCUCAUAAAAAAAAUGAUGACAUUGCCUGCAUUAAUUCUAGUAACGGACUGAAGACAAUAAUUAAUAGGUGACUAUAUGGUGCCUAAGGCACACAAUAAAAUGUGGACUUGGUACCAUUAUUUAUUUUUGUGAAAGGAUAAACCUAUUUUGUAAGGUGUCGCAAUUCAUCAUCAUGAAAUGAGUGGUAAUUUUAAAGCAUUAAUAGUGAAUUCACCUUCAUUUUUAACGUUCAUAUCGCAAAGCCUAUUAAAAAAUUUCCACCAGCACAAAUUCCACUUUUAAUAGGUUCGAAAAUUCACUCACAAAUUUAUCCACAAAUCCCAUUAACAAAAAAAAAAAAAGAAAAUGCAGAAAGUUAUCAACGGAACUUCUAUAGUGCGUUGACGCGCGACACGUGUUGGUUGGAGAUUACUAGAUGGGAGUGGGGUUAAUCAAAGGUGGUAUUUUAGUAUUAAGCCCAAAAACCACCGGUAACAAUGGUAUUGACCCAAUUUCUAGAGGAAUUGACCCACAUAAACUGUGAAAGAUUAUUUUCUCUGUCAUUUAAGGCAAUUUCUGAACAAGAUUUAGGCGUAUAAUAAAGAAAUUAUCAACCCCAACCCCCAAUAUUAUGCUAAUAUGCAAUUGGAAAAAAUUAAAUGAAUAUUUACUUGAAGUUAAGAAGUGGAUACCAAUCGGUAGAAAGUGUUUAUAACAUACUCCGAAAUGCCAAAGGACUUCCCAAAAAGUGGGAAGCAGGACAACAUCUGAAAUAUAGUCCAAGUUUGAAGUGCUUUAUGUCAAACAUAUUUCAAUAUAGAAAAAAAAAAAAUUACUGGUUAGCAUAUGUUUGUGCGCAGUAUUUGUUGAUUGGGAGACGGUUCUAAGGAGGCGGUUUUGCAACAAAUAAGUAAACGGGAUGUCGAUUACUUGGAGUUGUAUCUUAUGCUGGAAAAAUAAUUAGACAUGUCAGUUAAGUAAUAUUUCAAUUUAAAUAAAGUUAGUUAGGAACUAGAACUCGUAACAUGGUUGGAUAUGGUUAGUGAAUAGGAUAUGAAUGUUGGGGGAUAGAAUACAACUAGAAUUACUAAGACAAAUUAAGCGUGACACUUUGAAUUCAAAUUUUACUAACAUUGCAUAAUAACACCUUUGACUGAUAAUUUUUUUUGAUACGGAAACUGGAAAAAUUUUAUUAAGAAGAGGAUAGAUCCGUAUUAAUUGCGAAAGAAAGAAAAAAUGGUGGAGAAAAUCUCCAACUAUAAAUACCUGAAAUAGAACUAGCAUUACUAUCUAAGAAAUGAGCAGGCACAAUUAGAUUCCUAGGAAUCCAAUCAGCCUCCCAAGUAAUGAAAUUCUGUAAACUAACAAAGAUAUCAUCUAACAGCACUCCAUAAGCUGAAUCAUCGGAUUCCAUAUUUUUAAGCAUGUUGAUGAUCUUCAAAGAGUCACCCUCUAAAACAAUCUUAGAACCUUCAACUGAAGUAACGAGGAAAUUGCAGAUAUUGCAGCAUAAGUUUCAGUUACUUCAGGAGAAAAGAUACCUAAGAUUUUGUGAAAAAUACUAGCAACAAAUUUGCCCCAUUCAUUCCUCACAACAAUUCCAACUCUAAAGUUGUCGUCUUCAUAGAAUAUUGCACCAUCGAAGUUUGCACUGCACCAUCGAAGUUUGCCUUUAGAAAUCUUGCAGAGGGCUUUAUCCAAUGAAGUUGAGCAGUGGAAGAGCAUAUUGGAAUGUUUGGAAAUGUGUUUAUUUCAUGGUAUUUCUAUAAGAAAUUGAUAGAGAGGGAGAGACCAAACUGAAAGGAUCACGAUAGAACCAUCAAAUAAUGCAUCAUUUCGGUUAAACCGUAGAUUCCAAAGAAUUAUGGCUACCAAUUCCAUGUCCUGCUUUUUCAAAAGAUGAAGGCCAGACAACCGAGACGAAACUUGAUCGGUAGAGUCUAAUCUUAUCUUUAGUGUAAGAAAGCUAAGGGCCCAAGGUUGAAUUGCUACUGGACAGCACAAGAAAAGAUGAUUAACAUCAUCAAUAGGGGCCUUACAUAAAGAACAAGUAGGAUCAAAAUAGACUCCGCGACUAUUCAACUUGGAAGUUAUAGGUAGAAUGUCUUUGCAAAUUCACCACAAGAAUAUUUUAACUUUACUUGGUAUGUUGAGUUUCCACAAGCAGGGCCAAAUAUCAUCCAUAGAACCAUUACUACAUGAAGCUACAUCUUGUCAAUUUGUAGAUUAUAUUUUGAUAAGAUGAUAGGCAAUUUUCAUUGUGAAGGAGCCAUUUUUAGAAUAGUGCCAAAUGAGCUUAUCUUGAUUUCGUCUAUCACCCAAUGGAAUACUCAUAAUCAACUCAAUCACAUCUAAGGAUAGCAACGGGGGCAGUGCCCGGGGGGGCUAUUGGGGCAGAGGUUGGGGCGGGGGUGGGGCUGGAGCGGGGGGAAUUUUUCCCCCCAUUUAGAAACGGGGCAGGGGGCCCACCCAUUUGGAAAAAAAAGAGAGAUAUAUAUAUGUACAUAAUUAUAUAUAUAAUAGUAUUAUCAAUUAUACAUGUCUAUUAAUAAAAAUUAUUAAUUAUUUAUACUAAAUUUAUUAAUACAUUUAUAUUAAAUUCCUAACUACACUUAAUACAAUAACACUUUUUUUCUAAAAAAAACACAAUAAUAAUUUAGUGAUUGUAUUUGUAUCAAAAGUAAAAACAAUUAUUUUAGUUAUAUUUGUUUUAUCAUAUUAGAUCGUAUUCAAAUAACUUUUGUUUAAUUAUUUUUAUGAGUUUCAAUUGUGAAGUUAUAAUGAAUAAUAAUUUGGUGAUAUGUUGAUAUUUUAGUACUUGAUUACUUGCUCAAAUUUAAUUAUAAUAAAAUUAUAUAAUAAUUUUUUUAACCCCGCGGGGGAAGCGGGGCGGGGGCGGAGGACGGGACGGGGACGGGGGGGAAUUAAUAGGCAACGGGGCGGGGGUGGGGGAGGGGCCACCCCUAAUCACAUCCUGCCAAAAAAGCUCUUGAAGCAAAUCAUAUUUCCAUUUCCUGCUAUUUUCAUCAAUUAAACAAUCUAUAGUGGACAUUUCUAGUAGCACAUCAAAACGAGAUAUAAUUUUGAAAUUAGAAAGACGUGGAAUCCACCUCUCUUUCCAAAUUUUGAUAUGAUUCCCGUGUCCAUCUCACCAUCUACUACCAAAAACACCUUUGAUUGAUAAUUAAAUAGUUAAAAAAAUAUAUCUACUUAAUUUGUUUACUCAAUAGUUAUGUGAACUAAAACAUAAAAAAGAAGGUCAAUUAUUAUAUUAGUGUUAUAUUUGUAAUAUUAGUUCCCUAUAUAGUAGGUUGCCGAGUUGGGCAUAUUUAUAUUCUACCAAGUAAAUGCCCUAUCUUUUCGAAACGUGGCAAAAAAAUUGUGUUUGUUUUUUUUGGUAGAUUUCAUUCUUUUUCUUUUUUGGUAACAAUUAAUUUACUAUUCAUUUUCACUUCAUUAUUUAUAGUAAAUUUCAAUCAAUUAUCAAUUACUUACCUUAUAUGCAUUUUUAUUAAUUAUACCUUUAUUUUUUUUAAUCAACUUAUAGCUUUCCUUUUUAAUUAGGCACUCGUUAAUAUAUGUCUUAGGUGUUAAAUUUUUAGAAAUAUAAGAUGAAUUAGGGAGAGCAUAUAAAUGUAAGGGAAUUAAUUAGAAAAAUAUAUAAAUAAAAGAAAAAGUAGUAAUAGUUGCGUAUAUAUAUGGCAGGUUAGGUGGAAUGCAGGUGUGUUAACGAUUACCCAUAGGGCACCCAUUAGAAAUACUCAUCAAAAUUUGGAUUAAUUUUUUUUCCUUUCAUUGCAAUCAUUACUACCAUUUUUCCUAUCAUUUAUUACUAUACCUUCAUGUUUCUAAAUACCAAUAAAUGUAUUACUCUCUUACUUUUUAUUUGAUUGUGCUAAUUAUAGCUUUCCUUUUACUUAAUCAAUUAGUCAAUCGAUCAAUCAACCAAUGAUUUUAAUUCUCUUUUCAAUCGCACGAUCUUUCUUUUAUCCAUCAUUAGGGAGAUUUACAAUUUAGUCACAUAUUUGUUAUGUGUACAAUAAUUAUGCAAUCAUAAGCACAAACUAAUGCAAUUCUAAUAAUUUUGCAUAUAUGCAUUCAUAUUGUAUUGCAACACCUUUAAUAAUUCAUUAUAUGGUUACAAAAGCCAAAAAAAAUCUAGUAUUACCUAGACCUUAGAUAGUCCCCAAUGUAUACACUGAUACUGUAUAAAAUGAUUUUAAACCCGUUAAUAUAUAUACUGAUUGCAUAUGAAGAUUCAUCCCUAAUUUAGACCUCUUAGAUAGUUUGCAUGCAUUAUAUUCCCUUUUUUUAAUUUCUUAUUUAGUUUACCUUAUUACCAUUUAUGAUUUUUUUUUAAUUUAAGCAACAUCUUCCAAUAUUUUAUCACCAUUUUAAGUUAGUUCAUUUUUAGGAGAUAGUAGUAUAAGUGUGGUAGUUUGUCCAAAUAACUUUGAAUAUGCAUAUACAACCCAAAAAUAAAAUGAUAGUUGUUUAUAUUCUUAUCACUCAACGAUGAUAGUGUUAUGUAAUUUAAAUGAUUGAGAUCUAUUGCCAUCCAAAUAUAAAUUUAAUAUGAGGGUAUGAUAACUAAAAAUGACUAUAGAAUCUCCCUAAAUACUAAAUAAUGCGAAUAGAGAUAUUCCCUCAAAAACUUGUAAAGUACUUAAUGUGUAUACGGGUAAAUUCUUGCAAUAGUGAAAGGAAAAUAUCUUACUAGCCUUGAAAUUUUGGCCCGUGUAUUGACUUUUGUUAGCUAAAUUAAACUAUCUUGGAGUGAAGACAUAAAAUCUGCGGCAAAAUUUGAGAGAGUUGUGAACAUAGCUUAUCUAGCGUACACAUUUUUUUCCGAGUUUGAAUUCUCUCACUUACACGACAAAAAGAAAAAACUAUCGUACAUUUAACUUCCAACUAACAAUGAUGUAUAGGUAAUAAAUUAUAUGCAUGGGAUAUUCUCAUAAAUAAAUGAAAUAUAUUUACACGACAAAGAGUAAAUUCUUAAAUUAAGAAGAAAUAAUAUUAUAGUAGCUGUCAAUUUGUUUAUAUGACUUUUUGGUUUGUCUUUACUCAUGACAACCAAUUAUGUUAUUUUGAUGUAAAAAUAUCCAAAAACGGUUGAAUACAAUGUGGGACAUUAUUAUUAUUACUCGGAUACCUCAAUAUUUAUAAAAUUGAUUAAAUUGGAAUCCAUCUGGAUUUAACAGUAUUUUGAAAAAACUAUUUUUGUUGUUCAAGUCUAUAGUAAUAAACUUUAAAAAUAACCUCAAAAAUAAUUUAAAAAAUACAACAUAUCUCAAAUACAUUAAAAAAUAAUUAAAAAAUUUCCCUAAUUCUUCUUCCCCACACUACCCACUACAACCACCACCACUACCCAUCACUGUCCACUACCACCACCAUCAUCCCCACACCCAUGACCCGUCUUCCUCUCUCCUCUCUCUCUUUCUCCUCUCUCUCUCCUCCCUCCUCCCUCCUUUCUCUUAUUCUCCUUCUCCUUUCUCCUUCCUCCUCUGCCUUGUCUUUCCUCCCUUCUCCCUUCUCUUUCCCCAUCCCCUAAUCCCCCCUUCCCUCUACUGACUGUGGCCUUCUUGGUCUUGACCAGAAAGGUUGCAGCCAGAAGCCGCGACUAGUGGCUUCUGGUUGCAACCAAGGUCACAGAUGGAGUCGCGGUUACCAUCCACGAUUGGGAGAGGUUUGAGGGUCAGAAACGAGAGGGACGGGGGAGAGAAGGAGAAGAAAGAGGAGGGAGAAGGAAGAGGAAGGAGAGAAAGAGAGGGAAAACAGAGGGAGAGACAAGAGAGGAGAAAGGGGGUAACGGCGUUGAGUGGUGGUGGUGGCUGGCGUAAAAUUUUUUAAAAAUACCCCAAAAAAGUUGUAAAUUAUAAAAAUAUCCCAAAAAUGUAUUUUAAAAAGCCCUAAAAAUACCUUUAAAAAAUCCCCCAAAAACAUCUAUAGUACAAGUUAUUUAUAUAUAUAGUUACCGUAAAGUUUUUAAAAGAUACCCUAAAAACAGUUAGUCCAAAUGGAGUCUUGAGUUUUGAGGUUAAGGUUCAAUGAUUGACCACAAUUUAGGUCAAAGUAAAACUUGGCCGAAAGUUUAGUGGGUAAAAUAUAAUUUUAAAAAUUAAUCAUCUUCCCUGAUCCUCACAGUUGCAAUGGUGAACUGUCAGCCCCUUAGGACGUGUUCCAGACGGAACACGCGCAACCGUGGUAGAUUUCGGUCACUCAUGGUCAACUUGGAAGGCUGAAGGUGAACUGGUUGGGAAAAACUUGGACACAUGUUUGAUGAUGUAUUCCAUGCCUAUGUAUGGGUUUGGAAAAGUUUCAGGGCUAGGAAAAUGUCUCUAAAUUAGUGGGGAAAUGAGGGGUGGCUUUACUAGCGGUCCGAAAUUUUUAGCUAGGACUACUAUAGAGAGAGAUAACUAUAACUAAGCCAAGUCAAUGCCAAGGGCUGGGGGCUAAGGCUUUAUGGGUUAUUUUGGAUGGUUCCAAGCAUUUGGAGCUGUGGUGCCUAAGUUGCUAAGUGUUGGGCCAAGUUGGGCACGGAACUAAGCAAAUGGCAAGAAGCUGGGUGUGCGAAACUGUGUGACCAUUGCAUGUGCGCUCCAAAGACGAACGUUGGGACUGUCUGGCAGUUGCUAGUCGUUUGCUGGAGUUGCGGACGAUUAUCAGUCAACUCAGACACGUUCUUAUCGGUUUCCUGACUUCAUGUACAUUCGGGUCGGACCAACGGUUGGGUCUUGUCAACUAUAACAAUGCAUAUAAAUAAAUGGCUAGGUAGGGAGUAAAGGCAGAUAGUGAGAAACACCCUUAGAUGUUCUGCAUGCUAAAUGUUUGUAGAAUUGUCCUUGUAAUCUCUAUAGUGAAAUACAAGGUUGGCCGUUUGAUUGUAACUUGUGCGUGUUGUUCCUUUGUUUUUGCCUAAGUAUUCUAUGUUGAAUACUUGUAUGCAAGUGUCAGUGUAAGGGCUGACUGGAAGCGCGGCUUAUCAAUGCCAUUACAUGCUUGUUAGGCUAGUGAGCGUAAACACCUCGUAAUAGUUUGGUAUCAAAGCACGGCUUUGAUCUAUUAGACUGUGCUUCUGUUAUGUGUUUUGUUGGUUAAUGAUGGUUGGACACAGGAAUUCUGUUGCAAUGCUUGGAAUGGUUGCAAUGUUAGGAACUUGCAUUCGAGGACUUGAUGCAGUGUCUAGGAGAUGGCCUAGAAGGCUUCAAUGUCAUAGAAGUUCUAUUGCAGACUAGAGAGAUGAUCAACACCCUGACUGCACAGAUGGACGAAACCAGGCAGACAGUUUCUUCUGUUGGGGAUGUUGAGAUGCUAAGGAAUGAAAUGAUUGCAUCCCAUGCAAAGAUCGUGGCUUUACAAUCGAAGAUCAAUGUGUUAAAAAAGGCAGUCGGCUCUUGUAACACACAGACCUUUCAAAAAUCUUCGAAGAGGAAAGUGAAAGUCCUAGAUCCGAAACCAUACCAAGGUAGUAGGAGUUCGAAGUAUUUGGAAAACUUUUUGUGGGAUUGUCGAGUAGUACUUCAAGGCUAUUGACAUUCCUGAAGUAGAGAAGGUGUCAAUUGCAUCAAUGUGUCUUAGUGGUGAUGUAAAGUUAUGGUGGAGAACAGUGCAAUCAGACCUACCAAACCCAAGAUCGGUACUUGAGAAGUACUGAAGGAGGAAUUGAAGAAGCAAUUCCUUUCCACGAAUGUUUAAUGAAAAGUUAGAGGUGUAUUGUGAAACUUAAAGGAGAAUAAGAAAGUACAGAGUACGUUACAGAGUUCCAAGCCUUGAUGUUAGAUGUAAGGGAAAUGUCUGAGGAAGACAGACUCUACAUCUUCAUCCAUGGACUUCAACCGUGGGUACAGAUGGAGUUGCGGUGAUAAAAUGUUCAGACCAUGUCUCAAGCACUUGAUACUGUCGAGAAGUUGAUAGACUUCAAGUCCAUAGGAUCCAAAAGUGAAAAAAAAAAAGAAGGGCAAGGAUAAGGCUAAGGGCUCGAAAGGUGGUCAAUUCUCAAAAAAGAAUAAAAAGAAGCAGACAGUAACAACGACCGAAACUAGCGGUGCUUCCUCUUCUAAGAAGAAGCAAACAUCCAACCCUAAAAAGGAUGGCUGCUAUACCUGUGGAAGACCACACUUAACCUGCAAUUGCCUCAAUAAGAAGGACCAGAACGUUAGUGCCUUAGUGGCAGAAGACAAUAGUGACCAGUUGGAGGUCCAGGAUGCACGGGUCAACCCCAUGUAAUUCUUGAACGCCAUCACCGAUACUAAUGUCUGUACUCUUUACAAUGGUUUGAUGUAUGUGCAGGUUACAUUGAAUGGUAACCAUAUAUUGACGAUGGUUGAAACGGGAGCAUCAUAUAGUUCUAUGAUGGAAAAAGUAAUGAGUCGGUUCCGGUUACAGUUGAAAGACUUGGGUUUCAAAAUUGAAGGCUGUAAACUCUGAAACCAAACCAGUGCUAGGCAUGGCGACCGUAGAUUUAGAGUUGGAGCCAUGGAAGGGUUGGUGCAAUUUCAUGGCAAGUCAAAUGGAUGAUUUUGACUUGAUUCUAGACAAAGAUUUCAUAGUUGCAAAUAGGAUCUAUCCAAUUCCGCACUUGGAUGGCGUCAUGGUGAAUGAUGGCUAGAGUCCAGGCUUUGUUCUUGUAGUAAAGUUGCAGAAACAAAAGAACAAUCAACAAAAGAACAUGGUAUCAACGAUAGAGAUUGAGUCAUAUCUUCUGAGGCGCGGUGAAGUUGUGUAUAUUGCUGCAUUGGUGGAAACCAAACCUAACAUGUACCAAGAAGUACCUAACGCCAUGGCCCACGUUCUAGAGAAGUUUACAAAUAUCAUGCCUACAAAGUUUUCGAGAUAGCUUCCUCCAUCCUGUGCCGUGGAACACAAGAUCGAGUAGGUUCCAAGAGCCCAACCACCUGCCCAAACUCCUUAUCGCAUGUCCCCGAUAAAGUUGGCUGAGAAAGAUAUAGUACGCAUGAGAAAGAAAUGACAGUUGUUGUACAUUGUCUCAAGAUAUGGAAGCACUAUCUAUUAGAAACCAAGUUUGUGGUGGUGACUAAUAACAUGGACAAUACUUACUUCAAGACACAGAGAGAGUUGACCCCGAAGCAAGCUCGUUGACAAGAGUUUCUGGCUGAAUUUGACUUUGACUGGAUUCAUAAGUUAGGAAGGGAGAAUGCAGUGGUCGACAUACUUAGUAGAAAGUAUGUCGAAGAAUACAUUGUUGUGCUUAGCACUGUUGAGACGGACUUCAGGGACAAGAUCAAGUGGGAGUCCCCGAGUGACCCAAUUUAUCAAAACUUGGUGUUCGUGAAGUCAAAGUUCGUCGUUAUUGGCUGGAGGAUGACUUACUAUUUUGCCAAUAGUGGUCAAGCAUAUGUUCCAGCAGGAGGGGGACUUAGGCGACAGUUACUACGAGAAACUCACAAUGCUUCUUGGAUUGGUCAUUCUGAAGUUGAACGAAUGCGGGCAUUAUUGUCGCGUAGCUUCUAUUGGCCAAAGAUGGAAGAGGAUAUUGAAGCAUACGUGAAAACUUAUCUUGUUUGUCAACAUGACAAGAUGAGAGGAAGAAGGAGCCAGGCUUGUUGCAGCCUUUGCCGAUCUCUGAUCGACCAUGGCAAUCAGUUUCUAUGGACUUCAUUUCGAGAUUCUCUAAGGUCGAUGGUAUGGCUUUUGUCUUUGUAAUUAUUGACAGAUUUUCUAAGUAUGCUGUGUUUGUUGGUGCACCAAAGGAGUGCUCGGUUGAUGUUGUCGUUGAGUUAUUUUUCAGACAUGUUAUGAUGUAUUUCAGAUUACCCAAAGAUAUCAUAAGUGACAGGGACAUGAGAUUCAUAGGUAGAUUUUGAACCGUGAUGUUCGGGUUGCUAGGUUUCGAACUGAAGUUCUCAACUGUCGCAUACUCUUAGACCGAUGGACAAACGGAGAGGAUCAAUAUCUUGCUAGAAGAAUACUUAAGGCAUUACGUGACGACAAGUUAGAAAAAUUGGCUGGAGUUGCUGGAUACUGCAUAGUUUUACUACAACCUGCACAAGUUAUUCGUAACUAAGUUGAGUCCAUUUGAGUUAAUGAACAGGCAACAACCUCUGACUUCACCUGAAGUUGCUCUUCAAGAGUUAGUUUGUUGAUGACACAACAACGCAUGAAGAAGUACGCAGACCAACAUAGAUCGGACUUAGAGUUCCAACUGACUCCCUAGAUUUGAAAAAAAGUAAAUAACAAGACAGUCCAUCGUGGGAUCAUCCAUGAGUACAAUAGACCAUUUGAGGUAAUCAAGAAGGUGGGUCAUAUAGCUUAUCGUUUGAAACCACUUGACAAACUCAAGAUCCACCUGACCUUCCAUGUGAGUUUUCUGAAACCCUUUUACCAAGACGAGAUGGAUGGAGGACGGAGGGAAGCAAAGUGUGCCUCGCCAGUGAUCCACAAGCAAUUCCAGAAUGAUGUGAAGGCUUUGCUGGAUUACAGAAUGAUGGGACAAAGAAAAAAGAAUAGAUGGACAAACUAUCUGAUCCAUUGGAACGGUGAAACAAAAUUAGAUGCUACUUGGGAACGAGAUGUUACCUAGUGACAGUUUCAAGAUAAGAUUGUUGAGUACUUGAAGAACGUGCGAAAGCAAACCAAGUUGACGAGGGCGUCAACCUCUUCAGGUGGGGUGGUUUAUCAGCCCCUUAGGGUGCGGUCCAAACGAAAAGUGCACGACCGUGGCAGAUUUCGGCCGAUCAUGGUCAAGUUGGAAGGCCGAAGAUAAACGGGUCGAGAAAAGUUUGGACACAUGUUUGAUGAUGUUUUUCAUGCCUAUGUAUGGGUUUGGGAAAGUUUCAGGGAUAGGAGAUGUCUCUAAGUUAGUGGGGGAAUGAGGGGUGUCUCUACUAACGGUCCGAAGUUUUUAGCCAGGAAUACUAUGUAGAGGAAUAACUGUGACUAAACCAAGUCAAGACCAAGGGCCGGGGGCCGGGGGCCAAGGGUGUGGUACGACUAGACUUUGUGGGUUAUUUCAGAUGGUUCCAAGCAUUUGGAACCGUGGUGUCUAAGUUGCUAGGUGUUGGAGCAAGUUGGGCACGAAACGUAGCAAAUGGUGGGAAGUUGGGCGCGCAAAAUCGUGCGACCGUUGCCUGUGCUUGCAAAGACGAACGUUGGGACUGUCUGACAGCUGCUAGCCGUUGUUGGAGUUGCGGAAGGUUACCAGCCAACUCAGACACGUUCUUAUCGAUUUCCUAACUCAUGUGCAUUUGGGUUGGACCAAUGGUUGGGUCUUGUCAACCGUAACAAUGCCUAUAAGUAAAUGGCUAGGCAGAGACUAAGGGCAGAUACUAAGAAACAUCCUUAGAUGUUCUGCACGCCAAGUGUUUGUAGAAUUGUCCUUGUAAUCUCUAUUGUGAAAUACAAGGUUGGCCGCUUGGCUUUAACUUGUGCGUGCUGUUCCUUUGUUUUGUCUGAGUGUUCUACGUUGAAUACUUGUGCACAAGUGUGAGUGUGAGGGCUGACUGGUAGUGCGACUUACCAGUGCCAUUACGUGCAUGUUUGGCUAGCAAGAGUAAACACCUCGUAACACGAACACUGGUCGCCCAUCUUCAACCACCAUCUAACACUUCUUUUCAAGAUCAAUUCUUGCCUAACACUCAUUUUAUUCGCUUGAGUCAUGAUUAUGGCAUCACUUUUCUUCAGUUUAAACCCUUUGACGAUACAAAAAUAAGGUCACAAUUGAAAUUCUGAUUCGAAAAUUUGAAACUUUCGGGAUUGCCUCCUGCUAUGGGCUUUUCUCAAACUCGAUCAUAUGCCCGAACAAAUUCAUCAACCAACACUCACUCUGCCCUUGGGGCACCCAAUUAACCCCUUUAAAACAAUUUUGAAGACACCCGAAACUAGGGUUGGGCAAAAAUACUUGUUAAUCCAAAAAUCUGACAUAUCCGAUUCGAUUCGAUUCAACAAAUAGGGUUCCGGUGUGUAUUAUUUGAUCGGGUCAAAAGAAAGUUGGAUAAUUACUUGUAUGCGGCGUUAGGUGGAGUCACCUGAUUAAGAAUCCGUGGGAACCCGACCCUUCCCACAUAUAUAUUUUUUAUUUUUACACACAUAUUACAAAAUAAUACUUUUGGAGCUAAAUAAGUAAUUUCAUUAAACAAAAUACAUUAUAAAUAUGAAAAAUAAAGUUUAUUUAUAAGAUUCAUUUAUAGAUGUCAUGAUUUCUUUUUUUUAAGGAAACAGUUUAAUUAAUAUAGAACAUAUAUUUGUAAAAAGGUACUAUUUAUUUGAAUUUUCAUUGAUUUUGAAUUCUUUUAAUUUUCUUUUCUCGUAUUCUCUUUGCAUGUUCAUUUUUUAUUGAGAAAAAAUCUUUAUUAAGUUUUAGAUGAAUAUUCAAAAUACAAAAUUAAAUUACUAUAAAUUAUUUUUUAAAACAAUUAAAUGAUAACCAGCGUGAUGCAAAUAUCUGUUAACUCAACCCUACUUUAAUGGAAACCCACUCAUAUACGGGAUGGUUAAAGGUCAAAAGAUAGCUGUCUUGCAAGGUACGGGUCUAGUCAGCCAAAUGAAGCAUAGAACGAGUACUACUUGACUUGUACCUACCCCUACCCAAAACAAAUCUUAAUAAUCAUAAAAUAGCAACCUGCACUUGCAAAAUCCAAUUUUCAAUUUUCUCCUCAGAAUUUAGCAUCAAAUUUUACAAAAAUUACACAAAAACAAUCCAAUCAACAAAUAAAUACUCAAGCAUUGAAUUGACAUUAUACUGUAUUUGUGCAGCACCGAAUUGACAUUAUCUGACUUGUAUGUAUGGCAAAAUAAAGGAACUAUGAAGAGGAUGGGAAGGAGGGAGAAGGAUGCUCAGAGUAAGGGAGGAGAUGAAUCGGAAAAUUUAGAUAUUUUUUCUUUUUAUUUUCUAUAUUUUCUAUUAACCGGAUUUAUAGGUAACUAGAGCUGUUAAUCGAACCGAAUAACUCGCGAGCCGAGCUCGACCCGGCUCGACAAGGGCUCGGCGCGGCUCGUUUACAGAGAGAAACAAUCCGAGCUCGAGCUCUACUCAGUAUUCGUUUAAUAUAUGCUCGGCUCGUUUAAGCUCAGUAGGCUCGAAGAGUAGGGGCAUUAACAUCAUUUUAUUGUGUAUGUGGUACUCUAACCUAAGUCAUUCUCCCGUUUGUAACCAUAAUUUUUCUUUCCUCUUUUGGUCUUACCUUCUCCCGUUCCACAGCCGUAGCCACAGUCGCACGCCCGCACCCUUCAUUUUUACCACCGUCACCGAGUCACCAUUCACCAAUUCAUCCAUCAUCUCACCUCCAUCAGGACCAUCACCUAUCCGUCCACUAUCUCACCGCCAGGCGCUAUCCCUAAUUUUUUCUUUCCUCUUUCGAUCUUUCCUUUUCCCGUUCCACAGCCGCAGCCGCACCCUUCAUUCUUACCACCGUCACUGACUCACCAAUCCAUUCAUCUCACCUCCAUCACCAAUCCGUCCACCAUCUCACUGCCAUCAUUCAAUCCACUUCUCGUGAAUCCGUGAGCAGCGCCAUACGGAGCCACCUUGAUAAAGCCAGGGGCCUCUACCAUAUCCCGAUUCCUUGCAUAAUCUGGUAACCAUUUCUUCUCAAUUUUUGCAAUUUAUUUUGGUUUUAAGAGGUUGUGUGGGUUUUGGUUAAUGGUGGAUAGCCCCGUAUCCCAUAUGGCUUCCCCGUAUCUCGUUGGCUUCCUGUGUUUUAUCCCGAAUUUCACCUGCACGGAUUGCUUAUGCAUCGCUUAGUCGAUUUUUGGUUUCAAAUAGCAUGUCUUUUACCCGUUAAAUAGCCUUUUUUUUUACCCAUUGUUCUGGAUUGUUGCAUAAGUGUCAAAUUUCGCCUGAAAUGCUCACAUAUUCUUCGAUGAGAUUACGUGUAUCACUACUGCGUUACCUUCCUUCGACACCUGAAGCUGGAGUUUGACGUUUCAUUUCGUUCAGACCAUGGAAUAGUUGCUGCGAUUAAACUUAUGUCUCUAAGAAAAUAAAGAAGGAAACAUCACUUUUUGUCUCUGUGCUCUUUGAUUUCUGCAUUUUCUAAUCCAUGUUAUAGAACUGACUGUUGAUGAUACCAAACAUUUUGUUAAAAGAAAGCCAAAGUAUUCAAUUCCCAUACAUUUAACUCUUCCUGGUUAAAAUGUAACUUCCUCUAUUGGUGUCCAUAAAUUUCCUCGAAAAAGCUUGCGAAUUGCAAAAGUUUCCACCAGUCGUCUUAAAAUGGCACUCUAAACCGUCUGCUAUGAUACUUCUGAUAAGCACAGUUAUACUGCCAGGAAGGGCAAGUAGGUAUGCAUCAUGGACCAUGAAAAUGCCAAUUUCCAGAAAUCAAUUACAGCUUUGACGAGUUGCAAACUUCUUGGACUAUGAAAAUGCCAGUUUCUAGCAAUGAAAUGAUAGCUUUCACGAUCUGCAACUUCUUAUUGAUUAAUGAAUACUGAAAAGUACGUAUCAGCCCAAUCUUGCCUCUCUUCGUAGUACCUGGAAAAGAUUUAACAGUCAACCAUAAGUGACAGAACUUUAACAGAGCUAGCCAUAUAACAAACAGUGGACAAAACUUUAACAAAGCUAGUCAUUUUCUUUUCUUUAGAAUGUGAUAUUUCUUCAUGUUUUGCACUUUUGUUUAAGCUUGACAGUGAAAACAUUUUUCAACCUAGAAAAUUCUGCAAGGCAAAACUUUCUUCAUUUUAGUUUCUUCAUUUCAGCAAAAUUAACUUUUUGUUUGGACUUCCAUUUUAAGAGUUUUUCACUGUUAUUUCAUUAAUCUGAAUGUAAGCUUGAGAAUUGAGAUAGGAACAAGUUAAAGAAAUGUUAAAACUGGCUUGAAGUGGGCAUUAUUUCUUGGAAUCUGUUUUAUUACUUUUGUACCUUAUUUCUUAGAAAUGUCAUUCUAAAUAUCUAUUUUGGCUAAUCAGAAUCUGUAUUGGUUAUUAAAUGUGUUUUGAUUAAGGAAUGUACAGCUCUCCAUUCAACUCAUUUCAAGGUUCAUCAUCAAGUCCUGUGAUGGAGCAAAAUAAUGAAGACGUGAACAAUUGAACUACAACGAAAAAAGAGCUGAUGAGAUGAGUGAAAAAGAGAUAGAAAUGAUAAAAAAUGAGGGCAAUGAAGAACGACAGCAAGAGAUGGAGAUGAAGGAGCUGGUCCUUUUGAGAAAAAACAUAGGAAGAAGAAAUCUAGCAUAUGGGAUGAAAUGACAACAAUAGUGCUAGAUAAUGGGAUGGUCAAAGUGAAAUGCAACAAUUGCAAGGAACUUUUUGUCAAGAGUGCAACCGAAGCCAUAUCUCAGCACAAGAGACACUUGAAUUCUUGCCUACAAAGAAAGAUAGCCAUUGGAAAGCAAAGCAAACAAAAGCAACAAGUGUUGUCAUUCAUCGAAGGCCAAAGUAAUGGUAUCACUUCCAUCACAAAUUUCUUGUAUGAUCAUGCCAAGGUAAGAGAGCUUGCAUCACACAUGAGUACCCCUUUUCUAUGAUAGAUCAUGUAGUUUUCAACAAAUUCAUGAAAGCGGCUUCUCCAUUUUAUAAUUGUUAAGAAAGAUUGCAUUAGUACUUAUACAAUUGAAAAAAGGAACCUGAAAUCAUUGUUGAAAGGUGCUGGUAGGAUUAGUAUUACCACAGAUUUGUGGACAUCUGGUCAAAAAAAUUCAAUAUAUGGUUGUGACUAAUCAUUUUGUUGAUUUUGAUUGGGUGCUACAAAAACGUGUGUUGAAUUUUUGCAAUGCUCCUCCUCCUCAUACUGGAGUUAUUAUAGCUGAUACUCUAAGUAAGUGCUUUAUUGAUUGGGGGAUUGAGAAUAAGGUUUCUAACAUAACUGUUGAUAAUGCUUCAUACAAUGAUGUGUGCAUUAGGAGACUUAGAGAGGAUUUUUCUCCAAAAAAGAGAUUAAGUAUUGGAGGAAAAAUUUUCAUGUUAGAUGUUGUGCACAUAUACUUAAUCUCUUAGUGCAAGAUGGUCUUGGUCAACUUGGUGGUGUGAUUGAUGUUGUUAGAGAAUGGAUAAAGUACUUGAACAAUUCUGAAUCUAGGCUUCUUGAAUUUGCCAAAAUUAAAAAACAGCUUCAAUUGCCCUCUAGAAAGCUAAUUUUGGACUGUCCAACAAGAUGGAAUAGCACCUAUUUGAUGUUAGCUUCAGGUUUAGAGUUCAAGGAUGUUUUUUCAAGAUAUGCAGACAUUGACCCCGGAUUUCACUAUGUUUUUACUGAUUUUGAGUGGAUGAAAGUGAAAGAAGUGUGCAAAUUUCUAGGAAUAUUUUAUGAAAUCACUGAUAUGAUUUCCGGGUCCGAGUAUCCAACGGCUAACAUUUUCUUGUGGAGCUCUAUAGGAUUAAAGAGCUUUUAAAUGAUAAAGCUCUUGACCCUUUUUAGCAUCUUCGGGUUAUGGCUGGAACUAAAUUUGAUAAGUAUUGGGGGGAAAGUAAUGUACUGCUAUCUUUGGGUGCAAUUUUGGAUCCGAGAUACAAAAUAUUUCUUAUUAAUCAUACUUUUCCGGUGAUUUAUGGUGAGGAUGCAGCUCCUAGAUUCGUGGCUGAAAUUAGAGACACUCUUUAUGAGCUUUACAAUGAAUAUGUUGAUUGUCACAUAGUUUCCCAUUCUGAACAAUAACAGAGGCAGGUUGUAAAAGGGAGACAAAAUGAAGGUUCUAGUUCUUCUAGUAAGAAACAGAAAAUGACUGGACCUGCCGUUUUAACUAGUAAAGAAAAGUUGCACAUGCAUGUGAGUGAAAUUAACAGGGCUCCACCACAAAAAUCAGAUUUAGAUGUUUAUUUAGAGGAAAGUAGGUAUUGUGACGCCCCCACUUCUCCUUAAGGUGAACCAAAGAGUAUCCACGGGACGCCUGCCCAACUCUUACCAGGACUCGGUACAAUUUCCGUUCAACCUUAUUACAAUACUAGCUAUCACGACAAGAUGAAGUAAAAAAGAUAAAGUCGCUUCUAUAAAUAAUAUUCAAACUUACACCACGAGUUCCAAAAUACAUCAAAUUUCCAAAAUAUACAACUGCCAAAAGUCUAGUCGAUUACAUUUGGAACCCUAAUACAAAAGUACAACAAAAGGAUUUCUCCGAGUUUCACUCCAUAUCUAUGCCUGUUAAGGAAAACAAAUCUACGGGGUGAUCAAUUGCUCGUGAGGCCAAAAAACACACAUACAAGCACGUUGUCCAAUUAACAAGAAAACGAUAAUAUUCGAGUAAUUAACAAUUCAAGCGGAAUGUAAACAGAAACAAUUCAAGGAUAUGGGAGCUCUCAGGAGCUAUUGUCCACUGGCACGAUCAAGAACCUCCACGAGUUGACACUCCGUCAAUCGGGUAGGUCAUAGUCCGUAGAAGCUUCACUUACGCGUUCCCCGUCCACCAUACAUACCGCACCGGGCCCGAACAUCAUUUACAAGGUGAUACUCCACGAGUAUGUCAAGCGAGAUCUUUCAAAUAGAUCAAACUUAUCAUGUUAUUCUCAUGACUCAUCGAGAUUCCCGACCAAACCCAUGCCGGCUCGAGUUCCAAGGUCGACCUAUGAGUUUGGACCCCCAUGUAACAUUUGUGAGUGGAAGAGAUUCACUCCAACGAUGUAUGCAGUCAUAGCAUACUAUUUCAUGUCAUUCAAGCAUUCGAUACAUUCAAUCAUUCAUUUCAUCCCAUUCAAGCCAUUCAUGAUCCAUUCAUUUCAUUUCAAUUAAUUCAAUCAUGAGUCAUUCAUUUCAAAUGAGAACGGGUGCGGUAAAAUACACACUCGACUCCAUUUUCAAAAUCUCCAAUCAUUAAUAACAGUUAAGCAUGUAUCAAGUUCCCAUACACUUGACACUCACCAAGUAAUUCAAGAAGUAAAGCACAAGCGGUUGUUUAGGCGUCUCCUGUGAGAUCCUCUUGAAGGUCCUCUUGAGUGCCUGAGUAAUAAUAAUGAACUAUUACACACUAUCAUUUAAAACCCCUACUUAUCGAGAAAGAUUGCACUCGUGUACAAUUUAAGAAGAUAUUAUGAGGAUGAGCCUUAAUUACUCGUAAAUCGAGGCUCAAAAGUGGGGUUUUAAUAAUACAAGGAAAUUCGAUUUUCAUCUUUGAAAUCAAAUGUAAAACGAUCAAGCAAUAUCGAGGGAAAAUGGUGAGUUCUAAAAACUCAAUUUUCUUUAAGUUCGGAAAUUUCAGAUUUGAUAAGCAAUUUUUGAAAAAUCGUAUCUCAUUCUCUAUAGGUCCAAAAUUGGAAAACUUGGUACCGUUGGAAACUACUUCCAAAGUACUAAAAGUUCUUAGAAGACAUUUUUCCAUGAUUCCAAAUGGAUGACAUUCAAAAUUCGGUUCAAAGUUGCUGUUUUGGGCUACCAAGACAAUUUCGGCAAAAUUCGGCAAAAUGUGAACUAGCCUCUGCAAUUUGGAAUUCAAUUAUAGUUACAAACAAAGUUUGAAACGCAAGAAACAGAACAAGAAUCGGAGUUUUGAGUGCCAAGAUAUAGCAGCUCAAAUUUGCUGAAAUUUUCUCACUAAAUAAGGAUUUUCCAGAUUUGAAACAUGAAAUUUGGGAUUUCAGUUGAGUAUCGAAAUGGACUUGGAAUGGCACCAAAUUUGGUAGUAUUACCCUACCAUAGAAGGGCUAUUCCUCUGUCAAAUUUCAUACAAAAAUUCUUAUGGAAGGUCAGUUAACAAAGCCGCUAAAGUUCCAAGAAUUUCCAAGGCAAAUCUGCCUUGUACUUCCGUUUUACUUUUUCAAGCAUUUGGCCAAUGAAAUCUUCUCAAACAUGGUUCAUUUAUAAAGACAAGAUCUAAGAAACAUCCAAAAUGUGUUUGGUAGGUGAUUAAUACCAAGAGUUCCAAAAUAAUGACUCCCAAUUCGAGUUAAGGCAUUCAACUAGCCAAGAUUAGGGUUUCCUUUCACUGACACAGGUCUGGAAUUUGGCCACAACUCACUCAAUUCAACUUGGAAUUAGACAUGAUCAGUGGCGUUGGAAACUAAAUUCAUAGGGCUAUAAUUUCUCAGAAAAAAUCAUUUUGAAAUUCUGUCCAUAACUAGUUCAUAUUCUAGCAACAAGUUGCAGCACACAACAGGUUUUCUAACACAGACGAGAAACAGGGCAGGUGACUUUGAAAGGCUGGUACGGUUCACUCAAGUGGAAUCAGGGGAUGCAUUUUAUACUGUUAGAAAACUGGAAGUAUCUAGUUUCUAAUUCCGCAAAUGGAACUCGAUUUUGAUGUCGGAGAAAGAGUUAUUGUCGUUUGAAAUUCGCUGCCAGAGCAACUCUGGACAUGUUUUCCAACCAUGAAGAAAUUUCGAAAUCCAAACAUUUACCCAACCAAAUCAAGUGAUUUUUGGUGGAAACUUUUCACACAACCUAUAAAACAUAUAUACACCGAAAUCAAGUCAAUUAGAUCACAAAAAAUUGCACCAAGAGGCGCGGCAAUGACAGGGCAGAUCUGGCCCUUCUUCCAUUUCAACUUCCUUUGAGUUUCUUUCCACUCUUUCAACUUAAAUCCACUAGAUUAACACUUAAUCAACAUAAAUAACACUCAAAAUCAUCAAAUCAGAUGAUCAAGUCCAUUGUGGGAUUUCAUAGAGCCUACUCACAUGAUUUUCAACAAUCCAAAGCUACCCACAUGAAGCUACAAGCUUCUAAGUGAAAUCUAACUUACAAAAGCUAAGAUUUAAAGGGUGGAUGAUCAUUACCUCUUAGAUGUUGCUAGAGCAGAAAUUUUGGUCCUUAGAGCUCCAAGAAAACCGUGAGAAUGAAGCUCUUCUCCUAGCUGAAGAUGAUCUCCAAGUUAUUUGCAAGGUGUGGUAUGAAUUUGAGAGGAUUUGGUGCAAGAUUGAGAGACGAAAUGGUGAAAAAACUUGGUCUUCUUCUCCUUGGUGUUGCACGGCUGCUUGAGGGAGAGAAAGAGAGAGUUGUGGCUGAUGGAAAGCUUCUCUUGGAAGCUUAAGAGUUUGUGGCCAAAAUUACUCCAAAAGUCAACUAAGAAUAGUGCAUGUACGCGCGCGUUUCGUGCUCGUUUCCUCUUGGAUUUGUUUCACUUGUGCACUAAACCUCUAAUGCACUUCCAUUCAUACUAUUAUUAUUCACUUUUAAUAGUCUAAAAAUAAAGGUCUAAAGUCCCUCAAUUAAUCGCGCGCGCGAAAACACGUACUUCCGUUUUGUGCGCGAUAGAGUAAAAUUUCUAAGAAAUUCUUACAAUGAUAUUAUAACUGACUAGUACUUGAGUACUUAAACAUAAAAAUACCUAUUUUGAAACUAAUGUAUGAGUCUUCAAUCUCCAAACUCACUGUACCCUCAAAUCGAUUAUUGUCUCCAAACGCACAUUCACUAUUCUCACUAAACGAGUUUCUAAAAAUUAAAUUUUUGCAACAAGUCAUUUUAAAUAUAUAUAUAAGUCAUAAUUCCAUGUAAUUGAGUCUAAAAAGGUUGGAAUAAAAUAUUCGGAGCAAACAGACAAUUAAAUAUUUAAAUAAGCUAGUAAUAGAAAUUUAAAAUAAGUAAAUUUGCGGGUCCUUACAGGUAUGCUUGUGAUGCAAAUGCAAAUUUGGAUGUUUUGGGUUGGUAGAAAUAGGAAAGAUUGAGAUUUCCUAUCUUGUCGAGGAUGGCUGCCGAUAUACUCUCCGUUCCUGUUACAACUGUGGCUUCAGAAUCUACCUUCAGCGCCGGAGGUAGAGUAAUUGAUGAUCGACGAGCUUCUAUGUCAAUUGAGACGGUGCAAAUAUUGCUUUGCGGCAACGAUUGGAUCCGCAGUCUUCAUGGCCUAAAGAAUAAGUCUCGCGUUAAGUAAUUGAUUAGAUGUUUUUGUUGUUGUUACAGUUUCUUUAUAUCUGAUUUUAAAGAAUUUUAUAACUUUCAUACUUUUGUUUUGUAGGAAUCACUUGAUGCGACCGAAUCAAUCACAUUUGAGGAAGUUAAACUUCCCGAAUCAUUCACAACCUGAUUUGGUGGCUGUUGAUGUUGCUUGGUGCAAACUGAUUCAUUCACAUGUUGAUUUCGUUGAAGACCUAAAGAAUAAGUCUCGCGUUAAGUAAUUGAUUAGAUGUUUUUGUUGUUGUUACAGUUUCUUUAUUUUAAAGAAUUUUAUAACUUUCAUACUUUUGUUUUGUAGGAAUCACUUGAUGCGACCGAAUCAAUCACAUUUGAGGAAGUUAAACUUUCCGAAUCAUUCACAACCUGAUUUGGUGGCUGUUGAUGUUGCUUGGUGCAAACUGAUUCAUUCACAUGUUGAUUUUGUUCAAAAGCUGCAUCGUUCACAACUUGUUUUCACCCAAGAAAGUUAUUUUUAACUCUUGGUCUAGAGUGUGGACAUUUUAGAAACUGCUUAAAACGUAUUGAUGGCUGAUCUUUAAUUGUUUGGACUCUUUUAUGUAAUUUUUCAUUUUGUAAUCUGAUCUGGUCUGCUGCCGAGUUUGGACAUUUUAUUCCUCCAUUUGAUAGUUUGAGCUGCAAUUUUAACUUCUUUUUUGCUACUCGUGCUUAUGAUGCUUCUGUUUUGCGUUGUCGAAUUGAGUGGAUGAUAUAUUAGGGAAUGUGUUGUUCUCUUUUUGUCAAACUAAAUAUGAGUGUAGAAGAAGCUGAUAUGCUAUCUUACGUAAACGACUUAUGAAGCUCGAAUUACUAAUCGAGCGAGCUCGAACUAGCUCGAUUAGAUGUUCGAGUCGAGCUCGAUUGUCGUGUGCUCGAGCUCGACUCGGCUAGUUUAACAGCUAAGGUAACAUGCAUCAAAGCAGGCUUAUUCUCUUAGUACUUUUUUUUUUUUUCUUUUUAUAAAACACAGGUGCAUUAACGCACGACAGAAGCACCCUAUCAAUCUAAGAUCCCAGCUUGCUUGUAGCUUUCGAUAGAGUCAACAAGAGUUUCUUCCACUGGCCUAUACCUCCAGCCCAGCCUCUCCAAUUUUUCUGAGCUAAUAUUCCAUCGGCUUUGAUCCUUCACCUCUAUAAGUCUGCGAAGAAAUGAGUUAUAUCAAAAAAAUAUGCAGACAACAUAAAUGGUUCUUGUAGAGACUCGUAGAUGCCACACUUUUGGAAAUGGAAAUCAUGACGGACAUGAACAAACAAGAAAAUCAGGACAAACGGGGUGUCUGAAAAAUGAGACAAUUAAUUUCAAAGAUGGUAAUCCACCUCUUAGGGUACUUGUAGUUGGCAUAGUUUUUCCUCAGAGUUUCCACCAUAUCUUUUGUCGUGGUGACGUGAGGUGAACAUAUGUACCGGCCUUCAGCUUCAGGUCUCCCGUAAACCAAAAGCAGUGCCUCGGCCACAUCACGCACAUCUACUGUGUUGUAGAAUUUGUUUUCUGUUUCUUCACAUCCGUCUGUGCAGCCAAGGAGUGAAACAAAAGAGCAGUUUAAUCUCAAAAAAGGAGAUGUUAUCUGUGCUAAUCUCUGAGUUCUUUACUGCAUAUAUGAAACCUACAAUCCCUUUGACAAAUAGUACAGCAAUAAAUUCAUGGGACUUUUGAAUUGCAAAGGACCUACAGGUCACAAUGUUAACCUUUUAUAUCUUCAACAAUGCUCCAAAGCAAAUCAAGCAAACAGUUGAAAGAUGCAACCUCUUCAGAUGUUAUGCCUAUUGUCUGUCUCAUCUUCCAUUAGGUCAAACUCACACAAUUUUCACAUCAAUAAAAUUUGAAUCGCUUGUGCAUGUGUCUGGAAAGAUUACAUUAGCACAAUUUAGUAUUUUUGGCAGCACUGCUCGUUUAAAUUUCCCUGCCAUCAAGCAGAAAAUUUAAUUCCAUUCCAACAGUAAAAGCCAAACACCACAAUCUUAGUUUUUUUUAGAUAACUUUGCAAGUUUUUAGAGCAUUGCCAAAAUCAUAAAACUAUCAGAAUGGCAGAUAGCUUACAGGUUUAGAAUCUGAAAACCUCAGCUGGCUUGAAGAUUAAAUAAAAAUGCCAAAAGACGGCAAAGCAGUUAUCUCCAUGAAUGUAGUUUCAUUCCUAGAAGGUCAACCGCAACCAGAUAGACGGAUUUUGUGAAAUUUUAUUGGCAUCAAUUCAUUGUGUAUCAUGUAAAUAACACUGGAAGCCAGAAGCAUAAAAAUGAUGGGUUACUUGGAAAAUUAGCUGAUCAACCACAUGAAGAAAUUCAAUUGUUUGACCUUUCAAGUACAAAAAAAGGAAAAAAUUGCUAAGCUUUAGAGGUCAUCUGAGUUCUAGAGUGACAUCCAUGCUCACUUAGGCACAAACCAAUAUCAAGGAGAAAACUGUAUCAUUUACGACCACUUCCAUGCAGAAGGUGAAAGAAAGAAAAAUAAAAUAUAACAUAACGGAAUAAGUUCUCCAAUUGACUACAAAGCACUAAUAAAUCACCUUUCAACAGCUUUAUAAGAGCCACACUGCUAGCAUUCACAUCAUGCUGAAGCAUGGGGCCGAGAACAAAGGAUGGGCAUACAGUUAAAACAUCAAGGCCAGUUUCUUUUGCAUAUUGUAAUGCCUCACUUUCAGCAACCGUCUUGGAGUAACAAUACCAGUUCUGGAGCAAUAUUAGUACUAGAUGGUCAGCCAGAAACAGAUAGUAGUUGCAAAAAUCUGAUUUCUCAGCAAUCUUAGAAACAGUAUGAAUAAGACAGUGAAUUUUCUGCACAAUUACAACACCAAGGUGCAACUGCAAAAAGUCAAAUUAUGUUGAUGCAUACAUUUGUUGCCUUGCAGUAUUCGCCGUCUGACCAACACUUCUCAUCUAUGAUUUCACCUUCAGGCAGAUUAGGACUCAUUACAACAGCUGCAGUAGAGGAAACAACUACAACGCGCUUGACAUUUGCUUCAGAACAAGCCUUCAGUACAUUAAGGGUACCCUUUACAGCUGGCUCAACAAGUUCAACCUGCAACAAAUCAUCAUGUUGGCAGAGGUACUAGCACUCAACUCUGCAUGCUAAACUGCUUGUUUUUGCGUAAAAUAUAUCCAGAUAGACAGCUAAGUAGUGUCAGUUAACCUGACAUCUUUAGAGUGAAUGAGUACAUAGUUAAAAGACUCAUGACUGCUUAUGCCUGUGAUUUAACUUGGUUACCAGCAUAGGUUAUUAUUAUAUGCAUUUAUUCACUCAUUUCAACAUUUGAAAAAUCCUUCCACGAAAUGAUAGAAAGACAAAGAGCCCCAGUGACUUCAUAAGUUUGUACAAACGCUUUAACAAGGUUCUAUUUUAAACGAUACCCAACUUUAGCUCAUGUUUGGCAAAACGCAAUAAAAUAUUAUCUGUUAUGACAAAAGCUGUCUCAUAAACAAAAGAUAUGUUAAAAAUGUUAUUCUGGGGAAACCAAAAGGAAGAAAUAUCAUAGCAAUUGAAACGAUUGAAAAUGGUCUUGCCUCAGGAUUGGGAACAGAGCCUGAAGGAACAGGACUAGCUACAUGAAAUACGCCAUCACAACCCCUGAUGGCUGCAGAAAUGGAGUUGUAAUCCAGCAAAUCAGCCUUAAAGAGUUUCAAAUUCUCAGCUGCUUUGUCAAGUUUCUUCAGAUGAACAUAUUUCUCAUCGUCUACAAAACAUACACAGCAAUGCCCACAUCAUCAAGUAACGAAGCACACAAUUCACAGCAGGUGCUUUUAUAUAUUUCUUCAAUUAAACAUAUUUCUCACCCUUCACAAAACAUUUACUGCAAUUCCCACUACAUCAAAUAGGAAACAGCCAAUUGACAGCAGGCAAAAAAUCAAUUGCGGUAUUAAAGGGAAUGAAACAAUCAUACAAUACCCAAAACAAAAACAAAAAAAAAAUGAGUAGUAAAUCAGGAAGGAAGGGUUAUGAGGAUGAAAUACGUACUGGGAUUUCUGAGGGUGGCAUGAACAGUAUAAUGGCGGGAAAGGAGUAGCUUGACUACCCAAGAUGCCAGGUAUCCCCCUGCUCCUGUAACACACACUGUCCUGUCCUUCUUAGCCUCCCACGCUGCCAUGUCUGAUUGCUUACCAGUAGCAGUAGCGGGAUUAGUAUUUUAGCACCAAAUUCACUAUAGACUGAUCAAGAAGGUGGGUGAAGUUCUAUUCUUUUCUUUUUUAUGAAUAUUAAUUCUUUUUUGGUUGGACAAGGCAGAGAUUUCGUCGAUUCUUAAAGAGGAGGACUGAAGAAGAGGGCGGUUGGAAGAGGAGGAGGAGGCGGAGGUGGUGGUGUUGGAAUUUUGAAUAGACGAGUCCUGUAUGUAUGAGCUAGCUGAUUCCAGCAGCCUCUGUCAAUACUAGGAGUAAUCAGCAGCUGGCAGGCUUGGGGGCUUAUAUAUAGCAGCAGACCAAUGGUCCUGUUGCGAUUUGCACGGCUCAUGGAAGACGUAUGGUUUCAACGCAGGGUUGGGCUGGGUUGGGUGGGGAAACGGUACUAAUGAUAAAUGUAUGUAUAAUGAAAUUUGAGAUAUUUCUAGCAAUCUGUUAGUAAAAUUUAUUUUUAUAAAAAAAAAGGAGUAAAGGAGCAUAAUAUUAUUAAGUUAUAGUAAAACUUGAUGCACAUAUCAAUAAAACAAGAUAUUCUGUGCAUUUGAAUACAAUAGUAUAAUAUGAUUUUACCAUUGUCGGAUGUUUAACAAAUUUAUUUAUUAAUGGAUAUUAAAGUGUUACAUUUUAUCUCAUAUUUUCCCAAUUUAUGACUCAGAUUUUAAAUUGAUUAACUCAUUAGAGAAUAAAAAACUCAUCCCGUUGCUAAAUUGGACAAGUGACAAAAACUCAUGUCCAUAAUGGGAUUUUACUUCUGACUCAAAUCCUAUAAUGCGAACCAAACCCCAAAUCACUCCAUUAUAACGGAAACACAAACUAAACUAUUUAAUAUUCAAAUCAAGUUCCGCUCAAUAACAGUUUGUUCGAAUUUGAUUCGCAAACUAAUCUAAUCAAGUUAGAAUAACAUUUUAUGUUUGAAAAAAUUUUUAACUGCAGCUCAAGCUUAGCUCAAUAAUCAUAAAAUUGGAUUUUAUAGAUAAAAAUUACUCGAACUCGACUCAAUAAAAAUUCUUUUGAACGUGACUUAGUAAAUAAAAAAGCCAAUCUUGAAUACUAUUUCAAAAUUCUUUAAAAUAAAUAACAAGAUACUUGGUUUGAUUAGACACAUUCACACCCCUGUUUUUCAUAUGCUCGAUAACAUAUAUUUUUGCCAUUGAAUUUUGGGACAUGUUUAUCAUUUUUUAAAAUCUUUUUUUUUUAUUUCUGGCUUUUAUAGGAAAAAAAAAACUAAAGGAUGUGUUCGGAUAGGAGACCGAUAAACUUUUCUCUCCCCCUCGCGCCUAAUUGCAGGUUAAAAGCAGUGUUUUGAAAACCGGACCGGACGGCCGGUUCGACCGGUUGGACCGCCAACCGGCCAUGAUUCCGGUCCGAUUCUAUGCUAUAGUUGACCAGGUUAGAAAACCGGUUAAACCGUGAAAACCGCCGGACCGGAUUGAACCGGCGGUUCUCGGUUUUCGAGAUUUCCCUUUUUUUUCUUUUUUUUUCUUUUUUUUACGUUUUGCAAAAUGCAGUUAUCAAGAUUCGAACUCAAGACUUUUGUAAUAGAAGACCAAUGUAGUAACCAUAGUAACCAUUGCACCAUCACAUCUUAUUAGUUUUUUUUGAUAACUUGUUUAUAUAAAACAAAAACUCAUAUUUCUUUUUGUCAUUUUUUUUACAAAAUCUAAUCCUCUCAUAGCUCUUUCUUUUUAAUCUUCAACACACACACACACACUCUCUCUCUCUCUCACUCUCUCCUCUUUUUUUUGUCACUCUCUUUUUAAUCAAACCACUUUAUUUUUAAUUUAUUGAUGUUUUCUUCCAUCUUUUAAUUUUAUUUUUGUCCAUUAAAUUGAAAAAGGUUAAAAAAGAAUUAUUUUUCUUUAACCCAAAUUAUUUAAUGCCACAACCACUCACUUUUAUCUCAUUUUUUAUUUCUUAUCAAGUUUGCAUUUCUAUUUUCGAUUCUCUUGACUUCUUUCGAACUCCAAAAUUCCUUUUUUAAAUUGCAAUUUCUAAAUCCCAAAACGUAAAUUAAAAUUUAAGUUCACAAAAUCUAAAUUCUCAUAGACAUGAAUUUUGUAUAAUUUUAAAAUAUUAUGAUAUUUUUGGGUUAGAUCUAAGAUUUUUUUGGUAGAUAUAAUUGAAAUUGAAAUGAAAUUUAUUUGUUUUAACUUAUAAUUUAAAAUUUUUAUUUUUAAAAAAUCAAGUUAUUCAAAAAUAGUAAACUUUUCAUCAUAUAAUGUAUUAAAUUAGUCCAUUACAUGUCUUAUUUUGUGCAUAAAUAUUUACAUAAAUUAUUUUUUAAAAAAUUCAUUGAACCGAGGUUGAACCGGUCCGACCGGUUAAAUCUCGACCCUUUCACGUCACCGGUUCAAUUAACGGUCCGGUUUUUAAAACAUUGGUUAAAAGGAAUAUCCAGUUCUUAGAUAACUUUUCUAGGCACAACUCUAGUUGUCAGAAAACUGGUCUACUUUGACUGUGGGUUUUCCUUUAGUCAGGCCAUUUUGUCAUUAGUGAUGAUUGCUUCUUCUAAACCUUGGCUAACUGCACACGCCAUGCGCAUGAAACUUCUUCUAAACCUUAGCUAACUGCACACGCCAUGCGCAUGAAAAUCCAAACUUCAAAUAAAAUAAUUUGAACUCGUCAACUUGCAAAAUAAGAUAAUUUGGGUUUCGUCUGAUAUGAGUAGUAAGGGAAAAUUUAAUUACUAUAUUUAUGAUUCUUGACUAAUGUGAUUGCUCAUCUAUCACCACGCAUCAGUUUAAUACCUUAUCUUCAUUUAAAUGUGACGAUUGUAGAAUUGAUGGCUGAAACUGAAAGGAAACUGAAAAAGAAAUGUCAUGUGAGUGCAUAUGCAUGGUUAAAACAAUACUCCCACAAAUUAUAACCAAUUCGAUCCCUUGUUUUUAAGGUUUUGAUCGUUUUGGUUCCUUGGUAUCAUGACAAGCCAAUUUUGCCUCUUAAAUUUAAAAAUAUGGUUAAGGAGAUCCUUUUGAUGGAAAUUUGAGUUGCUAAUGAAGUGAAGAGACCAUUUAGUGCCUUUCGUGUCACAUCCGUCUCAACACUAUAUUAAAGUUUCAAAAAAUCUCAAAUAAGUCAUAAAACUCAUAAAACAAACCCCAAAACUCUUUAUCGUGAAGAAAAUAAAUUUUUAUAACUUUAAAAUAAAUCAAACACAAUACCUUAAACAUAAUUAUGGAAUUUGUGCCAUUUUCGAGUUGAAAUAUCAUGAAAAGGAGUACCAAAAGGUGAAAGAAAAAUGCAUAAACUUAUGUUUGACAUAGUAUUAAAAACUUUUAUUUCAUUAUAUUGAAGAGUUUUGGGUGAGUUUAGGCUUUUAGGAUUUUAUUUGAAUGCUUGGUGUUUUCUGCGAGAUGGCACGAAGUACCCUCUAAGGUCUCUUAACUCCAUUAACAACUCUAAAUUAGCCUUGACCAAAUUCUUCAAAUUUAAGAAAAAUUGGUUCGCCAUAAUACAAAGGGACUAUUUUGUUAAUACAUUGGAGAUAAGAAACCAGAUUAAUUAAUUUUUGUUGUUUGCGUAACUCAAGGGAUUUCUCCGUUAGCUUCCCACAAUUUUGCUACAUUAGUCUCUUUUGAUGGAGAUAGAGCACCAACUCACAGUUGUAUUAGAACUUCACUUACGCUAUAAUCGUUAGGAUUUUCUUAUAUUCAUCCGACUACUCAAUAAGUAUCCUAUUUUAUAAUAACUAUCCUACACCUCUUCAAAGCCUGAUAAGAUGAAGAAAAUCUCUUUACUAGCAUCUUAAUGCCUUAUAUCCAGUAUUGAGGGAAAAAAUUUAAUCACAUUACAGUCUGAGAAUUUGAAUCCAGCAAUUUCACGGUCUGAUGUAGUCACCCCAAGUAGGUUCUCCAGUAAAACAGGGUAGUGAGGCAAAAUGUACAUCAAAUAGGUCAAUUGUUGAGCCCCUCGGGGUUCGGUUCCGUGGUUGUAGCCCCAGUUGGGGGAGAGCCACGUCCAGGGAUCGAGUCCCCGUUCUACCGUGGCUGGUGAUGCUUGAGGCGGGCCGCUCCCAGCCCGCAGUGGGAUUAGUUGGGCCGUACGGUAACCAGUCCAUGGGUCCAGAUACCCACUGUGAUGAAAAAAAAAAAAUAGGCCAAUUGUCGAUCUUUGAUUAUGUCUACACUUUCAAAAGAUAGGCUUAAUCAUAUUAGUGGAAAUAACUCAUAGUUCAUCAUAUAUUAAUUUGCUAUUCAAUUUAGUUUGAAUACAUGAUCAAUGUUAUUGUAUGCCAAAAAAGAUUGAGGAUACUUUUGACCUAGUUCUUUGCACUAACUUGAAAUCUUCCAAUUGUUCUUUCUUUGAUGCACUUGCAAAAUCUCCUGCAAAAGUAAAAUAACUCAGUUGGUGAAUUUUGGCUAACUGAGAGGCCCCAUCUUCUUUUUACUUCUUUAGCACAAGCGAAGAAUGAAUUUAUGCAUAAUAACCGUGUGAUUCUAAUGAGAUAUGAUUUUUUUGGUUUUGCAUGCUGGUUAAACAAUUGUUCAAGCUCUUAUCUUGGUUUUUGAUACUUCACCGGUAUGUGGAUGUUACUGCUAAAGAAAUUUACAUUUGUCAUUAGAAGAAUUUUCUAUUUUAUGACUGGCAAGUGAUUUGGUAUCUUAGCAGUUCAUCGAUUUUGGUGCUUUGUUUACAAUUUAAUUGGCUUCAAUGGUCCAUACAUAUAGGAACUUGGAAUUUACCCUUUUAUUUCCUUUUGCAUGAGCAAAGAUUAGUAAUUUUUAAUCAUAAUUUUCGAUUCCUCUAUUCUGGCCAUAGUGAAGAAAUCUACCUUUUUGUACUUGUGUAUAUGCACACCAAACAUCAUUGGGCUGUCUACUUUUGACAUUAUUCUUGAAUUACUCAGUUUAGAAUGUGUAUUAGCUGCUGGAAGCAAAUGCAUCAUCGUUGGCAAUUACCAAACAGAAAAUAUGCAUGCCAUUACUAUUUUCACUGAAAUUAGCAUCUAACUUAUAAUGAUCUAAUUAAAGGUUAACCACAUUGGUUUUGACUAGAACUAAGAGAUCACUAGCCCUCUUAUUUUUGGAUUUGCAUUAAUCCAGUAUCAUCAAACUUCUUCAAAUGGGCUCUUUAGCUACUAACCCCUUCAAAAAUAAUUUAGGCUUACGGUUCUGUUGAUGUCGCAAUUGCAGGAGGUUCAGAAGAUAACGAAAGGCUCAUCUAAGAUUUCUUAAGGUGUUUGGCUUAUAUUGCUAGAUUUACUUAAUCUAUUUUCAUUCUUCUCCGAUGUCAUUAUUGUUAAAGUUCAAUUCAUAAGUUGGUUGUGUUAGAAAAUUGGCUUAAUUUCUUUUUAGAUAGGUUUUUGUUUUGUGCAAAAGUAACUAGUUUCCUAAUUGGUUUUAGUUACUCGGAAUAGUAGCCAAGAAAUUUCUUAUUUUGUUUAGAAUUAGAAGUUAUUUCUUAUUUUCUACAAGUCUAGGAAUUAGAAUUAAUUUCCUGUUGUUAUUUGGAUUUUUUGACCAAAUAAUAUUUUUAUAAAUAGGUGGGUUGGCAUACUAUAAAAGAGACACAUAAGGGCACACAAGGACGACAUGUAACCUUAUACAUGGGUGGUGAGAGAGAGUUCUUAGGAGAUGAGAAAUGGUAUACAAAGGUUGGACUUGAGUUCGAGUUGUAUUCCUGUAUAAGGUUUUUCUCUCAUAAUAAAUAACAAGUUUCUCUCCGUGGACGUAGGUUCAAUGGAGUCAAACUACGUUAAAUAUUGUGUGUUGUUUAUUUUUUAUACUUGUGGCUUGUUUCUCAUUAAAUUAUUGUGUACUUGAUAUCUUAAUAGUUAUUUAUUCUGCAUUUAGUUCCUAACAAAUGGUAUCAGAACUUGAUUGCGAGAUUGGGCUGCUCACAAGCACUUGGAUCCCAACAAACUGAAUAGUUGGAUCAAGAGUUUGGUUGUUCAAGGAUGGAUCCUAGUUAGCUAUUGAGAUCAAGUAGGUUGGUGACUGUUACCAAUUGAACAAUUUAAUGGGCGGUAUCCUUAUUUCAAGAGUUUGGCAAAAAAGCAUUGACGGUGAAUGAUGAAAAGUCGAAAAGCAUGGAGAUACUUGACGGUGAAUCUAGGCAGAUGAUUCAAGAGUCAAGGAAAAUGUGGAAUCCAAUAUCGAUUUUGGACGUGAAUCGGUGGAGACUUUCUUACAACUUCAACGGUUGAUACUUCAUCUCGGUGAUUUUUAGAUUUCGCUUAUGUUUUUUGAGUGGUACGGCACGUGUCCCAAAAAAAUAAAGAGAUUUAAUUUCUAUGCGCUAGAAGACUCUGACAGUUACGAGUCUUUUGUUUCAGGUGAAUUUUUGGAAACCACACGUGGCGAGAUAGUCUUGAGGAAGGGAAGAAGUAUGAUGAUUUUAUCACUUGGUUGCCUCAAUGAUUAAGGUUAGAGCUCAUACAAGGAGAUUUUGGGUUGCAAGUGGUGGUGAGAAGAAAUCCUGUAAAGAAAAAUGGUGAAUUGAGGCAUCUUCUCACGAAUCAACUGGAGGUUGUACUAGGUGUAAAUACACAUAUUCAUUUGGCAAUUAAAUCAAUUUGGUAUCAGAACUGUAUUGAUUCGGGUGUGUAGUUCGGUACCAUAUUAUUUGGUAGUUGAAAGUAAAUAAUUGUUAAAAGAAAUUUUCGCCAAGAUAGAGAUUUGUUAGGAAAUUGAUUUAAUUUCUUUUCAGACAGGUUUUUGUUUUGUGUAGAAGUAACUAGUUUCCUAAUUGGUUUUAGUUACUUGAAAUAGUAGCCAAGGAAUUUCCUAUUUUGUUUAGGAUUAAAAAUUAUUUCCUAUUCUAUACAAGUCUAGAAAUUAGAAUUGGUUUCCUAUUAUUAUUUAAUUUUUUGGCCAAAUAAUAUUCUUUAUAAAUAGGUGGGUUGGCAUACUACAAAGAGACACACAAAAGCACACAAGAGACGACAUGUAGCCUUAUACAUGGGUGGUGAGAGAGGAUUUUUAGGAGAUGAGAGAUGGUAUACAAAGGUUGAAUUGGGGUUCAAGUUGUGUUCUUGUAUAGAAUUUUUCUCUUAUAAUAAAGAACGAGUUUCUCUCUGUAGAUGUAGGUUCAAUGGUGGAGCCGAACCAUAUUAAAAAAUAGUGUGUCAUUUAUCUUUCAUGUUUGUGGCUUGUUUCUCAUUAAAUUGUAGCGUACUUGAUAUCUCAAUAGUUGUUUAUUCCAUGUUUGGAUCCUAACAGACUGCUAAACCAAGAUUGAUGUAAUUGCGUCCUGUAAGAGAGUUUGCAAUUCAAUUGAUUAAGGGAAGAACAGAGAAAAUCCCUGAAAAUGGGAAUUAAAGGAAACAAAGGAAACCCUAAAACUAGUUUCCAAGAACAAUUCUGUCGAAGACAGAAAACAAAGAAAAUAGUAUCAAAGGCUAUAUCGUUAUUUAGGAAACAAGAAGCACUUGAAGGUGAAUGUUGCAGAAAGUAGAAGAUCCCACUACAAUUUACUAAUUCAAGGAGCUGUAAUUAAGAAAGAAAGAAGACAACUCAGAGAAUUAGGGAUUGUUAUUAAUUGAUGAAUGAGUAGGAAGAAUGUAGAUGAAGAUGAUAAUCAAUUACAAGUAAUGGAAAUCGGAAAUCCAAGAACUGCCUUCAACUUACCACCCUCCUCUCUUUUAUUCGGCUACUACACUUGUCCAAGUCAGCUAAUUCAUUACAACCAACCGACAUACAAGAAUUAUAAGGAUUUAUUCAUUAAGUCCCUAUCAUACUCGCUUUAUUACAAAAAAAAAAAAAAAAAAAAACCCUAUCAAUAAAACUAAGGUAACAAACAAUGUUUUCAGAACCGGACCGGACCGGCUGGUUCGACCGGUUGGACCGCGAACCGGCCAUGUCACCGGUCCGGUCUAAUGCUAAAGCCGGAAGUUCAUGGAGAACCGUUGAAACCCGGACGAACCGGACGAACCGUGCGAACCGUUAAGAACCGUGAACCGGCGGUUUUUUAAAUUCUUCAACAAAAUAUCAAGAAUGGUGUAGCUAAGAUUCGAACCUGGGUCUCCAAGUUUGGAUAUGACAAUCUCACCGCUAGACUGUAGUUAAAUUUGUUGAGAAUUCUACUUGACUAAAAAAUAUAUUAAAACAUCAAGUUCUUCUCUUAUUUUUUUUUCAAUUUUUUCUUCUUAACCAUUUUUAACCCAAAUAUCCACAACAAGAUUUUCUCAAGUCUUCACCAUUAUUAUCAGGUUAUUAUCUUUAGCAAAUUGUAAACAAGUUGAAAAUUUCAACUUUUCUUGUUUUCCAACAUCUUAGUAAGUUUAAUUUUUUUCUUUUCAAGGUUUUUUUUUCUAUAUUAUUAUCUUUAGUUGAUUUUUUGCAUUUUCUUCUUUUUCCCCUCAAUUUUCAUAUGUUUCCCUCAUUUUUGUUUUAUUUUUAUUCGAUUAAUUAAGGAUGAAAUUUUUGCAAAAGUAGUGCACAUUCGUGUAGGAAUUGGGUAGGAAUUACAAAUAAUAACAUUGGGCUGGUCAAAAAUAUGGUAGUUGGCACAUAAUCGAAGCUAUUGAUAAUUGAAUUUAAAAUAAUUAAUGGUAUAGGAUCAUUGAAUUUAAUAUAACAUGUUAAUUAGUAAUGUUUAGUAGCAAUUAAUUUUUUAUGUGUUUAACUGUAUAUUUGUUUUUCAAAAAUUUUUAGUUUUUUUUAGUUUGAGCAAUUAGAUUUAUAUUUUUAUAAUAAAAUUUUAACUUUUUCAUCUUAAGUUGAUGAAAUUGUGAAGGUGGUGUGGUUGCUUAUCAGGCCACUGAUAAAAGUUUGCUAUUCAAAUAGUUUGUCUUAACUUGAACUCUUUUAUGGAUUUUUUUAAGGGUUGUAAAAGAAUUUCAAUAUUUAAUUUAUUUAUUUUUUGUGUUUUUAUUUGUGAUAAUUGGUGAACAUUUGGAUUGUAUCUAUUUAUGUUUAUAAUGAAUUUAUGAAAACUUAUGGUGAAUUAUGAUAUUUUAAUUAUAUUUAUCAUUCCAUGUUUUAUGUAUAAUUUUUAGAAAAUUUAUUAUUAUCAUAACUUAAAUUAAGUUAUGUUGGUAAAGUUCAAGUGUAGAAUGAAACCUACUUAGUACUUAACAAAAAAAAAAAAAAAAAAAAAAAAACAGUGAACCUUUGAACCGGCCGGUUGGACCGGUCGGACCGGUCGAACCGCGAACCGGCCACCUCUCCGGUUCACUGACCGGUCCGAGUUUAAAAACAUUGGUAACAAAUACUUCCCCCUCAGAGAAUCCUUGUCCUCAAGGAUUAAAUUCAGGAAAUUGUUGUUUAAGGUCAAACCAGAAUUCCCAGAUAGCAUCUUCAAGAAAAGAAUUGCUUCACUAUGCCAAAACUUUUGUAGCAAGAGAGUUACCACAUUUCACCAAUUUCUGAUCAAGUAUGGCUAUAGGCUCCAUUAAUAAUUAUCCCUGUGUAUUGAUUGUGUAUUGAUUGCAAAAGGAAUGUGUGAGGUAACUAGUGAGUGCCCACUUUCUUCUUUAGAAGAGAUACAUAAAAAAUAGAGUGUAUUUUUGCCAUAUUAGGCAGCUAAAGCUGAUAUGCAACAGGGUGUACUCUUUUGAUCACUUGGAAAGGUCCAAAAAACUUAGAAGCUAACUUCUGACAAGAGUGUACCUUCAAAGAGUGUUGCCUCUACAGUUGUAGUUUCACAUAUACCCAAUCUCUUGCUGAGUACUGUCUAUCAGACCUGUGUUGGUCAGCUUGUUGCUCCAUCCUAUUUUGUGCCUUAUGAAGGUUGUACUUUAAGUGAUGCAAAACUAUCUCCCUUGCUGCCAAGAUUCUAUCCACCACUUCCACUACUGAAUUCCCAAGUAGACAAGGCAUAUGCAGAGAUGGUGCAUGACCAUACACCACCUCAAAUUGGAUAACCUUAGUGGCAGCAUGAAAUUUGGUAUUGUACCAAUAUUCAGCCAAGGGUAACUAGAUAGACCACUGCUUUGGAAAAUCUCCACACAUGCACCUCAAAUAUUACUCCAAACACCUGUUUACCACCUCAGUUUGACCAUCUGACUGAGGGUGGUAGGUAGAAGAGGUAUUAAUCUGCACUUUUAGUAACUUAAAAAGUUCUUGCCAAAAAGUGCUAAUGAAGACCACAUCCUUGUCACUAACAAUGCUCUGAGACAAGCCGUGAAGUCUACAGAUCUGAUCCAGGAAUAUGUGCAAAUAUAAAUGCUGAAUAAGCAUGUGACAAUGCCAAGAAGUGUGCAUACUUACCUAACUUGUCAACCACCACCAAGAUGGCUUGUUUACCAUGUGCAUUAGGUAAACCUUCCAUAAAGUCCAUGGAAAUUCACUCCAAACCUUUUGAGGCACACGUAAAAGUCGUAAUAAACCCAAAUCAGCAGUAUUGUCAUAUUUGUUGCACUGACAGACAUCACAUGCAGCCACAUAGUUGACUAUGUCUUGAUACAUUCUUCUCUAAUAAACCACUGACUUCAACUUCUUUUAGGCAGCAUAAACUCCUGAAUGCCUCCAACAGCACUAGAAUGCCACAAGUGAAUUAUAUUAUUCUUGAAUUGGCAGUCAUUUUCUACCACUAGUCUCCCCAUCCUCCUUAACUGCAAGUUGCUCCAUGUGUAAUAAGGUGAGACCUUAGAAAGAUCAAAUUGUAAUUGAGUGAUGAAGUUCUAUAGCCUUAUAUCUAUUUGCCAUCCCUUUUUAAUCACUAUCAAAGAUCACUGUUAACAAUGAUGAUGGCAAGAGCUUCUCUUGGUUCUGCUAGUUUUCUAAAGAGAGUAUCUCUCACCAUAUUAUAUGCUUCUUUCCUGUAGUGAAGCUCAUAAUAAAAUCUUACUAGCUUAGCCAUCCAUUUCUGCUGCAUAAGAGUAGGGCUGUCAAUGGUCCGGGUCUAGACCCGGACCCGAACCGGAUCCGUCAAAUUUAUUCGGGUAUGGGUAGGGAUUUAAUUCCGUUACCCGGACCCGGAUCCGGAUCCAUUUUGCCAAACAAAAAAACGGGUCGGAUACGAAAUAUAGUAUUCCGACCCGUAUUGGACCCGGAUCCGGAUAUAAAUGGAUUACUAAUUUAAAAUAUAUAUAUUUAUUAAUAUAAUUUGAUUAGGAUGAUGUAUUUGAGUAAUCAAUAUAAUUGGACCCGGAUCCUAAUCAAUAUAAUUUGAUUAGGAUGAUGUAUUUGAGUAAGGUUAAUUUGAUUUCUUUUCUUAUUUGAUUUUUUUUGUAUUAGUUAGAAAUUAGUUUAUAAAUAUAUGUUUUUUCUCAUUUUUGUUAGAAAUUAUAAAUUUUGUUAGUUUUUUUUCGGGUAGACCCGGAUCCGGAUCCGGGACCCGUCGGAUCUGGAUCCGGAACAUAGAGUAAAGACUCAUCGGGUAAACGAGUCGGGUCCGGAUCCGAUAUAGUGUGCCGGGUCCGGGUCUGGAAUAAUGAAUUCCGGCCCGGACCCAGCCCGUUGACAAGCCUACAUAAGAGUGUUCAAUCUUUGUUCCAUCAUAUAUUCAAUGCUCUAAUGGUCAUUUUUAAUGAUAACGUACCUUCCAGGUAGAUAAGGUCUCCACUUCUAUACAGCAGCAACUAUGGCCAAUAUUUGCACUUUUCCAAUAUACUAUCAUAUGCUAUUCCCCCACACACCUAAAUCUUACAUUGUCCCCAAUGUAAAAUAAAGAAUAAAAGAAAAUUAAUGGGGAUAACGAAACUUCCUUGAUAACUGAGGGGGCCGUCGACAGCUACAGGUGAGGGGCGAAUGACUGUGGAGCUCGACGUAUGUUGAUGGUUGGCGGCGGUGGAGUUCGGAUGGAAGAAAGAAAGAAAGAAGAAAGAAAAAGAAGAGAGAAAGAAAGAAAGAAAAAGAAAAGGAAAAAGAAAGGAAAAGGAAGAGAAAAGAAAAGGGAAAUACGAAUGGGAAUUGCUCCAAUCCGAGCUGGUUUUUUGUACUAUUACUUUGCUUCUUGUACGAAGCUUGAAGAUGCAGCAAGCGCGGAAAUUUUUUUUUUUUUACAUCUGAUUUUGAUUUUUUUCUUUUUCCUUUUCUGUAUUUCCUUUUCUUUUCUUUCUAAUUUUUCUGCAAAAACAAUCAAAUAGAAAUCAAAUGAGAUGGAAUGAUUUUUUUUAAAAAAAAGGUAAAAAUAUAAAUAGAGAUAAAUAAAUAAUAAAUAAAUAAUAAUAGUUAUUAACAAAUCAUAAAAUGAUUUAUGAAAUUUUUUUGGUGUCUACAUAUAUACACAUACUAAUAAUUUUUAUAUUUAUAUAUUUUUCUUAUUUAAUCUUACCUAUAAUUCUUUCUUAUUUUAUUUACUUUCUCUAAUUAAUUUUAUAUUUUUAAAAAUAUAACAUCUAAAAAUAUAUAUUAACGAAGAGGACAUCCGUUAGACAGGUCCUAUUUUAUGUAGCAUAUAUGUCUCUACAUGAAAAAAACUUUUUUAAUAGGUAUCCCGUUUUUUGACAUGAAAAAUACCUUUUGACUACAUUCUGACUAGCGCCAAAAGCUAUCCACUUUUGACAUGCUGCCCAUGGAGGCCUAAUUUUUUUUAGUACUGAAUUUGUUUUGGAUACGUUAGUAUUUCUUGAAUUUUAGAAAAUGCUUCUCUUUAAUAAAUGUAAGUUCAUUUUAAUCUUGAUUCGCAAGCUUUUUCUCGUAAAUGGUUUGCCAUUUCUUAUUAGUUGUUACAGUAAAUUUAACAUGCAUAUAUGCUUUUUGUCAAAAUUCAAUCAUUUCAAAAUCUAGAAGGGAACUUCUAAAAUACCUGCAUCCUCCUUUUUCUUUUUUCUUUUUUAUUUUUCCCCCUCUUGGCUUUGUAUUCAGAAUCAGAUUGUGUUCAAUUAGUUGGAAUUUGGCUUUGGAGUUAGAAGGGAUUUCCAUUUUUUCCUAGGUAUUCCACAGCUUGCAUACCAAAAGCACAGAGGCGGAAGAAAACCUAUGAUUAAAUCAUACAACAGGCUUGUAAGAAAAUGCCCACUUUGAAAAAAAUGAAAAGUUGAAUUUCCUAUUUUCAAAUUUACAUGCAAAAAAUGAAAAAUGACAUGCAAGAAAUAGUCUACUAUUUCGCAAUGUUUCAUAGUUAUGAGAAAUAUAUUACAAAUAAAUCCACAUAAAUGGUGGGAAUAAUAACUCAAAUAUGGUGGGACAAAUAAACAUACAGGGUGACCCCUGCCAGCUGAGAUAACUAGCUGGUUUAUUUAAUUUAAUAGUUUGAAUACAAUAGUAAAUCAAUGCCAUAGCUCAGAUACUGACUAAAUUUUUCUCCCUGAAGAAUUCAACAGCAUCUUUUAGGCUGACCUCCAAAGGAGUGAAUCCAACUCCCAACCUUUUUGCCUUCUCAUUGGAGGCUCUGUAGUUUGGGCUGAUAAGGUUGGUAUUGUUUGACAUUCUGCUGUAUGCGGGACAAUACACAAUUAUGGCAAACAUAAAUAAAGCUUAGGUAAUGAAAAUGCAAAUGUAAAUUCAAAUGCUUGAAAAUCUACUGGACAAUUGCCUCAUAUCUACUGUAAAUUGUGCCUUUUUUACGAAGUUUCAAAAGACCUUUUAAAAGAUAACUUUAGUUGUGAUAUGAAUGAAAUUUAUUUUUCUCUAAAAAAAAGCCUAAAACGGAAUUUCUAUUUUGGAGACAAAGCCAAUUUGGUGAUAUAUCCUAGUCCAAAGAAGACCAUCUUCUAGAAAUCAACCUGAGAAAGAGCUCAUUUUUUAUGGAACAUGAGACCAAAAGAAAAAAAAAAGAAGGCAGAAAAUUUAGGAUUUAGUGUCCUUUAAAAGAGAGUAUAAAAAUAUGUGAUACAUUUUGGACGUAUACAAGGCCAUCAGCAAAAGCCUGCAAAGACCUAAACAAGGAAAACAAGACUUACUUAUCAGGAAAUUGGUGAGUUGGGUAAUGCUCAUGCAAAAUCUUGAUGAUCUGAGAGGCAUUUGCACAUCUUUCAACCAGACAAUAUCUUCCACUUGCAGAAGGGGUUUCAAGGGCAAGAACAUGUGCAUAGGCAACAUCUCUAACAUCAACCCAGCUACAUGUUGCCUUAGGAAAUGGUUCAACCCCUGCAUUUGGCACCUAAGAUCUUUAAACACAUUUUUUUGCAGGCUCUUCAGCAACAUAAGUGAAACUGUGCAUACAAUUAAAUACAAUGUUGUUUGCCAUGAAAAGAGUCAAAUUUAGAGGCCUUCCAGAAGAAAUGUGUUGUAUGUACUACUUUGUUCUGUUUUAGUAUCAGCAAAGCCACAGAGGGGAGGGAGAUGUGAGGAAUGAACUAGUUGAGACAAUUCAGAUAAUUGGUGAAUAAUAAGAAAGAUUAAUCCCAACAAUCUACUAGCUAAUCUGUCCCUGGAAUUUCUCAGAUUUAGAGUUAGGUUUCUCUUUCAAAGGAUAGUUUAUUUAUUUAUGUGAGGAAUAAACAAGCUUUAGCAAGUCUGAACAACAUAAACAGUGACUACUCCUAACAAAUUUUUCCUCACAAUUACCACCCAAAAAUUUCUUUUCCUUCCUGUUAAUCACAUAGAACCUCAAUGUUGUUGAAAGGAAGAUGCACACAACGUGAAUUUCAGAUGAAAGAUUGUCCUGCAAACCUUUAAAACAUCAUAAGCUGGUCAGAGUUUAUAGCUUGAUAUAUCAGUUCACAUUCUGACCUAUGUCUGUCAAUCAUGUGAUUAGCCAGCAGUGCCUUGAAAUGUUAUUAGUCAUAAGUUUUUUGUUCUACUGUAACAAAGAAAGUUGUGGUGCAUAAUAAAGCUAUAACUAACAUAGAUGGAAGAGUCAGUUAGACAAUGAUUACUAAGGUGAUUCAAUAAAUUUUGAAACAAACCCUUUAAUAGGUUGAGGAACAAAACAGCGCUCGAAUUAACAGAUGGCUGCAAGAGAGGACCAAUGACCAAUCCUGGAUGAAUUGUAAUCACGUCAAUGCCAUGAUCCUUUGCAAAUUUCCAUGCAGCAUUCUCGGCCAUGGUUUUUGAAAGUUCAUACCAAGACUAUCAACACCAAAAAAUCAGUAAAUGUUGGUAAGAUGGUAGCAGAAAGUAAUUAGAUUUGUAAACUUUAAGAAGUAACAUUAUAAAUUUAUACAAAUUUGACAAAACCAGCAGCUAACAUCAGUUGGAACUAUUAUUGCUGUAGCUACAGACCACAGAGUGAAAGUAUCCUCAUUUCCUAGGACAAGCUAUGCUCUAAGUGAAUAAGUAGAUUUCUCAAGGAUCCUAGCAAUGGUGUAAACUUUUUAUAUUCAAGGAAUGAUGCAAAGCACCAGAGUGUCGACAUAUCCUGAUCAUCUGAUCUCUUAAUCCACAAGUUAACAGCAAAACUACAAGGGACCUUGACACUUGAACACAUAGAGCCAUAUUCAUGAUAUUAUAGCAGAAGUUCCUUUUCAACUGACCAACCAAAUAUUCUAGGUGUGUAUUCUCAGACAAUAGUAUAGAGUUUGAUAAUGCAAGAGAUGCAUAAUUGAGUAGGAAAACUUUCAUAUUGCUCUUUCCUCGACUAUUCCACACUACAUUAUUAAUUUUUCAUUAAAGUUAAGUUGUUACUUAGAUAGAAGGAAAGAAAGGGACUGACCAUUCUGGUCACAAAAAUAUCCUUCUUUUUGCCUAUUAAAGUACCACCAAGUCAUGAAGAUCCUAACUUAAUUAUCUCCACAGCUGGGCUAACUCCUCAUAUGUGUCCCAAUAACAAGUUAAAACUAAAGAAUUCCAGCAUUCCAUAUUAGAUUUUACUGGAAGAAGACAGAUAAUAUGUGUACCUUUUGCUCCUCACAGUAUGAUGGAUCGGAAAACCAACUUUCAUCAACUACCACAUCCUCCUUUAAUUCUCUGUUUUCUGAAACUGCAACCAUAGAGGAUGUUAUAACUACUCUUUUGACAGAAGAAGAAUUUGCACAUGACCGCAGCACAUUCAGUGUUCCACUUACUGCAGGUUCCAGUAGUUCUGCCUAUGAAAUCAAACCAAGUAAAAAAGGAAGUCAUUACCAGUCAUAGGUAAGACUAUGCUUUUAACCUGCAAAAAACUUAUCAUUCUGGUAUUAUGUUUGAGAAUUUCACCACAAAUGCUGUAAACCUACAGCUUUAGUUACUUAGCUAAAGGAUGCAUAUAGUUGUCUUAUCUCCUCUUGCUGCUAAAAUAAGUUCUCAGGUCCUUUAUUGUUGUUUUUUCCCAUAUUAGUUACUUAAGACCGAUAGAGGAACAACUGAAAUAAGUCUCAGAUGUGGUCACCAAUUAAACCGUUUGGUACCAAAUAUCAACCGAUGAAAUUCUGUUCUGGCUUGAACAGGACAGACAGAAAAUAUAAAAGGUGUAGCUCCCAUGAAUCCUGCGAACAGAUUUUAGCGUGAACACAUAAUGCAUGUUGCAAUUUCUUUUAGUGUCUAUGAGUCAACCUUGUUCAUUGAAAUGACUAAAAUCAAAGUUCUACAAAGUUACUUAAAUAAAAAUCCAUAAACACAAUUUGAGAAACAGACAAUGAUAAGUGUACUGCAUAAAAUUUUAAGGCACAAUCAUUAAUAGAAGUUAAUCAACUUACAAAUGAAGAUACAUAUAAUUUGCAGAUGCUUGAACAUAUAUUGUAGUUUCUAUAAGCUUCUUAUUCAUUCUGGUAUGGGCACGCAAAAGCUAUUGGCUCUACACUGGCUGAAUAAUUAGUUGGUCAAAGCAGGGAUUCAUUUGCUCCAGGACAAGCUUAUAGCUUGCUCUAUAACCUUACCCUGACUGACUUACCCAGGAAAAUAGUUAGUCGGACCCAAUCUACUGCCCAAUUGUGGACCAUUUGCUAUGUUUAUGGCUCUUAAUGUUUUUAUUUCACAACAUUACACCCUUUGAAUUGUUUCUCUGAAGUACCAAUUUCCAGAUCAUUUCAUAGAAACAUCAUGUAUACUGAUUAAAAAGAGACUAAAGCACAUAACACACGACAGUCUUUUUUGUGAAUGACCUGCAGGAACAGAUUAGUUUUGUAUGUACCAAAUGUAAAGAAAUAUUCUUCAGGUGUUUGACCUGAUUGCUACAUUAAUCUCCUCCCUUUGGUUAAUAAAAGAAAACGUAGAGCCAUAGAAUUGGAAACAUGGUUCGCCAUCGCGGGUCGCGGUCGCGUCACGGUCUCAGUUGUUCCACAUCCGUCGCGAUAUAUCGGUUGAAUAUCGGGUGAUACGAACAAUAUAACACAUUAAAGUUUUCAAAAAUUUUGAAAAAAUUACUAAAAUUAGAAAAUACUAAAAAAGACACAAUUUAAAAAAAUAUCGGAGUCGACUCCGAGUUGACUCGGAUAUAUCGGCCGAUAUCAUGCAUCACGAAUUCGAAUCGAUCAAUAUCGGCCGAGUCAGAGCGAGUCAUCGCGGAUAUGGUGAUAUCCGCGAUUCGGGGAUCGGUAUCGUAUCGGUCUCUUCUGUUCCAGAUACGACUCGGCCGAUACGUAUCGGUAUCGGCCGAUAUGGCGAACCAUGAUUGGAAACAUUUGAGUCUAACUCUUUUUUUUUUUGCCUUUACAGUUAUAACCUUGUCAUAAAUCACAUAUAGAGGAGUAGACUAUCACCCAAAAAAGCCAGUAAAAAUGCAACAGAGGAAGAUACUAAAAGAAGUCGCACAAUUAUAAAUCAGAAAGUAUGCUACGAUUUUCAAACUUCAAGAGAUAAAUAGCAGAUUUUGUAGACAGUAGAGAAUUUCCAAUCUUGUAAAGCAAAUGUACCUCUGGAUUGCUGAAUGAAAGUUUGAUUGGAGAUGCAGUAUGGAAAACCCCUUCACAUCCCUCGACUAUUGCAUCAAACGAUCCCUCUUCUAGUAAGUUUGCCGAGUACAACUGAAGCCUUUCCUUAGCUCCAUCAAGUGAUGUCAAAUGUUGUGUCCUUUCCGGAUCAUCUGUGUCAUGAUUGCAUCAGUAGAAUGUUCAGACAGCUAUAGUCAAAACCAUGCCGCCUUGGUAAAGUGUACUAUGUUUUCACUAUGGCGCAACUCAAGAAGCAAUGGACUUAGAGCAAUAAUAAACGAACCUCAAAGCAAUGAUAAAUUUGACUAGCUAAAGGCAAGCGGGGAAAAACGAAAAGAAAUUGACGGGCAACAUAAUAUGACCACAAUAAUAUCAUAGCCCUAUGAUUUCUGGUUUUAAGAUGUGUACAUUUGUAACUUUCUUGAUAACAAUUAAUUCUUGAGAUAAUUAUCAGAGGGACAAUUGUAUGCCAUCUACCACUAUUUUUAUAACAAACUCAGUCCUUCAGAAGAAGGAUAUAGAUUCGAUAGGCUAAAGAUUUUUUAGUGUAACUUGAUCGUUGUAUCUGGAGCAUGAAACAUUACUGUUAAGGUAUACAUUAUAUAGUUUCAGCUACUCAAAUAUCAAUUAGGUUGGUCCACAUCAAUUUUUUUUUUUUGCAUGUGAUUUUCUUUUGAGCAAACAGAACAUGGGGAGCAUUUAGCCGUUGCAAGAAUAUCAUCUGGAGCUACAAAACAAUUUCACACUGCAGAGUUGAAUAAAAAUGUUGGGCAAAUUACAUAUAAUCCUCCUGUGGCUUUGUUUGUUGCCACAUGACCCUUCUAACAUUUUAAAAUAUCCAAUUCACCCACUAUGAUUUUAUGUAAAGCGGAAACUUGAUGGAGAAUAGCCUAUAUAAUGUCGUUAAUUGAAAUACCAUUAGUACUUUUACUUAAAUGCUAAAUCGACAAUUUAAUUACCUUCUAUAAAAGUAUAAGUGGAUUAUAUGGAUAAAUAUAAAAAUCACAGGAGGGAUAAAGUGGACAAUUAUAUAUAAGAGAAUUACAUUGAAAUUAAGACUUUAUCACACGCUUUUAGAGCGCGUUUGGUAUAAAUGCCGUAACUAAUUGUGCAUUCCAUCAUUUUCCGCUUUACAUAUAACUAUGGGGGUAUGUGGCUAUUUUGAAAUCUUAGGGGACCAACUAGCAUUAUAUAAAAUCACCCUAAAAUAUAGUUAUAAGUAAUUUACCCUAAAAUGUUAGAUUCCAGGAGCAAUUAAACAACAAUCAGAACAGGGCAUCAAAAACUGCACAAGCCACUAAGAUAGUUGAUCAAGAACAAAAACUGGACUUACAGGCAUCUCGAACUGAACCUUUAACAGUAUAACCGCGCUCGAGCAGCAGCUUCACCAGCCAUGAAGCUAUGUAACCCGAAGCUCCGGUCACACACACCAUUUUCCCUUCUCCUGCUCCACUCAUUUUGUUAAUAUUUUUGUGUGUGAACCUGUCACCUGUUUGCCUUACUUCUGGACUUAAUGGAGGGAGGCAUAUAUGGUGUAUAUAUAGCUAUGGUGAAGAAGACGAAAGAUUGGAUAUGAGAUUACUGGGAGACUGGGGAGAUCCAUAUGUAUUCUUGCAAUUUGCAUGCAUCAUCGCUGACAUACGUAUGGUAUAAUCGCGUCACAUCCCAUUUUAUCAAGGUCAAUUGAUCAGUGUAAAAUAGAAAUGAACAAUAAAUACAAUGGUAAAUUACCUUCUACACCCUAUGGUUUGAUGUUUUAUCACAUAACUCCCUAUAAUUUAAAAACCUAUAUAUGACCCUUUCGUAGUUUGGGUUAUUGUGUCACUUUAGCUUGUUCUGUUAAAACUAACGGUCAAUAGUAAAAAGUCAAAUUCAAACUACUAAAUUGACAAAUUCACCAUUUCACUACUUUUUUUUUCUUGUUUUCCUUUUCUUUCUUUCCUUUUUUUUUCUUGGAAAGAGAAGAGAUGACUUUGAAAACUUGUAUUUUGGCUUACAAAACCUUAAUUGUUUCCAAAUACAAAAGAGACAGAAGGGAAAUAAAAAUAAAUCAACAAGAAACAAAAAAUAUGGAAGGUAAAGAUAUAACAAAUAAAUAAGAAACAAAAAAACACCAAAUCUUUUUUACUAUGAAUAUCAUUAUAGGUUUUUAAACCAAAUCUUUAAUAGUAUUUUCUAGUUCUUAUUUAUCUAUUUUUUAUUCCAAUUUCUUCUUUUUGAUGUUUGGAGGAAAAAAAAAAACAAGUAAUGAAGGGAUAAAUUUGUCAAUUUAUUAGUUUGACUUUUUAAUAUUAACUGUUAGUUUUGACGAAAAAACUAAUAAUGACACAUUAACUCAAAUCAUGAGGGGGUUAUAUAUAGUUUUUAAACUAUGGGGGUUAUGUGAGAAAAUACCAAACUAUAGAGGUUAAAAUGCAAUUUAGCCUAAAUCCAAAAUUUGGCGGUUGCAUAUGAAAAAAUAACAAGGUUCUUGACUUUGCUCAAUACAAUUCCAAGUCUAGAGACACAAUUUUUAAAUUCACUACCAGGAUAAACCAUUCUCCUUUUUUUUUUCCAUUUUUUCGGGUUAAAAAGUACAAACUACUUGAACUAGAAACUAGUCCUGACAAAGUUUGUGGGUUUUUUGCAAGAGUUUUAGUUAAAUAUUGGUUACUUCGCCUAAUUUGCACCUAUUUUAUCAUGUAAAUGCAUGCACACUUUUAAAAAAUAAUGCAUGCACUUAUAUUAUUGCCUUUCUUACAUUUAAAUACUUUUUUCAAUUUAAUUUUACUUUUCUGGCAAAACUAAAUCUGAAGCCCAUUUCAAGAAAUAUCCACCGAAUACCAGGUCAACAAACCCCCUUCGUAAUAAAGAACGAAAAGGACCGCAGCGGUCUUUAACUUUUUUUUUUCUGACAUUUUCUUACUGAAGUAAGAAAACUGGUCCACACCCUUGAACACGCAGCGGUCUUUAACACGCAGCGGUCUUUUUGCAUCUAAGAAAGCUUUUGAUUGGCUAGAAAUCCUUCUCUGAUUGAGAAAUGGGAAUUGACUUGAUGAUGGCAACUCCAUUUAGAAAACUGGUCCACACCCUUGAAUGUGGUUUAAAUUUAAUAACACCAUUUCAUCAUUUCUGACGACUGCUUCUUCUAUAUCCUAGCUCACUGCACACGCCAGUCGUGUGAAACUUGGCAAAAGAGUUGCACCCUCCGUCCUAAAAUUGUCUGUCGCAUUUCGAGAUCCAACUUUUUAAAAAUAGCAUGAUGAUGAUAUUUGUAGAUUUGUUUUAAAAAUUGUCAUCAAAAAUUCAAAUUUUAAAUUGAAUUUAGUAUGAAAUAUAGAUAAAGAUUGGAAUAACAUUGAAAAAAAGAGAUGAAAAGUUAUUUUGAUUUUGAUAAGAUGAUAAAUAUUUUAGAACGUUUCAAAAUAAAAAAAAUAUAUGACAUUUUCAAUGAAACAAAAGGAUGGAGAGAAUAUAUAUAAGAUACUGAAAACUAGCAUCCAUCAGAAGCAGUCAAAUCAAAGCCAACAUAUUACUUGUAGUUUGGGUAGCCCAAAAAUUUAGCAAAAUAAAUUAGGAAAUCAAGUGCGAUAGAGAGCUCACUGCACACGCCAGUCGUGUGAAACUUGGCAAAAGAGUUACACCUCCAUCCUAAAAUUGUUUGUCGUAUUUCGAAACCCAACUUUUUAAAAAUAGCAGCUUGAUGAUGAUAUUUGUAGAUUUGUCUUAAAAAUUGUCAUCAAAAAUUCAAAUUUUAAAUUGAAUUUAGUAUGAAAUAUAGAUAAAGAUUGGAAUAACAUUGAAAAAAAGAGAUGAAAAGUUAUUUUGAUUUUGAUAAGAUGAUAAAUAUUUUAGAACGUUUCAAAAUAAAAAAAAUAUAUGACAUUUUCAAUGAAACUAGGAGAGAAUAUAUAUAAGAUACUGUAGUUUGGGCAGUCAAAUAGCCAACAUAAAUUAGUAGCAGAAACCAAGUGCGAUAGAGAGCUCACUGCACACGCCAGUCGUGUGAAACUUGGCAAAAGAGUUACACCUCCAUCCUAAAAUUGUUUGUUAUUUCGAAACCCAACUUUUUAAAAAUAGCAGCUUGAUGAUGAUAUUUGUAGAUUUAAAAAUUGUCAUCAAAAAUUCAAAUUUUAAAUUGAAUUUAGUAUGAAAUAUAGAUAAAGAUUGGAAUAACAUUGAAAAAAAGAGAUUCACGUUUCAAAAUAAAAAAAAUAUAUGACAUUCAAUGAAACUGAUACUGAAAACUAGCAUCCAUCAGAAGCAGUUCAAAGCCAACAUAUUACUUGUAGUUUGGGUAGCCCAAAAAUUUAGCAAAAUAAAUCAAGUGCGAUAGAGAGCUCACUGCACACGCCAGUCGUGUGAAACUUGGCAAAAGAGUUACACCUCCAUCCUAAAAUUGUUUGUCGUAUUUCGAAACCCAACUUUUUAAAAAUAGCAGCUUGAUGAUGAUAUUUGUAGAUUUGUCUUAAAAAUUGUCAUCAAAAAUUCAAAUUUUAAAUUGAAUUUAGUAUGAAAUAUAGAUAAAGAUUGGAAUAACAUUGAAAAAAAGAGAUUCAAAGUUAUUUUGAUUUUGAUAAGAUGAUAAAUAUUUUAGAACGUUUCAAAAUAAAAAAAAUAUAUGACAUUUUCAAUGAAACAAAAGGAUGGAGAGAAUAUAUAUAAGAUACUGAAAACUAGCAUCCAUCAGAAGCAGUCAAAUCAAAGCCAACAUAUUACUUGUAGUUUGGUUAUAACAAUAUCUCAGCUUGCUGGUAGCCCAAAAAUUUAGCAAAAUAAAUUAGGAAACCAAGUGCGAUAGAGCAUAUUUCACCCAAAUAUAUUAAAAGUGAAAAAGAUUUAUUUUUAUUUAGUCAAUGUGAUUUUUUGCGUCCACAUGCCCAUAAAGCUCAAGGACCAAAAAGCCAAACAUACGAAGUGAAAAUGUGAAGAGCAAUAAUUUGAAUGCAAAUAAAAAAACGGGUAGAUGGAUAGAAAACCAUGUCGAAGGUCUCUUCUCUUUUGAGUACGUAAGUGGCAGCAAUCAAUUCCCAAAGAGUGGGCUCUGGAGUUGUUAGUUACGUUGAAAAAUCAUGAAGCAGAGUUGUUCGAGAUGUUAUCUUGGGCUAUUUGGCUUGGGAGGAACCAAAAGCUGCAUGAAGAUAAACGAGUGGACCCUUUGAGUUUAGUUAGCUUUGCUUCGGGUGCGCUCCAACAAUUCCAAGAAGCUAAUGUUACUCAGAAAUGUCCAUCCUUAUCAAAUCAAUCUCACUUGUGGCAACCUCCAGGCGAUGGCAAGUUAAGGUUUAAUUUUGACGGUGUGGUGUUUAAGGAAACUCAAUCUAUUGGUUUAGAUGACGGUGCGGUGUUGAUUUAUCUAGUUUAGGCCCUCCAAUUGUGGACGUCACGAGGGACUUAACUAGUUUAGAGACGUCUAGUAUUUGAGGGAUGAGUAGGAAUCACAAUAAAAUCACUCAUAUAUUAGCUAAGAUCGCAAAAUUCAUAUGUGAUCAUGUCUUUUGGUGGAGAGAUCCUCCAGAGUUUGUUGUGCCAUUUCUAAUGGCGGAUUUGUUAGAAAGUUAAUGAAAGUUCAAUGUUAUAUAUAUAUAUAUAUAUAUAUAUAUAUAUAUAUAUAUAAGCAUAAAAAACAAGUUAUGUUGAGUAAGACGUUGGAUUGAAAAUUUAAGAUUUUUGGACUGAAAGUUCAAGAUUUUAUGAUGAAAAUAAAAGAUCACACUAAACUUAAUGGAUUUAGAUCUUAAUAUGUGCAAAUGCGUUUGAUAACUAAAAAUUGGGCAUCUGAAUUAAUUAAGUGCCACUGCAUUUUCUAAACAAAAAUUGCUCUAAAAAAAUAAGUGAUAAACUACGCAUUUAUUACUGAAUGUGAUAUACACUUAAAUAUACUUGAUCUAAUACUUAACAAUCUAAUAAUUUAAUGGAUUCAGAUUUUAGAUUUCAAUUUUAUCAAAGUACCCUAAAAAUAUAGACUAUAGAUAAAAUAACUGCAGAUCAUGAUUUAUGUUGAGUAAGCUUUCAAAGCUGCGUUUGCCAAAACAAACUUUAGAGAAUCAUUCUGUAAUUUUUGCUUUCACUCUAGAAGAUGCAUACAAUAAUGGGUGUAUACAAAAAUGGAAGUUAAAUUGAUAACACUAAGCUCGCCAAUUCUCAUAAAAAAAAAUGAUGACAUUGCCUGCAUUAAUUCUAGUAACGGACUGAAGACAAUAAUUAAUAGGUGACUAUAUGGUGCCUAAGGCACACAAUAAAAUGUGGACUUGGUACCAUUAUUUAUUUUUGUGAAAAGGGUAAACCUGUUUUGUAAGGUGUCGCAAUUCAUCAUCAUGAAAUGAGUGGUAAUUUAAAAGCAUUAAUAGUGAAUUCACCUUCAUUUUUAACGUUCAUAUCGGAAAGCCUAUUAAAAAAUUUCCACCAGCACAAAUUCCACUUUUAAUAGGUUCAAAAAUUCACUCACAAAUUAAUCCACAAAUCCCAUUAACAAAAAAAAAUAGAAAAAGCAGAAAGUUCUCAACGGAACUUCUAUACUGCGUUGAUGCACCGUACGUUGAUUCUGACAAAUGCUCUGCACUUCAUCUGCAGAUGUGACACGUGUUGGUUGGAGAUUACUAGAUGGGAGUGGGGUGCAAAGGUGGUAUUUUAGUAGUGGGUUUAAGCCCAAAAACCACCGGUAACAAUGGUAUUGACCCAAUUUCUAGUGGAAUUGACCCACAUAAAUUGUGAAAGAUUAUUUUCUCAGUCAUUUAAGGCAAUUUCUGAACAAGAUUUAGGCCUAUAAUAAAGAAAUUAAAGAAAUUAUCAACCCCAACCCCCAAUAUGCUAAUAUGCAAUUGGAAAAAAUUAAAUGAAUAUUUACUUGAAGUAAAGAAACGGAUACCAAUCGGUAGAAAGUGUUUAUAACAUACUCUGAAAUGCCAAAGGACUUCCCAAAAAGUGAGAAGCAGGACAACAUCUGAAAUAGGGUCCAAGUUUGAAGUACUUUAUGUCAAACAUAUUUCAAUAUAGAAAAAAAAAAUUUACCGGUUAGCAGAUGUUUGUGCGCACUAUUUGUUGAUUGGGAGACGGUUCUAAGGAGGCGGUUUUGCAACAAAUAAGUAAACGGGGUGUCGAUUACUUGGAGUUGUAUCUUAUGUUGGAAAAAUAAUUAGAUAUGUCAGUUAAGAAAUAUUUCAAUUUAAAUAAAGUUAGUUAGGAACUAGAACUCGUAACAUGGUUGGAUAUGGUUAGUGAAUAAGAUAUGAAUGUUGGGGGAUACAAUACAACUAGAAUUACUAAGACAAAUUAAGCUUGACACUUUGAAUUCAAAUUUUACUAACAUUGCAUAAUAACACCUUUGACUGAUAAUUUUUUUUGAUAGAAAAACUGGAAAAUUUUUAUUAAGAAGAGGAUAGAUCCGUAUUAAUUGCGAAAGAAAGAAAAAUUGGUGGAGAAAAUCUCCAACUAUAAAUACCUAAAAUAGAACUAGCAUUACUAUCUAAGAAAUGAGUAGGCACAAUUAGAUUCCUAGAAAUCCAAUCAGCCUCCCAAGUGAUGAAAUUCUGUAAACUAAAAAAGAUAUCAUCUAAUAGCAUUCCAUAAGCUAAAUCAUCGGAUUCUAUAUUUUUAAGCAUGUUGAUGAUCUUCAAAGAGUCACCCUCUAAAACAAUCUUAGGAACCUUCAACUGAAGUAACGAGGAAAUUGCAGAUAUUGCAACAUAGGUUUCAAUUACUUUAGGAGAAAAGAUACCUAAGAUUUUGUGAAAAAUACUAGUAACAAAUUUGUCCCAUUCAUUCCUCACAACAAUUCCAACUCUAAAGUUGUCGUCUUCAUAGAAUAUUGCACCAUCGAAGUUUGCCUUUAGAAAUCUUGCAGAGGGCUUUAUCCAAUGAAGUUGAGCAGUGGAAGAGCAUAUUGGAAUGUUUGGAAAUGUGUUUAUUUCAUGGUAUUUCUAUAAGAAAAUGAUAGAGAGGGAGAGACCAAACUGAGAGGAUCACGAGAGGAACCAUCAAAUAAUGCAUCAUUUCGGUUAAACCAUAGAUUCCAAAGAAUUAUGGCUACCAAUUCCAUGUCCUGCUUUUUCAAAAGAUGAAGAAGGCCAGACAACCAAGACGAAAUUUGAUCGGUAGAGUCUAAUCUUAUCUUUAGUGUAAGAAAGCUAAGGGCCCAAGGUUGAAUUGCUACUGGACAGCACAAGAAAAGAUGAUUAACAUCAUCAAUAGGGGCCUUACAUAAAGAACAAGUAGGAUCAAAAUAGACUCCACGACUGUUCAACUUGGAAGUUAUAAGUAGAAUGUCUUUGCAAAUUCACCACAAGAAUAUUUUAACUUUACUUGGUAUGUUGAGUUUCCACAAGCAGGGCCAAAUAUCAUCCAUAGAACCAUUACUACAUGAAGCUACAUCUUGUCAAUUUGUAGAUUAUAUUUUGAUAAGAUGAUAGGCAAUUUUCACUGUGAAGGAGCCAUUUUUAGAAUAGUGCCAAAUGAGCUUUUCUUGAUUUCGUCUAUCACCCAAUGGAAUACUCAUAAUCAACUCGAUCACAUCUAAGGAUAGCAACGGGGGCGGUGCCCGCGGGGGGCUAUUAGGGCAGAGGUUGGGGCGGGGGGUGGGGGGAAUUUUUCCCCCCAUUUAGAAACGGGGCAGGGGGCCCACCCGUUUGGAAAAAAAAGAGAGAUAUAUAUAUAUGUACAUAAUUAUAUAUCUAAUGAUAUUAUCAAUUAUACAUGUCUAUUAAUAAAAAUUAUUAAUUAUUUAUACUAAAUUUAUUAAUACAUUUAUAUUAAAUUCCUAACUACACUUAAUACAAUAACACUUUUUUCUAAAAAAAAACACAAUAAUAAUUUAGUGAUUGUAUUUGUAUCAAAAGUAAAAAUAAUUAUUUUAGUUAUAUUGGUUUUAUCAUAUUAGAUUGUAUUCAAAUAACUUUUGUUUAAUUAUUUUUAUGAGUUUCAAUUGUAAAGUUACAAUGAAUAAUAAUUUGGUAAUGUGUUGAUAUUUUAGUACUUGAUUACUUGCUCAAAUUUAAUUAUAAUGAAAUUAUAUAAUAAUUAUUUUAACCCCGUGGGGGAAGCGGGGCGGGGGCGGAGGACGGGACGGGGACGGGGGGAAUUAAUAGGCAACGGGGCGGGGGUGGGGGAGGGGUCACCCCUAAUCACAUCCUGCCAAAAAAGCUCUUGAAGCAAAUCAUAUUUCCAUUUCCUGCUAUUUUCAUCAAUUAAACAAUCUAUAGUGGAGAUUUCUAGUAGCACAUCAAAACGAGAUAUAAUUUUGAAAUUAGAAAGACGUGGAGUCCACCUAUCUUUCCAAAUUUUGAUAUGAUUCCCGUUUCCAUCUCACCAUCUACUACCAAAAACACCUUUGAUUGAUAACUAAAUAGUUAAAAAAAUAUAUCUACUUAUUUUGUUUACUCAACAGUUAUGUGAACUAAAACAUAAAAAAAGAAGGUCAAUUAUUAUAUUAGUGUUAUAUUUGUAAUAUUAGUUCCCUAUAUAGUAGGUUGCCGAGUUGGGCAUAUUUAUAUUCUACCAAGUAAAUGCCCUAUCUUUUCGAAACGUGGCAAAAAAUUUGUGUUUGUUUUUUUGGUAGAUUUCAUUCUUUUUCUUUUUUGGUAACAAUUAAUUUACUAUUCAUUUUCACUUCAUUAUUUAUAGUAAAUUUCAAUCAAUCAUCAAUUACUUACCCUAUAUGCAUUUCUAUUAAUUAUACCUUUAUUUUUUUCAAUCAACUUAUAGCUUUCCUUUUUAAUUAGGCACUCGUUAAUAUAUAUAUUAGGUGUUAAAUUUUUAGAAAUAUAAGAUGAAUUAGGGAAAGCAUAUAAAUGUAAGGGAAUUAAUUAGAAAAAUAUAUAAAUAAAAGAAAAAGUAGUAAUUGUUACGUAUAUACAUGGCAGGUUAGAUGGAAUGCAGGUGUGUUAACGAUUACCCAUAGGUCACCCAUUAGAAAUACUCAUCAAAAUUUGGAUUAAUUUUUUUUUCCUUUCAUUGCAAUCAUUACUACCAUUUUUCCUAUUAUUUAUUACUAUACCUUCAUGUUUCUAAAUACCAAUAAAUGUAUUACUCUCUUACUUUUUAUUUGAUUGUGCUAAUUAUAGCUUUCCUUUUACUUAAUCAAUUAGUCAAUCGAUCAAUCAACCCAUGAUUUUAAUUCUCUUUUCAAUCACACGAUCUUUCUUUUAUCCAUCAUUAGGGAGAUUUACAAUUAGUCACAUAUUUGUUAUGUGUACAAUAAUUAUGCAAUCAUAAGCACAAACUAAUGCAAUUUUAAUAAUUUUGCAUAUAUGCAUUCAUAUUGUAUUGCAACACCUUUAAUAAUUCAUUAUAUGGUUAGAAAAGCCAAAAAAAAUCGAGUAUUACCUAGACCUUAGAUAGUCCCCAAUGUAUACACUGAUACUGUAUGAAAUGAUUUAAAACCCGUUAAUAUAUAUACUGAUUGCAUAUGAAGAUUCAUCCCUAGUUUAGACCUCUUAGAUAGUUUGCAAGCAUUAUAUUCCCUUUUUUUAAUUUCUUAUUUAGUUUACCUUAUUACCAUUUAUGAUUUUUUUUUUAAUUUAAGCAACAUCUUCCAAUAUUUUAUCACCAUUUUAAGUUAGUUCAUUUUUAGGAGAUAGUAGUAUAAGUGUGGUAGUUUGUCCAAAUAACUUUGAAUACGCAUAUACAACCCAAAAACAAAAUGAUAGCUGUUUAUAUUCUUAUCACUCAACGAUGAUAGUGUUAUGUAAUUUAAAUGAUUGAGAUCUAUCGCCAUCCAAAUAUAAAUUUAAUAUGAGGGUAUGAUAACUAAAAAUGACUAUAGAAUCCCCCUAAAUACUAAAUAAUGCGAAUAGAGAUAUUCCCUCAAAAACUUGUAAAGUACUUAAUGUGUAUACGGGUAAAUUCUUGCAAUAGUGAAAGGAAAAUAUCUUACUAGCCUUGAAAUUUUGGCCCGUGUACUGACUUUUGUUAGCUAAAUUAAACUAUCUUGGAGUGAAGACAUAAAAUCGGCGGCAAAUAUUGAGAGAAUUGUGAACAUAGCUAACUUAUCUAGCGUACACAUUUUUUUCCGAGUUUGAAUUCUCUCACUUACACUACAAAAAGAAAAAACUAUCAUACAUUUAACUUCCAACUAACAAUGAUGUAUAGGUAAUAAAUUAUAUGCAUGGGAUAUUCCCAUAAAUAAAUGAAAUAUAUUUACACGACAAAGAGUAAAUUCUUAAAUUAAGAAGAAAUAAUAUUAUAGUAGCUGUCAAUUUGUUUAUAUGACUUUUUGGUUUGUCAUUAUUCAUGACAACCAAUUAUGUUAUUUUGAUGUAAACAUAUCCAAAAACGGUUGAAUACAAUGUGGGACAUUAUUAUUAUUACUCGGAUACCUCAAUAUUUAUAAAAUUGAUUAAAUUGGAAUCCAAUUGGAUUCAACAGUAUUUUGAAAAAACUAUUUUUGUUGUUCAAGUCUACAGUGAUAAACUUUAAAAAUAACCUCAAAAAUAAUUUAAAAAUACAACAUAUCUCAAAUACAUUAAAAAAAUAAUUAAAAAAUUUCCCUAAUUCUUCUUCCCCACACUACCCACUACAACCACCACCACUACCCAUCACUGUCCACUACCACCGCCAUCACCCCCACACCCAUGACCCUCCUUCCUCUCUCCUCUCUCUCUCUUUUUCUCCCUUUCUCUCCUCCCUCCUUCCUCUUAUUCUCCUUCUCCUUUCUCCUUCCUCCUCUCCCUUGUCUUUCCUCCCUUCUCCCUUCCCUUUCCCCACCCCCUAAUCCCCCCUUCCCUCUACUGACUGUGGGCUUCUUGGUCGUGACCAGAAAGGUUGCAGCUAGAAGCCGCGACUAGUGGCUUCUGGUUGCAACCAAGAAGGUCACAGCUGAGGUCUCAGAUGGAGUCGCGGUUACCAUCCACGAUUAGGAGAGGGGUUUGAGGGUCGGAAACGAGAGGGACGGGGGAGAAAAGGAGAAGAAAGAGGAGGGAGAAGGAAGAGGAAGGGGAGAAAGAAAGGGAGAAAGAGAGGGAAAAAAGAGGGAGAGACAAGAGAGAGGAGGGAGGGGGUGAUGGCGGUGAGUGGUGGUGGUGGGUGGCGUAAAAUUUUUUAAAAAUACCCCAAAAAAGUUGUAAAUUAUAAAAAUAUCCCAAAAAUGUAUUUUAAAAAGCCCUAAAAAUACUUUUAAAAAACCCCCCAAAAACAUCUAUAAUACAAGUUAUUUAUAUAUAUAGUUACCGUAAAGUUUUUAAAAGAUACCCCAAAAGCAGUUAGUCCAAAUGGAGUCUUGAGUUUUGAGGUUAAGGUGUAAUGAUUGACCACAAUUUAGGUCAAAGUAAAACUUGGCCAAAAGUUUAGUGGGUUAAAAUAUAAUUUUAAAAAUUAAUCAUCUUCCCUGAUCCUCACAGUUGCAAUGGUGAACUGUCAGCCCCUUAGGACGCGUUCUAGAUGGAACGCGCGCAACCGUGGUAGAUUUCGGUCAGUCAUGGUCAAGUUGGAAGGCUGAAGGUGAACUGGUGGGGAAAAACUUGGACAUGUGUUUGAUGAUGUAUUCCAUACCUAUGUAUGGGUUUGGAAAAGUUUCAAGGCUAGGAAAUGUCUCUAAAUUAGUGGGGAAAUGAGGGGUGUCUCUACUAGCGGUCCGAAAUUUUUAGCUAGGACUACUAUAGAGAGGGAUAACUAUAACUAAGCCAAGUCAAUACCAAGGGCUGGGGGCUAAGGCUUUAUGGGUUAUUUCGGAUGGUUCCAAGCAUUUGGAGCCGUGGUGCCUAAGUUGCUAAGUGUUGGGGCAAGUUGGGCACGGAACUAAGCAAAUGGCGAGAAGCUGGGUGCGCGAAACUGUGUGACCAUUGCCUAUGCGCUCCAAAGAUGAACGUUGGGACUGUCUGGCAGUUGCUAGUCGUUUGCUGGAGUUGCGGAUGGUUAUCAGUCAACUCAGACACGUUCUUAUCGGUUUCCUGACUUCAUGUACAUUCGGGUCGGACCAACGGUUGGGUCUUGUCAACUAUAACAAUGCAUAUAAAUAAAUGGCUAGGUAAGGUCUAAAGGUAGAUAGUGAGAAACACCCUUAGAUGUUCUGCACGCCAAAUGUUUGUAGAAUUGUCCUUGUAAUCUCUAUAGUGAAAUACAAGGUUGGCCGUUUGGUUGUAACUUGUGCAUGUUGUUCCUUUGUUUUUGCCUAAGUAUUCUAAGUUGAAUACUUGUAUGCAAGUGUCAAUGUAAGGGCUGACUGGAAGCGCGGCUUAUCAAUGUCAUUACAUGCUUGUUAGGCUAGCAAGCGUAAACACCUCGUAAUAGUUUGGUAUCAAAGCACGGCUUUGAUCUAUUAGACUGUGCUUUUGUUAUGUGUUUUGUUGGUUAAUGAUGGUUGGACACAGGAAUUCUAUUGCAAUGCUAGGAAUGGUUGCAAUGUUAGGAAUUUGCAUUUGAGGACUUGAUGCAGUGUCUGGGAGAUGGCCCAGAAGGCUUCAACGUCAUAGAAGUUCUAUUGCAGACUAGAGAGAUGAUCAACACCCUGACUGCACAGAUGGAUGAAACCAAGCAGACAGUUUCUUUCGUUGGAGAUGUUGAGAUACUAAGGAAUGAAAUGACUUCGUCCCAUACAAAGAUCGUGACUUUACAAUCGAAGAUCAAUGUGUUAAAGAAGGCAGUCGGCUCUUGUAACACACAGACCUUUCAAAAAUCUUCGAAGGGAAAAGUGAAAGUCCUAGAUCCGAAACCGUACCAAGGUAGUAGGAGUUCUAAGUAUUUGGAAAACUUUCUGUGGGAUUGUCGAGUAGUACUUCAAGGCUAUUGACAUUCCUGAAGUAGAAAAGGUAUCAAUUGCAUCAAUGUACCUUAGUGGUGAUGUAAAGUUAUGGUGGAGAACAGUGCAAUCAGAUCUACCAAAUCCAAGAUCGGCACUUGAGAAGUACUGAAGGAGGAAUUGAAGAAACAAUUCCUUCCCACGAAUGUUUCAUGAAAAGUUAGAGGUGUAUUGUGAAACUUGAAGCAGAAUAAGAGCAUACACGAGUACUUACAGAGUUCCAAGCCUUGAUGUUAGAUGUAAGGGAAAUGUCUGAGGAAGACAGACUCUACAUCUUCAUCCAUGGACUUCAACCGUGGGUACAGAUGGAGUUGCAGUGACAAAAUGUUCAGACCGUGUCUCAAUCACUUGCUACUGUCGAGAAGUUGAUAGACUUCAAGUCCAUAGGAUCCAAAAGUGAAAAAAAAAGAAGGGCAAGGAUAAGGCUAAGGGCUCGAAAGGUGGUCAAUUCUCAAAGAAGAAUAAAAAGAAACAGACAGUGACAACGACCGAAACUAGCGGUGUUUCCUCUUCUAAGAAGAAGCAAACAUCCAACCCUAAAAAGGAUGGCUGCUAUACCUGUGGAAGACCACACUUAACUCGCAAUUAUCCAAUAAAAAGGACCAGAACAUUAGUGCCUUGGUGGCAGAAGGCAAUAGUGACCAGUUGGAGGUCCAGGAUGCACGGGUCAACCCCAUGUAAUUCUUGAACGCCAUCACAGAUACUAAUGUCCGUACUCUUUACAAUGGUUUGAUGUAUGUGCAAGUUACAUUGAAUGGUAACCAUAUAUUGGCGAUGGUUGAAACGGGAGCAUCAUAUAGUUCUAUGAUGGAAAAAGUGGUGAGUCGGUUCCGGUUACAGUUGAAAGACUUGGGUUUCAAAAUUGAAGGCCGUAAACUCUAAAAUCAAGCCAGUGCUAGGCAUGGCGACUGUAGAAUUGGAGUUGGGGCCAUGGAAGGGUUGGUGCAAUUUCAUGGCAAGUCAAUGGAUGAUUUUGACUUGAUUCUAGACAAAGAUUUCAUAGUUGCAAAUAGGAUCUAUCCAAUUCCGCACUUGGAUGGCGUCAUGGUGAAUGAUGGCUAGAGUCCAGGCUUUGUUCCUGCAGUAAAGUUGCAGAAACAAAAGAACAAUCAACAAAAGAACAUGGUAUCAACGAUAGAGAUUGAGUCAUAUCUUCUGAGGCGUGGUGAAGUUGUGCAUAUUGCUGCAUUGGUGGAAACCAAACCUAACAUGUACCAGGAAGUACCCAACGCCAUGGCCCAUGUUCUAGAGAAGUUUACAUAUAUCAUGCCUGCAGAGUUUUCGAGAUAGCUUCCUCCAUCCUGUGCUGUGGAACACAAGAUCGAGUAGGUUCCAAGAGCCCAACCACCUACCCAAACUUCUUAUCGCAUGUCCCCGAUAGAGUUGGCUGAGUUGCGAUACCAACUUAAUGAAUUGCUAGAUAGCCAAGCGCUGAGACCGUCAAAGUAUCCGUACAGUACUCCAGUGUUAUUCCAGAAGAAGGCUGACGGAACGCUGAGGUUCUGUGUAGACUAUUGUGCCUUGAAUAAGAUCACGAUAAAAAACAAGUACCCAUCCCAAAUGUGUACAACUUGUUCGACGAGCUAGUGAUGGCACGAUUUUACACUAAAAUUGAUUUGCGGUCUGGGUACUGGCAAGUCUGAAUAGCCCCAGGAGAUGAGGAAAAGACGACGGUAGUGACGUGCUAUAAUUCCUUUGAAUUUCUCGUUAUGCCAUUCAGUUUGACGAAUGCACCUGCUACCUUUUGUGGACUAAUGAAUGAUGUCUUGUACGAUUUUCUUGAUAAGUUUGUCAUAGUGUACUUAGAUGAUAUUAUUGUGUAUUCGAAAUCCUUGAAGGACCACAUAGAUCAGAGGGUAGUAUUCUGCAAGUUGAGGGAAUGCGAACUCCAUGUAAAGCAAGAAAAGUGUGAGUUUUGCAGGGAGCAAAUCAUUUUUCUUGGCCAUGUAUUGAACAAUGGUCGGAUCCAGAUGGAUCACAGAAAGGUUGAGGCGAUCCUUGACUAGCUUGCACCCCAGAAAGUCGCAUAACUAAAGUCAUUCCUUAGUUUGGCCAACUACUACAGGCACUUCAUCCAGGGAUACUCAAAGAUGACCUACUAAAGAAGGAUAGACUGUGGCUGUGAGAUUAUGAGUGCGAAGAUGCAUUCAGAAUGCUGAAGAAAGCGGUUGCUUCUGUGCCAGUGUUGCAACUUUCGAAAGCUUUUGAAGUGCAUACUGAUGCUUCAGAUCGUGCGAUUGGAGGAGUACUUAUGCAGGAGAAGCACCCGAUUGCAUUUGAAACUAAAAAGCUGAAAGAAUGCGAGCAAAGAUAUAGUACGCAUGAGAAAUAAAUGACAGUUGUUGUGCAUUGCCUCAAGAUAUGGAAGCACUAUCUAUUAGGAACCAAGUUUGUGGUGGUGACUAAUAACAUGGACAAUAUUUACUUCAAGACACAGAGAGAGUUGACCCCAAAGCAAGCUCGUUGGCAAGAGUUUCUGGCUGAGUUUGACUUUGACUGGAUUCAUAAGUUAGGAAGGGAGAAUGCAGUGGUCGACGUACUUAGUAGAAAGUAUGUCAAAGAAUACAUUGUUGUGCUUAGUACUGUUGAGACGGACUUCGGGGACAAGAUUAAGUGGGAGUCCCCGAGUGACCCAGUUUAUCAAAACUUGGUGUUCGUGAAGUCAAAGUUCGUCGUUAUUGGCUGGAGGAUGACUUACUCUUUGCCAAUAGUGGUCAAGCAUAUGUUCCAGCAGGAGGGGGACUUAGGCGAAAGUUACUACGAGAGACUCACGAUGCUUCUUGGACUGGUUAUUCUGGAGUUGAACGAAUGCGGGCAUUACUGUCGCGUAGCUUCUAUUGGCCAAAGAUGGAAGAGGAUAUUGAAGCAUACGUGAAAACUUAUCUUGUUUGUCACCAAGACAAGGUGGAGAGGAAGAAGGAGUCAGGCUUGUUGCAGCCUUUGCCAAUCUCUGAUCGACCAUGGCAAUUAGUUUCUAUGGACUUCAUUUCGAGAUUCUCUAAGGUCGAUGGUAUGGCUUUUGUCUUUGUAAUUAUUGACAGAUUUUCUAAGUAUGCUGUGUUUGUUGGUACACCAAAGGAGUGCUCGGUUGAUGUUGUCGUUGAGUUAUUUUCAAACAUGUUAUGAUGUAUUUCGGAUUACCCAAAGAUAUCAUAAGUGACAGGGACAUGAGAUUCAUAGGUAGAUUUUGAACCGUGAUGUUCAGGUUGCUAGGUUUCAAAUUGAAGUUCUCAACUGCCGCAUAUUCUUAGACCGACGGACAAACGGAGACGAUCAAUACCUUGUUAGAAGAACACUUAAGGCAUUACGUGACGACAAGUUAGAAAAAUUGGUUGGAGUUGCUGGAUGCUGCAUAGUUUUACUACAACCUGCACAAGUCAUUCGCAACUAAGUUGAGUCCAUUUGAGUUAAUGAAUAGGCAACAACCUCUGACUCCACCUGAAGUUGCUCUUCAAGAGAUAGUUUGUUGAUGAUACAACAACGCAUGAAGAAGUACGCAAACCAACAUAGAUCGGACUUAGAGUUCCAACUGACUCCCCAGAUUUGAAAGAAAGUAAAUAACAAGACAGUCCAUCGUGGGAUCAUCCCUGAGUACAAUAGACCAUUUAAGGUAAUCAAGAAGGUGGGUCAUAUAGCUUAUCGUUUGAAACCACUUGACAAGCUCAAGAUCCACCUGACCUUCCAUGUGAGUUUUCUGAAACCCUUUUACCAAGACGCGAUGGAUGGAGGACGGAGGCAAGCAAAGUGUGCCCCGCCAGUGAUUCGUAAGAAAUUUCAGAAAGAUGUGAAGGCUGUGCUGGAUUACAGAAUGAUGGGACAAAGAAAAAAGAAUAGAUGGACAAACUAUCUGAUCCAUUGGAACGGUGAAACAAAAUUAGAUGCUACUUGGGAAUGGAAUGUUACCUUGUGACAGUUUCAAGAUAAGAUUGCUGAGUACUUGAAGAACGUGCGAAAGCAAACCAAGUUGACGAGGGUGUCAACCUCUUUAGGUGGGGUGGUUUAUUAGCCCCUUAGGGUGCGGUCCAAACGAAAAGUGCACGACCGUGGCAGAUUUCGGCCAAUCAUGGUCAAGUUGGAAGGCCGAAGAUAAAUGGGUCGAGAAAAGUUUGGACACAUGUUUGAUGAUAUUUUUCAUGCCUAUGUAUGGGUUUGGGAAAGUUUCAGGGAUAGAAGAUGUCUCUAAGUUAGUGGGGGAAUGAGAGGUGUCUCUACUAAUGGUCCGAAGUUUUUAGCCAGGACUACUAUAUAGAGGAAUAACUGUGACUAAGCCAAGUCAAGGCCGGGGGCCAAGGGCGUGGUACGACUAGACUUUGUGGGUUAUUUCAGAUGGUUCCAAGCAUUUGGAACCGUGGUGACAAAGUUGCUAGGUGUUGGAGCAAGUUGGGCACGAAACGUAGCAAAUGGUGGGAAGCUGGGCGCGCGAAAUCGUGCGACCGUUGCCUGUGCUCGGAAAGACGAACGUUGGGACUGUCUGGCAGUUGCUAGCCGUUGUUGAAGUUGCGAAAGGUUACCAGCCAACUCAGACACGUUCUUAUCGAUUUCCUAACUCAUGUACAUUUGGAUUGGACCAAUGGUUGGGUCUUGUCAACCGUAACAAUGCCUAUAAAUAAAUGGCUAGGCAGAGACUAAGGGCAGAUACUAAGAAACAUCCUUAGAUGUUCUGCACGCUAAGUGUUUGUAGAAUUGUCCUUGUAAUCUCUAUUGUGAAAUACAAGGUUGGCCGCUUGGCUUUAACUUGUACGUGUUGUUCCUUUGUUUUGUCUGAGUGUUCUACGUUGAAUACUUGUGCACAAGUAUGAGUGUGAGGGCUGACUGGUAAUGCGACUUACCAGUGCCAUUACGUGCAUGUUUGGCUAUCAAGAGUAAACACCUCGUAACACGAACACUAGUUGCCUAUCUUCAACCACCAUCUAACACUUCUUUUCAAGAUCAAUUUUUGCCCAACACUCAUUUUAUUCGCUUGAGUCAUGAUUAUGGCAUCAUUUUUCUUCAGUUUAAACCCUUUGACGAUACAAAAAUAAGGUCAUAAUUGAAAUUCUGAUUCGAAAAUUUGAAACUUUCGGGAUUGCCUUCUGCUAUGGGCUUUUCUCAAACUCGAUCAUAUGCCCAAACAAAUUCAUCAACCAACACUCACUUUGCCUUUGGGGCAUCUAAUUAACCCCUUUAAAACAAUUUUGAAGACACCUGAAACUAGGGUUGGGCAAAAAUACCUGUUAAUCCAAAAAUCUGCCACAUCCGAUUCGAUUCGAUUCAACAAAUAGGGUUCCGGUGUGUAUUAUUUGAUCGAGUCAAAAGAAAGUUGGAUAAUUACUUGUAUGCGGUGUUAGUUGGAGUCACCUGAUUAAGAAUCCGUGGGAACCCGAUUCUUCCCACAUAUAUAUUUUUUAUUUUUACACACAUAUUACAAAAUAAUACUUUUGGAGGUAAAUAAGUAAUUUCAUUAAACAAAAUACAUUAUAAAUAUGAAAAAUUAAAGUUUAUUUAUAAGAUUCAUUUAUAGAUGUCAUGAUUUCUUUUUUUUUUUAAGGAAACAGUUUAAUUAAUGUAGAACAUAUAUUUGGAAAGAGGUAUUAUUUAUUUGAAUUUUCAUUGAUUUUGAAUUCUUUUAAUUUUCUUUUCUCGUAUUCUCUUUGCAUGUUCAUUUUUUUAUUGAGAAAAAAUCUUUAUUAAGUUUUAGAUGAAUAUUCAAAAUACAAAAUUAAAUUACUAUAAAUUAUUUUUAAAAAAAAUUAAAUGAUAACCAGCGUGAUGCAGAUAUCUGUUGACUCAACCCUACUUUAAUGGAAACCCACUCAUAUACGGGAUGGUUAAAGAUCAGAAGAUAGCUGUCUUGCAAGGUACGGGUCUAGUCAGCCAAAUGAAGCAUAGAAUGAGUACUACUUGACCUGUACCCACCCCUACCCAAAACAAAUCUUAAUAAUCAUAAAAUAGCAACUUGAACUUGCAAAAUCCAAUUUUCAAUUUUCUCCUCAAAAUUUAGCAUCAAAUUUUACAAAAAUUACACAAAAACAAUCCAAUCAACAAAUAAAUACUCAAGCACUGAAUUGACAUUACACUGUAUUUGUGCAGCACCGAAUUGACAUUAUUUGACUUGUAUGUAUGGCAAAAUAAAGGAACUAUGAAUAGGAUGGGGAGGAGGGAGAAGGAUGCUGAGAGUAAGGGAGGAGAUGAAUCGGAAAAUUUAGAUAUUUUUUUUUAAUUUUCUAUAUUUUCUAUUAACCUGAUUUAUAGGUAACUAGAGCUGUUAAUCGAACCGGGUAGCUCGCGAGCCGAGCUCGACCCAGCUCGAUAAGGGCUCGGCUCGGCUUGUUUACAGAGAGAAACGAUCCGAGCUCGAACUUUACUCAAUAUUCGUUUAAUACACGAGCCGAGCUAUGCUCGGUAGGUUCGAAGAGUAGGGGCAUUAACGUCAUUUCAUUGUGUAUGUGGUACGCUAACCUAAGUCAUUCUCUCGUUUGUAGCCCUAAUUUUUCUUUCCUCUUUUGGUCUUAUUUUCUCCCGUUCCACAGCCGUAGCCACAGUCGCACACCCACACCCUCCAUUUUCACCACCGUCACCGACUCACCAUUCACCAAUUCAUCCAUUAUCUCACCUCCAUCAGGACCAUCAUCUAUCCGUCCACUAUCUCACCACCAGGCGCAAUCCCUAAUUUUUUCUUUCCUCUUUCGAUCUUUCAUUUUCCCGUUCCACAGCCGCAGCCGCACCCUCCAUUCUCACCACCGUCACUGACUCACCAAUCCAUUCAUCUCACCUCCAUCACCAAUCCGUCCACCAUCUCACCACCAUCAUUCAAUCCACUUCUCGUGAAUCCGUGAGCAACGCCAUACGGAGCCACCUCGGUAAAGCCAGGGGCUUCUACCAUAUCCCGAUUCGCUGCAUAAUCUGGUAACCAUUUCUUCUCAAUUUUUGCAAUUUAUUUUGGUUUUAAGAGGUUGUGUGGAUUUUGGUUAAUGGUGGAUAGCCCCGUAUCCCGUAUGGCUUCCCCGUAUCCUGUUGGCUUCUUGUGUUUUAUCUCUGUGUUUUAUCCCGAAUUUCACCUGCACGGAUUGCUUAGGGACCGCUUAGUGGAUUUUUGGCUUCAAAUAGCAUGUCUUUUACCAGUUAAAUAGCCUUUUUUUUACCCAUUGUUCUGGAUUGUUGCAUAAGUGUCAAAUUUCGCCUGAAAUGCUCACAUAUUCUUUUAUGCGAUUACGUGCAUCACUACUGCGUUACCUUCCUUCGACACUUGAAGCGGGGUUUGAUGUUUCAUUUCGUUCAGACCAUGGAAUAGUUGCUGCGAUUAAACUUGUGUCUCUAAGAAAAUAAAGAAGGAAACAUCACUUUUUGUCUCUGUGCUCUUUGAUUUCUACAUUUUCUAAUCCAUGUUAUAGAACUGACUGUUGAUGAUACCAAACAUUUUGUUAAAAGAAAGCCAAAGUAUUCAAUUCCCAUACAUUUAACUCUUCCUGGUUAAAAUGUAACUUUCUCUAUUGAUGUCCAUAAAUUUCCUCGAAAGAGCUUGCGAAUUGCAAAAGUUUCCACCAGUCGUCUUAAAAUGGCAUUCUAAACCGUCUGCUAUGAUACUUCUGAUAAGUACCAUGGUUGUUAAAAUUGCGAUCCGGAUCGUAGGAUCGUACGAUCCUACGAUCUGGAAAGGCAAAAUCGAUCCGGAUCGCACUUAGAAUCGCAAACUCCUUGAAUCUACGUAGGAUCAAGGUAGGAUCGGUAGGAUCGCAUAGGAUCGUACGAUCCUACGAUCCUACUUCGAUCCCACAAAAAAGGGCUAAUUUGUGAAAUACAAGGUUCAUUUUGCAAGUAAAAAUCAACAUUUGGGGUAGGCUUGUAGUUUAUCAAGAAAUUGCAGGCCUUAGUUGCAAUGUUUUAACAAAUUUUGCCUCAAAGUCAAAAGGUUCCGUCAAAAAGCUUCGGUCUUCUUCAUCUUCUCCUCAAGCAGACCUUUGUCAUUUCUCUUCUCCUCUCCGCUGCCCAAAUCAAAUCCCUAAUUUAAACCAUCAAACCAUCUCAAGCUUCGGCUACAGCUCUUACCAAGACCAAGUACUAACAAGACAAAUUGCUGCGGCUUCUACCAAGAACCCACAAGCUACAGCCGACAGCUUCAAGGCUUCAAGCUUUAAAGCUUCAAGCUCCAGCAGCCAUUGCUUCGGUAAGAAUAUCAAGCUACGAAAUCCUCUGUUGCCGCUGGAUUUUGGCCGUUUCAAGCUUCAAAGCUUGAAGCUCCAGCACCCGUUCUUCUCCAAUUUUCGUGCUGCCAGCCUGCCACCACACUGAAGCUCAAGCACCAGCACUUCAAUUAAAGUCAUAUGUGAGUGUGGUUAUUUUCUUGCUUAAAAAUUGAUACUUGGGGAGAUAGUGAUUGAUAAAGUUGUGAUUUGUAUUUGGUUUUCUUGGUAUUUGAACAUAUAUUGCUUUUGAUUGAAUUGAGUUGAAGUUGAAGGGAAUUAUUGACGGGUCCAUUAGGAUUUGUGAAAUUUUGGUUUUCUUGCUUGAAAAUUAUUGACGGUUCUGAAGCACCAGCACUUUGUCUUAGGAUUUGUGCUCUCAGAAUCAUUAACGGGUCCAUUAGGUACACUUUUUUUUGCCUUCUCCAUAGGAAGCUCUGAUAAUCGAGACUCUGCUACCACAUAAAUCUUCCCAUUGAACUUGUUGAAGAAAUCAAAGUUAGGAGUAUUAUUAUUUUGUAAUAAUGAAUUAAUGAGAACUCAUAAAAUUAUUUAAUAUAACAUCGUUUAAAUCUUCCCAUUUUGUCAUGCAUUUUGCAGCAGUUGGACAGUUGAUUUUUCAACUGUUAUCUUUACAGUAAAACAUGUCAGUUGAUAAUUUUUCUUUCUGUUACAUGACUCCUUAAUAAUCUGUUUUCACAGGAUUGUUUUUCUGUUCUACUCUAGUCCAGGUUAUUCCUUUGACUAAGCUAUAUUAAGUUGUGAUCCCAAAGAUGCUUCAUGUACUAUAAGAACUCUGUACUGAUCUAGACAUCAGUACAGGGUAUGAAGGAUCACUAAGGACACAUAAAAGAAUUCCCUUUUCUGGUAGGACGCAUAGCAAAGUUUUAUUUUCCAGAAAAAUUCACACAAAUACAAAUGUUUGCUGUUCAAGCAUUAAUUUCUAAACUUCUAUUGUUGCUGCUGUUAUGUCCUUUACCUAUGUUUUCAUUGGAUUUGCACUCGGCCUUGCAAAAAUCAUUGGUAAUAAGACUGAAUUUCUUGUGCUGGUCUGGUCUGGCUUAUUUUUUGAAUGCUAGCUUUAUUUUCUUUUAUCAAGUGCUGGUCUGGUCUGAAUUUCUUGGUUUUUUAUGAAUAUUCUAAUAUAUUUGGCAGUGCUUAAAUGUCUUCAUCCGCUUCAAAGAAACAAAGUACAAAAAAUGCACCGGGUGCUCGAUUGGAUCCCGGGUGGGAUCAUGGAAUUGAAAUUGAUUCUAAUAAAAAACAAUUUCAGUGUAAAUACUGUGGAAUUACUCGAGCUGGUGGUGUGUAUAGGCUUAAGCAUCAUUUAGCUUGUACACAUACAAAUGUUGAACCAUGUCCUAGCGUUCCUGAAGAUGUUAGAACCCAAAUGUUUGAUUUACUAAGUGCAAGUUCUGAGGAAUCAAGGAAAAAAAAACAAAGGGUUAGUACCAUGUAUGAUUUAAAAGAAGAAGAAGGUGAAGUUAAGCAGCAGGCUAAAAAAUGUUCUAUGGACAACUUUGUUGUGAGAAAAUCUGGGGGGUUGAAUGUGAGACAAACAACCAUAAAUGAGAAAUGGAAGAAACAAGAUAGAGAUGAAGUUUGUCAAAUAAUGGCUAGGUGGUUCUAUACAAGUGCCGUUCCAUUUAAUGCUGUAAAUAGCCCAUUGUUUCCUUUAAUGAUUAGGAAAUUGGGAGAAUAUGGAAAAGGAUUUAAACCACCUUCAUACCAUGAAAUGAGAGUGACCUUUUUGAAAAAAGAGGUGCAAGAGACAUUGAAUUUGCUCAAUAUGUACAAAAAAGAGUGGAAAAAAAAUUGGCUAUACUAUUAUGUCCGAUGGAUGGUCUGAUCAGAGAAAGAGAACAAUGAACAAUUUUCUUGUGAAUAGUCCAGCUGGUACUGUGUUCUUAUCUUCGGUAGAUACCACUGAUAUUUCAAAAACAGCUCAAAAAUUAUUUGAAUUGUUAGAUGGUAUUGUGGAAAAAAUUGGAGAGGAUAAUGUUGUGCAGGUCAUCACCGAUAAUGCUUCUAAUUAUAAGGCAGCUGGAAAAAUAUUGAUGGAAAAGAGAAAAAGAUUGUUUUGGACCCCUUGUGCUGCUCAUUGUAUUGAUCUAAUGUUAGAAGAUUUUUAAAAGUUUGAUUCUCUCCACAAAGUUACUAUACAAAAAGCGAAAUCAGUGGUUACAUAUAUUUAUUCAUGGGGUACAGUUAUUAAUUGGAUGAAACAGUUCACUAAUGGCAAGGAGUUGAUUAGACCUGGAGUUACUCGUUUUGCUACUUCAUACUUGACCAUGAGACGUCUUAGCGAGCUGAAAGGGAAUUUGUUUAACUUUUUCUGUUCGGAUAAAAAGAAAACAAGCAUGUAUGCUAGGAGAAACAAGGGGAAAAAAAUUGAGAGCAUCAUUUUUGAUAAUCAACAAUUUUGGCCAAAUGUGGAGUUAUGUUUAAAGAUAGCUUCGCCUCUUAUCAAAGUAUUGAGGAUGGUUGAUUCUGAUGAAAAACCAGCCAUGGGCUUUCUCUAUAAAGCUAUUGAUCAGGCAAAAGAAGAAAUCAAACAAAAUGUGAACAAUAUUCGAAAGAGGUGAAUUUUAAAUAAAUUGUCAUAUUAAUUAUGAGUUCAUUUAUAAUUUCUGUGUUGGAUAGUAGAAUGAAUUUUUUUAGUUAUUUUUUUAACCAAACUCAUGUUUAUGUGCUAGAUUUGAAUCGGCAUUUGCUAUCAUUGAUAAAAGAUGGGAAGAUCAAUUGAGUCAUCCUUUACAUGCCACGGGUUAUUAUUUGAAUCCUCAAUUUCAAUAUAGUCCAGAUUUUCAGUCGGAUGCAAAUAUAAAACGUGGCCUUUAUGAUUGCAUUGCUAAGAUGGUUCCCGAAUCUGGUGAAAGGGUGAAGAUUGAUUUGCAAUUAGAUGAUUUUCGACAUGCAAAUGGAUUAUUUGGUCAUGAAAAUGCUGUACUAACAAGAAACAAGAAAUCUCCUGGUUAGUUACUAGUUGAACUUUGUGUUUUUAUUUUUAAAACCUUUACUAAUUUGUUAUUUAUUUUAAUUUCCUACAGCUGAUUGGUGGGAAUCUUAUGGCGAUGAGUGUCCAGAGUUGAAAAAUUUUGCCAUUCGAAUUCUCAGUUUAACUUGUAGCUCUUCUGGAUGUGAGCGAAAUUGGAGCGCAUUUGAAUUGGUAAUAAUGUUUUCAUAUAAUAUAAUAUCUCAUUUAGUAUAAUAUUUUGUUUAGCAUUUGAAUUUAAGUUCGUAGUAUAACUGUAUAAGUUCUUUCAAUUUCAAUAGGUACAUUCUAAGAGAAGAAACCGUUUGGCUCAAAAACGAAUGAAUGACCUUGUGUUUGUGAUGUACAACUUGAAGUUGAGAGAGAGACAAAGGCAAAGGCAACGUGUUAUUGAAGAAAUUCCUUUUGAGAAUUUGCCUUCAGAUGAUGAAUGGGUGACAGAGAGAGAAAAUCCAACUCUUCCAAGAGAAAAUAGCUGGUUACGAGUUCUAGAUGACAAUCCCAAAUGUGACACUUCAGAUGAAGAGGGAAAUGAAGAUGAUGAAAUUGAAAUACUUACAAGAAAUGUGCAGAGAGUUUGUAAGUUUCUUUCUUUCUUCCAAUUUAAGUAUAAAGUUUAUCCUUUUUUUUGUUUUUAUAGUUUUAUUUUUCAAGUUCUCUUGUUUUUGGUAACUUUCAUUAUUAUUGUUUGUUUAUUUAGAUGAUCAUGAAGAUCGUCAAACCCAUGUCCGUCGAAGACAAGUUAAUAAAAUGAAAGAGAUUCAUGUUAUUGAUGAGGAUGAUGGGCCUUCAACUGAAUUCGACCGCCAAGAUGAUGAUUAUCUUGAUAUGGUUCCCGAAACUGAUCUUCAAAUGGGAACUAAUGAUUUGGAUGAUACUAAUUUGGAUGGUGAUUAAGAUAAUGCCGAAGAUGAAUUCCAAGAGAAUUGGGAUGGUGAAGAUGAUUGGGAAAAUAAUGAUUUUGAUAAUAUGGAUUAUGGGAAUAAUGAAUUUGAUUCAAACGAUGAAAAUGAUUGGUUAUAAAUUAAUGUAUUUCUGAAUUAUUAUGAUACUUGAAAAUGAUGAAUUGUUGCUAUUUUAUUUUUUAUUUUUUCAUGUUUGUUUAAACAUGACAGAUGACAUUCUAGUAGUUAAUUUUGAUCUUGAAAAUCUUUUUGGAUGUUUUGCUUUUUAGUAUUUGUGAAGGUUGAUGAUUAUUUUAUAUUUGAAAUUAUGAUUGUGUAAACUGUGAAGCAUUUGAUUUUAAGAUUUGAAAUCAUGACAGAUAACAGGUUUACAUUCUCUUCUUUAUUACUUGUCAGAUAGUAAGUAAAAAAUACUAUAUAUUUAUGAGUAACUUAUUUAUUUGAUAUCUUUUAGGAUGUACAAAAUGAUAUAUGAAUUUCAAAUUCAUUAAUUUAGUAAAUUUAGGAGUUUUUGGUAGGAUCUUACGAUCCUACGAUCCGAUUCUGUGAAACUAAAAUCGAUCCGACGUGGGAUCCCGAUUUUACAAACCUUGAUAAGUACAGUUAUACUACCAGGAAGGGCAAGUAGGCAUGCAUCAUGGACCAUGAAAAUGCCAAUUUUCAGAAAUCAAUUACAGCUUUGAUGAGCUGCAAACUUCUUGGACAAUGAAAAUGCCAGUUUCUAGCAAUGAAAUGAUAGCUUUCACGAUCUGCAACUUCUUAUUGAUUAAUGAACACUAAAAAGUACGUAUCAGCUCAAUAUUGCCUCUCUUCGUAGUACCUGGAAAAGAUGUAAUAGUCAACCAUAAGUGACAGAACUUUAACAGCGCUAGCCAUAUAACAAACAAUGGACAAAACUUUAAUAAAGCUAGUCAUCUUCUUUUCUUUAGCAUGUGAUAUUUCUUCAUGUUUUGCACUUUUGUUUAAGCUUGACAGUGAAAGCAUUUUUCAACCUAGAAGAUUCUGCAAGGCAAAACUUUCUUCAUUUUAGUUUCUUCAUUUCAGCAAAACUAACUUUUUGUUUGGAUUACCAUUUUAAGAGUUUUUCACUGUUAUUUCAUUAAUCUGAGUGCAAGCUUGAGAAUUGAGAUAGGAACAAGUUAAAGAAAUGUUAAAACUGGCUUGAAGUGGGCAUUAUUUCUUGGAAUCUGUUUUAUUACUUUUGUACCUUAUUUCUUAGAAAUGUUAUUCGAAAUUUCUGUUUUAGCUAAUCAGAAUCUGUAUUGGUUAUUAAAUGUGUUUUGACUAAGGAAUGUACAACUCUCCAUUCAACUCAUUUCAAGAUUCAUCAUCAAGUCCUGUGAUGAAGCAAAACAAUGAAGACGUGGAACAAUUGAACUACAACAAAGAAAGAGCUGAUGAGAUGAGUGAAGAAGAGAUAGAAAUGAUAGAAAAUGAGGGCAAUGAAAGAGGACAGCAAGAGAUGGAGAUGAAGGAGCUGGUCCUUUUGAGAAAAAACAAAGGAAGAAGAAAUCUAGUAUAUGGGAUGAAAUGACAACAAUAGUGCUAGAUAAUGGGACGGUCAAAGUGAAGUGCAACAAUUGCAAGGGACUUUUUGUCAAGAGUGCAACCGGAGCCACAUCUCAGCACAAGAGACACUUGAUUCUUGCUUACAAAGAAAAAUAGUCAUUGGAGAGCAAAGCAAACAAAAGCAACAAGUGCUGUCAUUCAUCGAAGGCCCAAGUAAUUGUAUCACUUCCAUCACAAAUUUCUUGUAUGAUCAUGCCAAGGUAAGAGAACUUGCAUCACACAUGAUUCUUGCACAUGAGUACCCCUUUUCUAUAAUGGAUCAUGUAGUUUUCAACAAAUUCAUGAAAGCAACUUCUCUAUUUUAUAAAAGGAUUAAUCGGCAGAUUGUUAAGAAAGAUUGCAUUAGUACUUAUACAAUUGAAAAAAGGAAGCUGAAAUCAUUGUUGAAAGGUGCUGGUAGGAUUAGUAUUGCCACAGAUUUGUGGACAUCUGGUCAAAAAAUUCAAUAUAUGGUUGUGACUGGUCAUUUUGUUGAUUUUGAUUGGGUGCUACAAAAAUAUUUGUUGAAUUUUUGCAAUGUUCCUCCUCCUCAUACUGGAGUUAUUAUAGCUGAUACUCUAAGUAAGUGCUUUAUUGAUUGGGAGAUUGAGAAUAAGGUUUUUAGCAUAACUGUUGAUAAUGCUUCAUACAAUGAUGUGUGCAUUAGGAGAUUUAGAGAGGAUUUUUCUCUAAAAAAAAGAUUAAGUAUUGGAGAAAAAAUUUUCAUGUUAGAUGUUGUGCACAUAUACUUAAUCUCUUAGUGCAAAAUGGUCUUGGUCAACUUGGUGGUGUGAUUGAUGUUGUUAGAGAAGGGAUAAAGUACUUGAACAAUUCUGAAUCUAGGCUUCUUGAAUUUGCCAAAAUUAAAAAACAGUUUCAGUUGCCCUCUAGAAAGCUAAUUUUGGACUGUCCAACAAGGUGGAAUAGCACCUAUUUGAUGUUAGUUUCGGGUUUAGAGUUCAAGGAUAUUUUUCCAAGAUAUGCAGACAUUGACCCCGGAUUUCACUAUGUUCCUACUGAUUUUGAGUGGAUGAAAGUGGAAGAAGUGUGCAAAUUUCUAGGAAUAUUUCAUGAAAUCAUUGAUAUGAUUUCCGGGUCCGAGUAUCCAACAGCUAACAUUUUCUUGUGGAGCUCUAUAGGAUUAAAGAGCUUUUAAAUGAAAAAGCUCUUGACCCUUUUUAGCAUAUUCGGGCUAUGGCUGGAAGUAUGUCUGCUAAAUUUGAUAAGUAUUGGGGGAAAAGUAAUGUGCUGCUAUCUUUGGGUGCAAUUUUGGAUCCGAGAUACAAAAUAUUUCUUAUUAAUCAUGCUUUUCCGGUGAUUUAUGGUGAGGAUGCAGCUCCUAGAUUCGUGGCUGAAAUUAGAGACACUCUUUAUGAGCUUUACAAUGAAUAUGUUGAUUGUCACAUUGUUUCCCAUUCUGAACAACAACAGAGGCAGGUUGUAAAAGGGAAACAAAAUGAAGGUUCUAGUUCUUUUAGUAAGAAACAGAAAAUGACUGGACCUGUCAUUUUAACUGGUAAAGAAAAGUUGCACAUGCAUGUGAGUGAAAUUAACAGGGCUCCACCAGAAAAAUCAGAUUUAGAUGUUUAUUUAGAGGAAAGUAAGUAUUGUGACGCCCCCACUUCUCCCUAAGACGAACCAAAAGAUAUCCACGGGACGCCUGCCCAACUCUUGCCAGGAUUCGGUACAAUUUCCGUUCAAACUUAUUACAAUACUAGCUAUCAAGACAAGAUAAAGUAAGAAAGAUAAGUCACUUCCAUAAAUAACAUUCAAACUUACACCAAGAGUUCCAAAAUACAUCAAAUUUCCAAAAUAUACAACUGUCAAAAGUCUAGUCGAUUACAUUUGGAACCCUAAUACAAAAGUACAACAAAAGGGUUUCUCCGAGUUUCACUCCAUGUCCAUGCCUGUUAAGAAAAAUAAAUCUACGGGGUGAGCAAUUGCUCGUGAGGCCAAGAAACACACAUAUAAGCACGUUGUCCAAUUAACAAGAAAAUGAUAAUAUUCGAGUAAUUAACAAUUCAAGUGAAAUGUAAAUAGAAACAAUUCAAGGAUAUGGGAGCUCUCAGGAGCUAUUGUCCACUGGCACGAUCAAGAACCUCCACGAGUUGACACUCCGUCAAUCGGAUAGGUCAUAGUCCGUAGAAGCUUCACUUACGCGUUCCCCGUCCACCAUACAUACCGCACCGGCCCCGAACGUCAUUUAUAAGGUGAUACUCCACGAGUAUGCCAAGUGAAAUCUCUCCAAUAGAUCAAGUUUAUCAUAUUAUUCUCAUGACUCACCAAGAUUCCCGACCAAACCCAUGCCAGCUCGAUUCCCAGGUCAGUUUAUGAGUUUGGGCGUCCCCCAUGUAACAUUUGUAAGUCGAGGAGAUUCACUCCAACGACGUAUACAGCCAUAGCAUACCAUUUCAUGCCAUUCAAGCAUUCGAUACAUUCAAUCAUUCAUUUCAUUUCAAUCAAGUCAUUCAUGAUCCAUUCAUUUCAUUUCAAUUAAUUCAAUCAUGAGUCAUUCAUUUCAAAUGAAAACGAGUGCGGUAAAGUACACACUGGACUCCAUUUUCAAAAUCUCCAAUCAUUAAUAACAGUUAAGCAUGUAUCAAGUUCACAUACACUUGACACUCACCAAGUAAUUCAAGAAGUAAAGCACAAGCGGUUGUUUAGGCGUCUCCUGUGAGAUUUUCUUGAAAGUCCUCUUGAGUGCCUGAGCAAUAAUAAUGAACUAUUACACACUAUCGUUUAAAACCCCUACUUAUCGAGAAAGAUUGCACUCGUGUACAAUCUAAGAAGAUAUUAUGAGAAUGAGUCUUAAUUACUUGUAAAUCGAGGCUCAAAAGUGGGGUUUUAAUAAUACAAGGAAAUUCGAUUUUCAUCUUUGAAAUCAAGUGUAAAAUGAUCAAGCAAUAUCGAGGAAAAUGGUGAGUUCUCAAAACUCAAUUUCCUUUAAAUUCGGAAAUUUCAGAUUUGACAAGUAAUCUUUGAAAAAUUGUAUCUCACUUUCUGUAGGUCCAAAAUUCGAAAAAUUGGUACCGUUGGAAACUACUUCUAAAGUACUAAAAGUUCCUAGAAGAUAUUUUUCCAUGAUUCCAAAUGAAUGACAUUCAAAAUUUGGCUCAAAGUUGCUGUUUCGGGCUACCAAGACAGUUUCGGGGUUGGUUUUUGCCAACUUUGAAAAUUCGGCAAAAUUCACAAAAUGUAAACUAGCCUCUGUAAUUUGGAACUCAAUUAUAGUUAUAAACAAAGUUUAAAACACAACAAACAGAACAAGAAUCGGAGUUUUGAGCGCCAAGAUAUAGCAGCUCAAAGUUGCUGAAAUUUUCUCAUUGAAUAAGGAUUUUCCAGAUUUGAAACAUGAACUUUGGGAUUUCAGUUGAGCAUCAAAAUGAACUUGGAAUGGCACCAAAUUUGGUAGUAUUACCCUACCAUAGAAGGGCUAUUCCUCUGUCAAAUUUCAUGCAAAAAUUCGUACGGAAGGUCAGUUGACAAAGCCGCUAAAAUUCCAAGAAUUUCCAAGGCAAAUCUGCCUUGUACUUCCGUUUUCCUUUUUCAAGCAUUUGGCCAAUGAAAUCUUCUCAAACAUGGUUCAUUUAUGAAGACAAGGUCUAAGAAAUAUCCAAAAUGUGUUUGGUAGGUGAUUAACACCAAGAGUUCCAAAAUAACGAGUCCCAAUUCGAGUUAAGGCAUUCAACUAGCCAAGAUUAGGGUUUCCUUUCACUGACACAAGUCUGGAAUUCGGCCACAACUCAUUCAAUUCAACUUGGAAUUGGGCAUGGUCAGUGGUGUUGGAAACUACAUUCAUAGGGAUACAAUUUCUCAGAAGAAAUUGUUUGGAAAUUCUGUCCAUAACUAGUUCAUAUUCGAGCAACAAGUUGCAGCACACAAUAGGUUUUCUAACACAGCCGAGAAACAGGGCAAGUGAAUUUGAAAGGCUGGUACGGCUCACUCAAGUGGAAUCAGGGGAUGUAUUUUAUACUGUUAGAAAACUAGAAGUGUCUAGUUUCUAAUCCCGCAAACAGCACUCGAUUUUGACGUUGGAGCAAAGAGUUAUAGUGGUUUGAAAUUCGCUGCCAGAGCAACUCUGGACACGUUUUCCAGCCAUGAAGAAAUUUCGAAAUCCAAACAUUUACCCAAUCAAAUCAAGUGAUUUUUGGUGGAAACUUUCCAAACAACCUAUAAAACAUAUAUACACCGAAAUAAAGUCAAUGGGACCACAAAAAAUUGCACCAAGAGGCGCGGCAAUGACAGGGCAGAUCUGGCCCUUCUUCCAUUUCAACUUCCUUAGAGUUUCUUUCCACUCUUUCAACUUAAAUCCACUAGAUUAACACUUAAUUAACAUAAAUAACACUCAAAAUCAUCAAAUCAGAUCAUCAAGUCCAUUGUGGGAUUUGAUAGAGUCCACUCACAUGAUUUUUAAUAAUCCAAAGCUACCCGCAUGAAGUUACAAGUUUCUAAGUGUAAUCUAACUUACAAAAGCUAAGAUUUAAAGGGUGGAUGAUCAUUACCUCUUAGAUGUUGCUAGAGCAGAAAUUUCGGUCCUUAGAGCUCCAAGAAAACCAUGAGAAUGAAGCUCUUCUCCUAGCCCAAGAUGGUCUCCAAGUUAUUUGUAAGGUGUGGUAUGAAUUUGAGAGGAUUUGGUGCAAGAUUGAGAGAUGAAAUGGUGAAGAAACUUGGUCUUCUUCUCCUUGGUGUUGCACAGCUGCUUGAGGGAGAGAAAGAGAGAGUUGUGGCUGAUGGAAAGCUUCUCUUGGAAGCUUAAGAGUUUGCGGUCAAAAUUACUCCAAAAGUCAACUAAGAAUAAUGCGCGCGUUUCGUGCUCGUUUCCUCUCGGCUUUGUUUUACUUGUGCACUAAAUCUCUAAUGCACUUCCAUUCAUACUAUUAUUAUUCACUCUUAAUAGUCUAAAAAUAAAGGUUUAAAGUCCCUCAAUUAAUCGCGCGUGCGAAAAUGCAGACUUCCGAUUUGUGCGCGAUAGAGUAAAAUUUCUAAGAAAUUCUUACAACGAUAUUAUAACUGACUAGUACUUGAGUACUUAAACAUAAAAAUACCUAUUUUGAAACUAAUGUAUGAGUCUUCAAUCUCCAAGCUCACUGUAUUUUCAAAUCGAUUAUUGUCUCCAAACGCGUAUUCACUAUUCUCACUAAACGAGUUUUCAAAAAUUAAAUUUUUGCAACAAGUAAUUUUAAAAAUAUAUGUAAGUCAUAAUUCCAUAUAAUUGAGUCUAAAAAGGUUGGAAUAAAAUAUUUGGAGCAAACGGGCAAUUAAAUAUUUAAAUAAACUAGUAAUAUGAAUUUAAAAUAAGUAAAUUUGUGGGUCCUCACAGGUAUGCUUGUGAUACAAAUGCAAAUCUGGAUGUUUUGGGUUGGUAGAAAUAGGAAAGAUUGAGAUUUUCUAUCUUGUCGAGGAUGGCUGCCGAUAUACUCUCCGUUCCUGUUACAACUGUGGAUUCAAAAUCUACCUUCAGCGCCAGAGGUAGAGUAAUUGAUGAUCGACGAGCUUCUAUGUCAAUUGAGAUGGUGCAAAAUGUUGCUUUGCGGCAACGAUUGGAUCCGCAGUCUUCAUGGCCUAAAGAAUAAGUCUCGCGUAAGUAAUUGAUUAGAUGUUUUUGUUAUUGUUACAGUUUCUUUAUAUCUGAUUUUGAAGAAUUUUAUAACUUUCAUACUUUUGUUUUGUAGGAAUCACUUGAUGCGACCGAAUUAAUCACAUUUGCGAAAGUUGAACUUCCUGAAUCAUUCACAACCUGAUUUGACGGCUGUUGAUGUUGCUUGGUUCAAACUGAUUCAUUCACAUGUUGAUUUCGUUCAAAAGCUGCAUCGUUCACAAGUUGUUUUCAUCCAAAAAAGUUGUUUUUAACUCUUGGUCUAGAGUUUAAACAUUUUAGAAACUGCUUAAAACGUAUUGAUGGCUGAUGUUUAAUUGUUUGGACUCUUUUAUGUAAUUUUCAUUUUGUAAUCUGAUCUGGUCUGAUGUCGAGUUUGGACAUUUUGUUCCUCCAUUUGAUAGUUUGAGCUGCAAUUUUAACUUCUUUUUCGCUACUCGUGCUUAUGAUGCUUCUGUUUUGCGUUGUCGAAUUGAGUGGAUGAUAUAUCAGGGAAUGUGUUGUUCUUUUUUUGUCAAACUAAAUAUGAGUGUAGAAGAAGCUGAUAUGCUAUCUUCCGUAAACGAGCUCGAGCUCUUCCGUAAACGAGCUCGAGCUCGAGCUCGAGCUUCGAGCUCGAUAAGCUCGACUCAAGUUCAAAAUCAAGUUCGAUCUUGAGUUUCGAGCUUGAUAAGCUCGGCUCACUUUUUGUACUCGAGUUCGAGCUCGAGCUCGAAUUUUCUACAUAGUACAUCGAGUCGAUCUCGAACAGCUUGUGAAACUCGAAUUACUAAUCGAACGAGCUCGAGCUAGCUCGAUUAGAUGUUCGAGUCGAGCUCGAUUGUUAUGUGCUCGAGCUCAACUCGGCUCGUUUAACAGCUCUAAAGUAACAUGCAUCAAAACAGGCUUAUUCUCUUAGUACUUUUUUUUUCUUUUUAUAAAACACAGGUGCAUUAACGCACGACAGAAGCACCCUAUCAAUCUAAGAUCCCAGCUUGCUUGUAGCUUUCGAUAGAGUCAACAAGAGUUUCUUCCACUGGCCUAUACCUCCAGCCCAGCCUCUCCAAUUUUUCUGAGCUAAUAUUCCAUCGGCUUUGAUCCUUCACCUCUAUAAGUCUGCGAAGAAAUGAGUUAUAUCAAGAAAAUAUGCAGACAACAUAAAUGGUUCUUGUAGAGACUCGUAGAUGCCACACUUUUGGAAAUGGAAAUCAUGACGGACAUGAACAAACAAGAAAAUCAGGACAAACGGGGUGUCUGAAAAAUGAGACAAUUAAUUUCAAAGAUGGUAAUCCACCUC
This 123561-nucleotide long non-coding RNA is filed under the name Coffea arabica (coffee). RNAcentral's name for it is "long non-coding RNA (CARA_LNC001751)". Lineage: Eukaryota; Viridiplantae; Streptophyta; Magnoliopsida; Gentianales; Rubiaceae. The record is from RNAcentral.